This 125398-nucleotide long non-coding RNA is filed under the name Gossypium barbadense (sea-island cotton). Its description in RNAcentral is "long non-coding RNA (GBAR_LNC013159)". The record is from RNAcentral. Lineage: Eukaryota; Viridiplantae; Streptophyta; Magnoliopsida; Malvales; Malvaceae.
UAUCCAGCGUAGACAUGCCUGUUAUACUAUUAACCAUAAUUGGAACCUCCGCUUCGAUAGUGCAAGCUUGAUUGAUAUCAGAUGGGUGGGUGUUUCCAUUUAAAAAAUAGAAAUGGGAAGUUGGAAGGGAAGAGGAGGUAUUGGAUUUGAUGGUACAACGAGAAGCCUCAAUAUAAAGUGAUGAUUUUAUAGGUUUCGUGCAAUUCAUAACAUAAAUAAUGCUACUCUCUAACCUUCCAUAAUCAUUAUGAUAAUAAUAAUGAUAAUUAUAAUAAUAAUAAUGAUAAUAAGUAUUAUAAGAAAAAUAAUCUACAGAAGUAAGAGGAAGGGAGUUGCAAUCAUCCGUGUCCAAGCUCGCAUCCACCAUUUGUAUUGUAUAAUUUUCGUAAAAGAUUUGUUGGACAGAUAAUUUCCCUCCUCUCCCAACCAAAGUGGUGCGAUUGUUAUUCUCACACUCAAGUUCAAAGCCAUAAGGACUACAGUGGAGAGGUUGGUUUUUUAAUCGGAAUGGAAAACUGAUAUUCAAAUUCCCACAGAAAGUAGAGCCGCAGUCAAGAUGCCUAGCAAAACAAACAGCAGGAAAUAGAAUUACAAAUAAAGCAAAAGCGGGCAUUAGGUGACCCAACAAUGGCAGUUUUGCUUUUAAUUUUGGCAUGCUAAAAUUUUGGGUAAGGAAGAAGAACAAUAAUGGGGGUUAAUGAUUAAGUUUCUAACUAAAUCAGGGAAAUAUAUAAGAAAACUUCAGUGGGAGAAGAAGCAUUAAUGGGGACACAAGACUUUGACUACUCUUCAGCUUUAUUUGGGAUGAAUAUUUUAUUUUCAAUAAAUUGUUUACACCUUUUAUUCUUUUAUCUUUUUUCUGGGAAACACCUCAAUCAAAUCACAUCUAAUUCCAAGAACAGUGCCAUGCAAGCAAAAGAAAAAGAAAUUUUAAUAUUAUUGAAAAAAUUUUAAAUAAAUUUGGACCAUAUGCUUGUAGAUCAACCUUUAUCACCUUAAUAAACUCCAAUUACAAUGAGGAGGACCAAGAGAACGCAAGUCUUUAGUCUUUUUUGAAGCACAAAAACAUUUAAGUGGCUGGGAACAACCUUUUGUGUUAUGUAAGACAACUAUUUGUUGCAUCUUUCUAAAAAGUAAGUUCAUAGUUAGAAGUGUCAAGCAAGGCGGCUCAAUGCCCAAUUGUAUAGAUUCUUUUUAUUUUAUUCCACGAAUACUUAACUACUUUUCAAAUAAUUACUUGAAUUUAAAAUAAAACAAAUUAAAUAUAAGAUAUAAUUUCUAUUUAUUUAAGUUUAAAUUCAAAACUAAAUUCUAUUUCUAAAUUUUAAUUAUCUAAAACAAUCGACUUAAAUUAAUUUAAAAACUUAAAUUUGAAAAUACAUGAAGAGACUUCAAAUUCCGUUUUAUUUUAAAUGAAAUCAGUUUAGCAUAGAGGUGUCUAUGGAUCAGGUCAAGUCGAACCGAAGUUCAGCUUCAAACAAUUUCUAAGUCCUAGCCUGUUUUUGAUCCAACUCACCCAAAAGCUCGAUUUUUAUUCGAAAAUAUUAAAAAUGUUUUUAAUUGAUAUUUUACAUAUUUUUAUAAUUAAAUUUAAAUUUAAAUUUAAAUUUUUUAUUAUUAUUUAAAUUAAACUAUAAAAAUAUUUAUCCAAACCUGAACUAAAUCGAGUUAGGCCGGGUGGGCGAUCCGGUCAACACAGGAAAGGAAAAAAAGGAAAGACGAAUCCUAAACAGGCAGUGUGCAGCCCACUAAAUUUAUUUUAAUUCUACAUGCAUUCCAUAUUAUUAUUUAGGAAUAAUAUAAUUUUUGACCCCUAAUCUUAAUAGUUAGGUGCACUUUAGUACAUAUAUCCUUUUUGCUCUACUUUGACACUUGAACUUCACAACUAAAUAUAUUUUGGUUCCUAAACUUAAAAAAUAUGAAAGUUUUAUGAUGCAACUCUCGGAGAUUGUGUUACAUCAUCACUUAAAAAUUAAAAAUAUAUAUUUUUAGAGAAUGGCGUGGUACAAUCUCUAAGUGUCACAUUCAUUAUUUUAAUAAUCAAAUUGAUAAUUGAACCAGUCAGACCACUACUACUCGAUUCAACUAGUUUGAUCAGUUCGACUGUCGGACCAAUAAUAAUUAAAUAAAUCAUUAAACAUUCAUAAAGUUCGAAAAAAAUAGAAAACAAGAUUUAUUAAACAGAUUAAACAUCGUCAACAGCUGGGGUUUUUCUUAGUUUUUUUUUACCAAUUUCAAGUUUUUUUUUAUUUAAUUGAUUCAACCUCUUUGUUCAAACCAUUAUACUGAUCGACUCUCAAUCCCAUCAGUCUAACCAUCCAAUCCACUCCUAUACUAGUAACACUGAUCACAUUAUCAAAUCUUAAUAGAAUUCAAGUUUAAGAGACCAUAAUAGACUUGGUUGCCAAGUCUAGAUGCCACAGUGGACCAAAAGAUUUACAAGUACCAAAGUAAACCUAAUUGUCAAGUUCAGGGCCAAAAUUUAUAUUAUCCUUUAUUUUUAUUAGUUUCACUACAAAAAUUAUAAGAGUUUUACAAAUUGCACAAAAAGAAAACCUGAAAAACAGAAUAGGUGCUUGAGGUAGAGUUUAUAUAUAAUUGGUAAAAAUACCAAGGAAGCUCCUGUACCUAGUGGUAAAUUGUAUUUCGGUUCAUCUACUGAAAAAUGGAAAAUUUAGUUUUUAUACAUUUUGAAAUGUGAAAAUUCUAUUAAAUGAUGACUUGGACAAGUGGAAAAUUAUUAUUUACUAGUAAACUAUAAAAAUGGUCACUCAACUAUUAAUUUUUUCGAUUUAGUCGCUAAACUUUUCAAAAUUAAAUAUUUUAAUUACCUUGAGCUUAUGUGGUUUUUUUUAUUAGUCUAGUAACAAAAUUAUCCCACUAAUAUUUACAUAUUUUAUCAAUUUGGUCUUAAACAUAAAAAAAUUAAUAAAUUUGGCCCUCCAUAUUUACAAAAUUGACCAAUUUAAUCCUAACUAUAAGAUUUUCUUAAAUAUUUCUUAAAAAAAAUAUUUUUAGCCAUUUAUAACACAUCCCAUGUGAGAUAUUAAAAUAAGAAAAAAAAUUAUCCUCUUUUAAAUCACUUGUAAAAAAAUUCGAAAAAUUCAGGAUAAAACACCAAAAAAUUUAAGAUCCAAAAGAAAACAAAUGCAUUAAAAACGUUAUUUGUACAGGUAGUACUAUAGCCAUUUAGUCUAAAUAGGUUCAAAAUCAAUUGGUUUGGUCCAAUGUGAAGUAUAAAUUAUAGUAAAAGAAAUUGUUACAAGUGACAUGAAAGAGGAUGCUAUUUUUCUUAUUUUAAUAUCUGACAUGGAUUAUCCCGGUGAAUUAUAAAAGACUAAUAAUGAUUUUUUAAAAUAUAUACAUUUAAUUUUUAAAUAUAUAUAAUAAAUUUUCUAACUGCAAAUAUAUAUAUAAAAAGUCAACAACAUUAAAAAUACCAAAUUAAGGGAAAACUUUGCAAUUUUAUGAAGGUUGAGGUGUAGCAUGCUAUGUUCCUAGCAUUUAAAACAAGUACUUGAACUUCAUACCAUGGUAUGUUCCUUAUGAUAUUGCAAACACCGUCUUAAUUAUAUUUAUGGCAUUUGUGGUAUAAUAUGAUACCAGGGAAGAAAGUUAGGUAAGAAAUUAAAAUUUUAUAUAAAAAUUAAAUAAUACUUUAAUUGAAAUGGUAAUAUUAAAAUUUUGAUAUGUAUAUGUUUCCGGUUCAAAUUUUAUCAUAGUAUUAUUUUAUUAAAAAGAUAUGAAAAAAUAAGAACACUCUCAUAUUUAAUAUUUCUUACUUUGUAUAUGAAAUGAUAUUUUAGUAAUAUCUCAAUUGAUUUCAUGACUAAUUGACUCAUGAUACGAACUCAACCAAAAAUUUAAUUUAAGUAUAGAUUUAACAAGUACUUAAUAGUAAUAUCCCUAACUAUGUAACUUGAAACCCAAUAAAUCAAACCUAGACCUACCCAUGGGUCGGGGCCACUAAGCCUAGUCGAAGCCCUACCUGAAAAAUGGGUUUGGGAAAAAAUAAUGCAUGUUUAGAAAACAAGUCGAGCCUUAAGUAAGACUUUUUUGUUUAGGCUCAGCCCAAAUUUGUAAAAAAAAAUUGUUGUUUUCUCACUGCCUUACUGUCAUUUCACUAUUAUGUUGCUACUAUUUUAUUAUUAUUGUUUGGAUAUUAUAUAAUUCUUAUUUUAUUGUUAAUUUUGCUACUAUUUUAGAGUCAUUUUCUUGUCAAGUUGCACAUAUUUUAGUGUUUUUUAAGUACAAAUAUUUUUAAUUUAUUUUCAAUUUGUUGAAAAACAUUUGUUUUAAUGUUUUUAGUGUUCUUGAUUAAUUAUAUAUUUUUAAAUGAUAUAAAAAAAUUUAAUACGGGUGAGCCGGUCUUGACUUGGGUUUUAUCAUUUUUAUUUAGGUUAGCUUGAACAAAAUUUUAGGCUCAUUUUUUAGGUCAAGCCGAACCCGAACCUAUCAAAUAGGUCUAAAAUUUUGUCAAAACCCAACUUGACUCAUGGACAGAUCUAAUCAAACAUACGUAAUUUCCAUUUCUUUAAAAAAAUCUUUCAUUAAAAAUUUUAAUUUUACUAAAUUCAAUUUAAAAAAAACAAGUUUAAUUUAAUCUCAUUCAUCAUUUCCUUUAUAGAAUAAUACUUAAUAUACUAUUAGAAUAUGAGUCUCAGACACUAUAAAUGAAUAGUAAUAAUAAAAUAGAUUAUUAUUGGGUAAAAAUAAUAAUGAAAAAUUUAUAAAUAAAUAUUAAAAAUCUUGUUAAUAUUAAAUAAGAAAAAUAAUAUAACAAUUAUACUACAUUUGAUUGGAGUAUUAUUUUCUUUCACAUGUUUUAGUCAUCUGUUAGAUAUAAAUUAAUCACAAUUGGUAAUUUUUAAGGGUAAUUAUACCAACAGUCAUUCAAAUUUGAUACAGCUGACAAAACAGUAACUUAGGUUUUAAUUCAGUCACUCAACUUUCAAAAAAUGACAAAACUGUCCUUUUAACCAUUUUUAUUAUAGACAUAACAGAAAAGUGACAUGGCAGUUGACGGCUUCCUUGUUGUCAUUAACCAACCAGUUGGACACUAAGCAACAAUUUAAACAACCCCUUUUAGCAUCACUUUAGGGUUUAGGCAAUAGAAGAAGAAGAAGAAGAAGAGGAAGAAAAAAUAGAAAGUUGCACCAAUUUGGGGACCUAAGUAAUACCAGAAAUCCAUUAGAAUUUCUGGAUUUGGCAUCAUGAUGACUGAAGCUCCUCAAAGUUGCAAAGUUCCUUUGCCUUCCUUGACUAGGAAAGUCCCUUUCCAGUAGCCGCUUUAUUUCAAGCUUGGAUUUUGCUUCGCCUAUAUCAAUAGAUGCAAACUUGAGCAGAGUGGAGAUAAAAAUUUGGGUUUGUGGGCAUUGUAUUAAGACCUUGGUUGACUCCAACUCAGUUUAAAUAGGAAAGACACCACGGUAGGGAUCGAGAAUUCGACAGCUUAAGGUUGUAGUCAAUGCAACAAGCAUUUGAAUGCUUAUCAAGGGUCUAAGUAACCUCUUCAUGAGAACAGUCACAUUGGAGGGAUGAUAAAUAAAGUUUGCUAAGUAUGGCCAAAAUAAGAAAAAAAAGUACAGAUCUUGGAUAAAUUUGUAUCAGAUUUAGACCUAUCUUCAGGUUUAGUAGACCUAUAUUCAGAUUUAGACCUAUCUUCAGGAUUAGGACCUUGGUUGACUCCAACUCAGUUGAAAUAGUAAAGACAUCGUGGUGGGGAUCGACAAUCCGACAGCUUAAGGUUACAGUCAAUGCAACAAGCAUUAAGAAGGAAAAAAGUACAGAUCUUGAAUAAAUUUGUAUCAGAUUUAGACCUAUCUUCAGGUUUAGUAGAUUUUGACAUCCCAAAUAGAGAAAGGCGUUUAAUCACAAAAAAGAUGUUAUCUCAGUAUUGGAUUUUACAGGAAAUGAAGAAAAAAUAUCAGAUCUUCCUCAUGAAAUGAGAAAUAAUUUCUUAUUUUUGAAUAAAACCUAGAAAGAUGAAAAGAUGAAAUCUUGAAGUGAGAAAUCUCGCAACAAAGUGAAAUGAAAAUUGCAGAUGAAAAAUACCAAUCAAUUUCUAACCCUUAACCCUGUUAAUCGAUUUUUAAUUUGAUUUUUUAAUCCUUAACCAACCUUGAACCCUGAAAUUGAUUUCUAACCCAACACUCUGGUUUGUUAACUAUUGUUUCUAAUCCACAAUAGCAACAACUAAAGGAAGAAGAAAAAGUAUAUCGGGGAAAAAAACGUUAACGGUUUUACAGUCUCUUCUUCUUCUUCUUCUUCUUCUUCUUCUUCUUCUGUUAUUAGGGUUUUUUUCUAUUUCUUCUUAAAUUGGGAAGGUUUCCACGUGGACAUAUCCAACGUGGGUAGUUCGUUGGCCAUGUUAGCUAGUUAACUGGUCACAUCACUUGUCUCCUUAGGUCUGUAACGGAAAAUAUUAGUAGGUGACUGAUUUGUCACUUUUUGGUAACGUUAGUGACCAGUUUGUCAAUUUUUAAAGUUGAGUGACUGAAUUUAAACCUAAGUGACUGUUUUGUCAACUGCAUCGAAGUUGGAUGAUUGUUGGUGUAAUUUACCCAAUUUUUAACCACUCUAUGACUUGUUUAUGAUAAAAAAGAGCAAAAUUUUUUGCUUAUUUUGAAGGGAUCUUAUUUUUUAAGUUUUUACUCUCUUUUUUAAUUCCUAUAUAAUUUGUACUAAUUAUUUUAAAACAUGUGUUAAAUAAUUUUUUUGUGAAAAUAGAAUGUUGGUAAUGACAAUAAAUCACAAAGAAAAGAGAAAUAAAAAUAAAGAACACAUAGAUUUUUACGUAGAAACCCUUUCGGGAAAAAACCACGAGCAGAGGAGAAGAAAGUUUAUUAUGUCGAAUUUGAAUGAUUUACAAGAGGAGUUUCGACUACAUCUAUUUAUAGGUUGAAAAAAAACUAAUUCUAAUCAAAGUCAAAUAUAUUAUGCUAAUAAAUGCUAAAUAUAUUAUGCUAAUAAAUGCUAAAUAUAUUAUACUCAUAAAUACUAAAUUUUCUAAAAAGAAGAUAUAUUUUGUUUAACUCGACUUGCAAGCAAUCUCUUAGAAUUUGGGUCACACAACUCUAGUAAUCUCCACCUUGACACGAAUUCUCAAUGAACAAUUUCUUCAUCGAGAACUCUCAACAAACAAGUUUUUCACCUCUUCUAUAAAACCCCUUAAAGGUUUAACUUCAACAAAGAACACUAAUCAAGUCUAAGCAAUGCUCAAACUUGGUUAUAGGAAGUGACUUAGUCAUCAUAUCUACAGGAUUUUCAUGAGUACUAAUUUUGCUCACAACAAUAUCAUCACGAGCAAUAAUAUCACGAACAAAAUGAUACCGAACAUCCAUGUGUUUUGUUCUCUCAUGGAGCAUUUGAUCUUUUGUAAGGAAGAUGGCACUCUGACUGUCACAAAAUACUAUAUUGAUUUGAAGGUCUUCAUUGAGAUCACUAAAGAGUCUCUUCAGUGGUUGAUAAAGUAACUGUAGUUUGCAAAGUGGCUUUCCAAUUGAUUGCACAACCUCCAAUUAUAAAGACAUAACCUAUGAGAGAUAUUCUUCUAUCAAGGUCUCCAGCAAAAUCAGCAUCAACAUACCCAAUGACUCCAUCUCUAGUUCUUCCAAACUGUUAGGAAACAUCAGCAAUACCUCGUAAGUAUCUUAAAAUCUACUAAACUGUUUUCCAAUAUUUUUUACCGAGAUUCACCAUGUAUCUGCUAACUGCACUAACUGCAUAUGAUAAAUAUGGACAUGAACAAACCAUAACAUACAUAAGAGAUCCUACUGUACUAGAGUAUGGAACAUGUGACAUGUACUCAAUCUCAUCAUCUGAUUGUGAAGACAAAGCUGAUGAAAGUCUGAAAUGGGCUGUUAAAAGAGUACUAGCAGGCUUAGCAUUCUGCAUAUUGAAUCUGGUAAGAACUUUCUCAAUCUACCCCUUUUGACUUAGGUACAAUUUACUUGCUUUUCUAUCUCUGAGAAUCUCCAUAUCAAGUAUCUUCUUUGUUGGUCCCAAAUUUUUCAUUUUAAACUCUUCACUUAGUUAGGCUUUGACCUUUCUUAUCUCUCCUUUAUCUUUUGUUGCUAUCAACAUGUCAUCAACAUAAAUGAGUAGAUACACAAAAGAACCAUCACUGUUUUUCUUAAAGUAAACACAACUGUCAAAGCUACUUUUUUUAAAAUCAUGAGAAGUUAUAAAGGAACCAAACCUUUUGUAACACUGUUUUGCUAACUGUUUCAAACUGUAAAGGGAUUUUUUUAGCAAGCAAACAUAGUCCUCUUUUUCUGAGACUGUAAAACCCUCUGGUUGUUACAUGUAAAUAUCCUCCUCAAGUUCUCCAUGCAAAAAUACAGUUUUUACAUCUAACUAUUCAAGCUCUAAAUCAUGUAUAGCCACAAUGCCAAGCAAAGCUCGAAUCGAACUAUGUUUCACAAUUGGGGAGAACACAUCUGUGAAGUCCACUCCUAAAAUUUGACUGUAACCCUUUGCAACAAGUUUUGUUUUGUAUCUAGGUUCUUCAACUCCUGGAGUCCCUUCUUUCUCUUUAAACACCCAUUUACAAUGAACAACUUUUUUACCGUUAGGAAGUUUCACAAGAUCGUAUGUUUUGUUUUUGUGGAGUGAUUUCAUCUCCUCUUGCAUAGCAAACAUCCACUUUUUUUAGUCUUCAUAGCUAAACGCAUCAGAAUAAUUAGAUGGCUCUUGAUUUGCAUCUAUAUCUUCAGCCACAUUUAAAGCAUAAGCAACUAGAUCAGUCUUAGCAUACUUCUUUGGAGGUUUAAUUUCUCUUCUAGUUCUGUUUUUAGCGAUAGAGUAUUAUGGUGAAGAAGCAGCUCUAUUUUAAAUUUUUUUGUACUGGCUUGAGGAGUAGACUCUGUUGUAGAUUCUAGAUUAAUCUAAUGCUCUACCUGCUUUUGAUUUUCUUUAUUUGAAGAGUCUUUAAGAGAUAAGUUAGGUCACAUGUAACAACCCGGUUUGACUCUAAUCGGAAUAGUAGUUUUGGGACCACAAAUCUGAGUCCUAAAAAUAUUUCAAUAUUAUUUUGUGUGUUUACUUUGUGUGCAUUUGAUUGUGUGAAAUUUUCGUGUUUUAGUUUUGUUGUUUGAGUGUCCGAUUAAAAAAAAGGAUUAAAUCGCGAAAAAUAAAAAUUUAGGGGUUAAUUAUAAAAGCACCUAAUUGUUGUUGUCUUUUUAAAUGGAAGGAUUUAUGAUGCAAUAAGACCAUAAAGUAGUGAGUGGGUGAUAAUGGUCAAAAAUGACCUUAUAUUAUAAGGUUUAUAUAAUUUGUAUUAAAGGUUAAUAUAGUAAACUAAUAAUUAAAUAAACAUAUGAUAUAAUAAAUCAAUUGAAGCCAUUAUUUUCAUUCUUCCUUUGCUGAAAGUUAGAAAAACAAAUAGGGUUUAAAAGCUUUGAGGUAUCCGGUCAUUAACAAGCUUAAUUCAAGGUAUGUUUUACUUCGGUUUUUGAUAAUUUUUACGUUUUUGAGAUCGUUGCUUCGUGUUCUUCAAAACCCAUAUCUUAAUUUUGUGAAUUGUGGAUGAUUUUGAAAUGUGCCAUUGAUGAAUGCUUGAGUUUUAUGAUGUUAGUAGGUGAAAUAUGAAAUAUAUUUGUUAGAUUAAUAUAUUUUGUAUUGGAAUUUUUAGUGAAAUUGAGUAAAUAGGGCUAAAUUGUGAAAUUAAAUUUUUGGGGAACUAAAGUGUGAAAUAAAUGCAAUGUGUGGACUUGUAUGAGAACCAUGAAUAUUCGGCCCUUGUGUGGUAUGGGCAAAUUUUGUAUAAAUUGUGUUUUAUGCAAUAGGGACUAAAUUGCAAAAAGUGUAAAUAUUAGGGGCAAAAUAGUAAUUUUCCAAAUUAUUUGUUUUUGGAUUAAAUUGAAUGUGUUAAUAAAUAAAUUAUCUUAUUUUGAAUAUAUUUAGAUCGAGAACCAAAGAAAUCGGAGUUAGAUCGGCGAAAAGCCAAAUUAGUCGAAUAAUCGUCCGACUUCGAUUUUCCAUCGUCCGAGGUAAGUCUAUUAGCUAUUUAAUGUUAUUAAAUCAAUAUAUAUAUGUAUGAAUAUCUAUUAUGUUGUUGUUGAGCUAUAAUUAAAAGUAAUUUAAUUGAAUAAAUUCAAAUUAUAAAUGGUAUAAAUAUGUAUAUACAAUGUUCAAAUAUAUAGGUAUAUGCUUAUAUAAAUUUUUGAACUAAGUUAAAGUAUGAAUGGUAUAAAGUUAUAUAUAUAUAAAUUCAAAUAAUUAUAUAUGUAUCUAUAUGUAUACAUAUACUUGAAUUUGGUUGGUUGUAUGAGAGUUAUAUAUAUGUGCACUUAAGAUUCAAAUAUAUGUAAGUAAAAACAUGUAAUUCUUGCUUAAAUUAAAGAUAUGUAUAAUACAUAUGUAUACAUAAGUUUCGAACAUAUAGAUGUAUGUAAAAACAUUUGGGUUUGAUUAAAAGUAUGUAUGUUGUAAUUGUACAGAUAAUUUCGAAUAAGUAAGUAUAUGGAGUUGGAACAUCUAUAUAUAUAUGAAUAAGUCUUGAUUAUAUUUUAAGGUAUAAAUGUUAAAAACGUACGUGGGAGUUCGAAUAUAUCUAAAUGUAUAUUUGUGUACAGAUUCUUGAAUUGAAUCGAAUGUAUGAUUCGCAAACUCUUUUGUGAUUGAAUAUGGACUACAAUGAAUGUGUGUUUGCUGUUAAUAAGUAUUUGAGGAAAUUAUUCUGUAUAUGGGAAAAAUUGAGAUUUUCAAGCAUAGCGCUUAGCAGGCUUAUUGCCGGUGAAACACUUCAGACUAUAUGUCUAGCAGGCUUAAUGCCGGUGAAAUAUUUCAGACUAUAUGUCUAGCGGGCUAAGUGCCGGUGUACUGAAUCAGGCUUAAAGCCUAGCAGGCUAAAUGCCGGUGAAUCUGUUUUAAGUAUGUGAUUAGGUGUACAAUUAUAUGAUUUUGGAUAUAUUUAAUUGAUAAGUAUAUUUAUAUAUAUACAUUUGGCUAAGUGCGUUUGAUGAUUAUAUAUAUAUCCGGCUUAUACAAUUGAGAAAUAUAUAUAUGCUCUGGGAUUAUGCAUUUGAUAAAUAUAUACUUUUAAAUAUUCGGUACACAUAUUUGAUUAGUAACUAUAUAUGCAUUCGAGAUAUAUAUAUACCUUGGUUUAUAAGUAUUUGAUGAAAAUGAAUGCAUUCGUUCAUAUGUAUUAGAUUUGUAUUGGUUUAAAGUUUAAAAUGAGUAUUCAUACACAUUCGGUUAUGAUAUGUGUAUAAUAUAUAUAUGCUCGGUUGUAUACAUUCGUUGUAAUGUUGUUUGGUAUAAAAAUAUAUAUUCAAUUGAUCGCUUUCGACAGGUAUGCAUAUCUGUCUAUAAAUGAAAUGGUCUGAGUACAAUAAUAUAUAAAUAUUAGUUAUUCGUGUUAAUUGAAAUCUCAGUGAAAUAGAUUAAAAAGUAACUUUAUUUAUAUAUUUAUAUACAUUUAGUUAUGCUGUAGACUUACUAAGCUAUAAAAGCUUACUUUGUUUGUUUUCGUCCAUUUGCUUUUAUAGAUUUUGGAGACGCGUUACGAGCUCGGGGAUCAUCAACAUAGUCCAUCACACUAUCGACUUCUUUUGGUAUUUUGUUAAAUAUUUGAACUCAAUCUUAUGGCAUGUAUAGGUUUGAGUAUGAUGUUAAUUACAUUUUGAUUGUAAAUUAUAAUAGUUAUGCGAAAGUAAUUAAAUUUUUACGUUGUGAUCAGUUUGGUUUUAACAUUGUUGAAUUUGUUCGGUAAUGCCUUGUAACCCUAAUUCGGCGACGGAUACGGGUUAGGGGUGUUACAUCACAUAACAGUUUCAUAAAAAACAACAUCUCUACUAAUCACAACAUUUCUAUUUUUAGGACACCAUAACUUAUACCCUUUUACACCAGCUUUAUAACCAAGAAAAACAUAUUUAAUGGAUCUCAAUUCCAAUUUUCCAUUAUCAACAUGAGCAUACGCAGGACACCCAAAGAUCUUUAAAUCAGAAUAGUCAGCAGGAUUACCAAACCAUACCUCUUGUGGAGUCUUUUUCUCAAUGGCAACGGAUGGAGAUUGGUUGAUCAAAAAACAUGCAGUAGAGGCUACUUCGGCCCAAAAUGACUUUGGUAAGUUGGCAUUUGACAACAUACAUCAAACCUUCUCCAUGAUCAUUUUGUUCAUUCGUUCUGCAACGCUAUUUUGCUGUGGAGUAUAACGAACUGUCAGGUGUCUCACAAUCCUUUCUAACUUGCACAAUUUAUUAAACUCAUCAGAGUAGAACUCUAAGCCACUGUUUGUGUGGAGGUAUUUUAUUUGUUUUCCAGUCUAUUUUUCAACCAUAGUUUUCCAAGACUUAAAUGCAAAAAAGACAUCGCUUUUCUGCUUUAAGAAGAACUCCCAAACUUUUCUGGAAAAACCAUAAAUAAAAGUUAGCAUAUUAAUUAGCUCCAUCUCUCGAAGGCACUCUGGAUGGCCCUCACAGAUCAAAAUGAAUAUACUCUAAUGUUUCUUUCGUGUUAUGGAUUCCUCUAGUGAAUUGAAUUCUCUUUUGCUUCCCAAAAACGUAAUUCUCACAGAACUUCAGUUUGUAAAAUCCUUGCCCAAGAAGAAGUCCUCUUUUUCCCAAUUAUGCCAUGUCAUUCUCACUCAUAUGCCCUAGGUAUAUAUGCCAAAGUUUAGUAAUAUCAUCAUCUGACAAGGAAGAGGAUGCGACAACUGUAUCACCAGUAACAAUAAAACUUUGCAAAACAUAUAACUUUGCAGUUUUUCUCUGCCAUUUCAUUACAACGAGGGAACCUUUGGAAAUCUUUAAAAACUCCACUUUCAGUUGUGUAUUUGUACCCUUUUGAAUCAAAUGCACUCAACGAAAUUAACUUUCUCUUCAAUUUUGGAACAUGUCGUACGUCACUAAGUGUCUGACAAGUCCAUCAAACAUCUUAACUUUAAUUGCUCCAACACCUGCAAUUCUACAUGAAGCAUUAUUUCCCAUCAAAACAACACCUUCAAACACUGUUUCGUAAGUUGUAAACCAAUCCUGAUUGGGACUCAUGUAGAAGGUGUAGCCCGAAUCAAAGACUCACUCCUCGCUCACUUUAGAAUUGUAGAUAGAAACGACUAAAAGUUCACCAUCGCUAUAGUCUUCUACAACAUCAAUUUUACCAAAAUUUUCUGGUUGUUUUCCAUUUUGAUUCGCAACCUCCCUUUUGAUAUUGUUUUGUAGCUUAUAGCACUCAGAUUUAAUGUGCCCUUUCUUCUUGCAGAAGUUACAAGAUUUACCUCUGUUUGAAGACUUUGAUCUACCUUUAGAUUUACCGUGAGGAUUCCAUUCUUGUGUCGUUCCAUGAUCAUUAUCAACAUUCCGAUCUUAUCUUCUAUGAACAAUGUAACCCUCUCACUGAGAGUUAGUUUUAACUACAAGAUGCUUCAUCUUAUCAUAUAAGGUUAAAGAAUCAUAAACCUCAUCAAUUGUGAGAGACUCAAGGCUAUAUAAAAUGGCAUCUCUAAAGGUUGAAUAAAACGGGGACAACAAACAAAGUAGAAUCAACUCUAGAUCUUCCUUAUCAUACUGAACCUCCAUGGCUUCCAAGUUUGAGAGAAUUUCUUUAAACAUUGUUAAGUGUUCGUGCACAGACGCACCUUCCUCCAAACGAUGAGCAUAAAAACGCUGCUUCAUAUGCAGCUUGCUAGUUAGAGUUUUUGACAUAAAUAUUUGUUCCGGCCUCUUUCAUAAUCUAGCGGUGGUAUUCUCCUUUAUCACAUCCUGUAAAAUUUCAUUAGACAAGUGCAGAUGUAACUGUGUUAACACGUUUCGAUCCUUGCGGUUCUUCUCUUCCACCGUCAAUGUUGAAGGCAUCUUAUCUAUCCCUAGCAGGGUUUCCUCUAAGUCUAUCUGUGCAAGAACUACCUGCAUCUUUAUCUACCACAACGCGAAUCUGGUUUUGCGAUCCAACAGCGAAAUUUCAUACUUCAAAUACGCCAUUACCGUGAUUGAGAUGAACAAAUCGAAAGCUCUGAUACCAAUUUGUGAAAAUAGAAUGUCGGUAAUGAUAAUAUAUCACAAAGAAAAGAGAAAUAAAAAUAAAGAACACACAGAUUUUUACGUGGAAACCCUUUCGAAAAAAACCACGGGCAGGUGAGAAGAAAAUUCACUAUGUAGAAUUCGAAUGAUUUACAAGAGGAGUUUCGACUAUAUCUAUUUAUAGGUUGAAAAAACCCUAAUUCUAAUCAAAGUCAAAUAUAUUAUGCUAAUAAAUGGUAAAUAUAUUAUACUCAUAAAUAUUAAAUCUUCUAGAAAGAAGAUAUAUUUUGUUUAACUUGACUUGCAAGCAAUCUCUUAGAAUUUGGGUCACAAAAAUAACAUUUUUAACCAUACUGAAAACCAUUUUUUAAUUAAAUAUAAGUACUUAAUAUUUAAUUAAAUUAAAAAGAAAAGAGAUCAAUUCUAAAAUUAUGUAUGGACUUUGAUUUAAUUUGCAAUUGUAUAUAUAAAUUUUAAUUUGGUGUAAUUAUACACGUGUAACUCUAAUUGUGGUUCAAAUAUAUACUUGAAACUUUAAUUUUAAUUUAACCAUAAACAUUUAAAGAAAUAAAAACAUCAAUUUAUUUUUAUAUUGAAUAAAUAUAAUUAUUUAAGUGUGCAAUAUAUAAAUAUAAAAUGAUGUUAUAUCAAUAAUUGUGUUAAUAAUUUAUAAGAAUUGGAUCAUAUCAAAAUUUCAUAUAUAAAAUUAUUAAAAUUUAUAUAUAGAAUUGUACAUUAAACCCAGAGUGCAUGUAUACAUAAUUAAUAGAUUGUACAUAGGAAGUAAGUUUUGCUUAGUGUAAUAUAACUGUCAUUCAAGAUUACGCAUUCAUUUCAGACAAAGCACACACCCUUUGAAAUUCAAGUUUUGAUUCAGAUUCUUUCUUCUUCUUUUUUUAAUAAAAUCUCUAUGAAAGGUUUUUUUUUUUUUUAAUUCCUUAACGGUAGUGAUUUUGGGUUAUGGAGAAAAAAGGAGUGAAAAGUUGUGAUUUUUGUGGAAGUAGGGAUUUUUCUGUUUUAAUAGUUUUAGAAAUGGGUUUGAUGGAGAUUUCAAUAAUGCUUCAUGUUGGAUUAGUUUUGUUGCUACUUUGGAUGCUUUCUCAAUUCAAUCUUUGCCAUCCACUCCCUUAUUUCCUGUCUCUCAUCUACCUCUAUUUGGUUAUUCAUUCAUCUUCUGCUGAGAAUAAAAAAUGAAUCUUUUUUUUCUUUAUUUUUGAACUUGGAUUGAACUUUUUUUUUUAUUGUUUUUGUUACAAAAAUUCCUUUUAUUUCUUUGUUCAUCAAAGGUUCAUGAAAUGUAUGUGACGAGAUUGAGGAAGAAAUUGGAGUUGGAGGAAAUAAUGCACAAAGAAACUAGACAUGUCAACAACAAAACAAUAAUGCCAACACUCUCAAACGCAACAACAAAAAUGUUUUCGAAAAGGAAAUAGGCAUCACACUUAGAGUAUAGAAAUACUUGGAUUGUAACCAUGAAAAACGAAAUAAGAUAUCUGUUGCGGAAAGGAUCGAUUCGAGAACUCCGAUAUGACUACAAGUAAAUUGACCGAAACGAAAAAUAAAGUGAACACAAGGAUUUACGUGGUUCGGCUUUAAUGCCUACGUCCACGGGCAGAGGCGAAAAGAAAUUUCACUAUAACAAGAUGAAGAUUACAAGUGUUUUACACUCAAGACACAACCCGAGAACCUCACAACUCUCAACCCCUAUAGAAAACCCGAAAGCUAAAAUCCUAGCUUUCAAAGAACAAGCUUUGCUCUCUCUUGGUUUGGGAUGAUAAAUAUGGCUAAUGAACCUCUCUAUUUAUAAGAGAGUUCAAGGACAUAAUUGUCCAAAACUUUGGCAAAGAUUUGUGGUUGAAAAUGGACACCAACAACCAUCCACUAAUCCACUACCACCAACAACCCACUACCAACAACAACAAUCCACUACCAAUUUUAAGCCAUUUCUUAACAAAUCUCCACCUUGGCUUGAAAUUUACCAAGCUGAACAUCAUAGUGAAUUCCUCGAACUGGAUCACCUCUUCCAAACGCCUCUCUGGCGCUAAUCAAUCCCGAAUACCUAUCAAGUCCAAGCAAUGCUUGAACUUAUAUGCAGGGAUCACCUUAGUUAACAUAUCUGCAGGAUUCUUCUCGGUAGCAACCUUGCUGAUAACAAUGUCACCUUGCGUAACAUGUUCCCGAACAAAAUGAUAUCUGACAUCAAUGUGUUUGGUCCGUUCAUGAAACAUCUGAUUUUUAGUCAGAUGUAUGGCACUCUGGCUAUCGCAAAAUACAACAGUGAAAUCCUGUUGUAAACCCAAACUGCUUACUAGACCUUUCAUCCACAAUGCUUCUUUCACUGCUUCUGCUAACGCCAUAUAUUCCGCCUCAGUCGUAGAUAAGGCUACGGUAGACUGUAACACAGCUUUCCAACUAAUGGCUCCUCCAGAAUAAGUGAAAACAUAACCCGUCAGAGAUCUUCUUUUGUCCAGAUCUCCAGCAUAAUCAGAGUCCACAUAGCCCGUGACACUGCUAGUGCAGUCACUCUGAUCAUAUACCAAGCAUAAAUCUGCAGAACCUCUCAAGUACCUGAGAAUCCAUUUCACGGCCUGCCAGUGUUCCUUGCCAGGACAACUCAUGUAUCUGCUGACCACACUAACUGCAUGUGAAAUGUCUGGACGAGUGCAAACCAUUGCAUACAUCACGCUUCCAACUGCACUCGAGUAUGGAAUGUGAGACAUUUGCUGCUUUUCUUCAUCAGAUUGUGGUGACAACUCUGCAGAGAGUUUGAAAUGUGGUGCCAACGGAGUACUCACAGUUUUCGCUUUAUCCAUGCCGAAGCGUUGAAGAAUCUUUUCAAUGUAGUUCUUCUGCGACACACGAAGCUUGCCCGCCUUGCGAUCUCUGUGAAUAUCCAUGCCCAAAAUUUUCUUGGCAGCACCCAGAUCCUUCAUCUCGAACUCACCACUCAACUGCGACUUUAACUUGUUGAUUUCCGACAUGUUUUUGGAAGCAAUUAACAUGUCAUCAACAUACAGCAACAAAUAAAUGUGCGAACCAUCUGAGAGCUUCCGAUGAUAGACACAAGCAUCAUAGUCACAUCUUGUGUAACCAUGCUGAAUCAUGAAGCUAUCAAACCGCUUGUACCACUGCCUUGGGGAUUGUUUCAAUCCAUAUAAAGACUUCUUUAAUAGACAGACAUGGUCUUCUUUACCAGGAACUGUAAAACCCUCUGGUUGACGCAUGUAGAUUGUUUCCUCGAGCUCACCAUGCAAGAACGCCGUUUUUACGUCAAGCUGCUCAAGUUCUAGAUCAGACUUGGCCACCAUGGCAAGUAAUACACGAAUGGAAGAAUGCUUUACAACUGGGGAGAAAACUUCAUUGUAGUCAAUCCCCUCUUUCUGAGUGAAGCCUUUAGCAACCAAUCGUGCCUUGAAUCUAGUUGCUUCAACCCCUAGGAUGCCUUCCUUUUUCUUGAAGACCCAUUUGCAACCAACUAUCUUCUGGUUACUUGGCGGCUUAACCAACUCCCAAGUAUGGUUCUUGUGAAGAGAUUCUAUCUCCUCACUCAUAGCAAUUGCCCACUGUGCCGACUCAUCACACGUGACAGCCUCAUUAUAACUGGAAGGUUCUAUACCAAUGGACUCCGCCACACUGAGCGCGAAAGACACCAGAUUAGCGUAACGCGGAUUUGGUUUGAUUUGUCUCUUCGUUCUUCCAGUGGCAAUGCUAUAUGGUUUUUCUUGAGGUGACUCAUCUUCAUCGGAAUCUUGCACCUCAACUUGAUCAUCCUGGACUGAAGUACCUUCCGUAGGAAUUGGAGCGUCCACCUGACACUCCACCUGCUUCUCAACACCGUGAUCUCCCAUUCUAUCUGACUCCUCCUUUUCCCGGGAAUUUGUGGUGGAUCGAAGCAUGGAUGACUCAUCAAAAGUCACAUCUCUGCUGAUGAUGAACUUGGACGAAACCGGAUCAGGACACCACAACCUGUAUCCUUUCACCCCUUGGCCGUAUCCAAGAAAUAUGCAUUUCUUCGCCCUCGGUUUGAGUUUUCCCUCAUUUACAUGAGCAUACGCAGGGCAGCCAAACACUCUUAAACCAGAGUAAUCAGCAGGAGAACCAGACCAUACUUCCUCAGGAGUCUUCAGCUCAAUAGCUGUUGACGGAGAUCUGUUAACCAAAUAACAAGCAGUAUUAACAGCUUCAGCCCAAAAUUCUUCACCGAGCCCAGCAUUUGAUCGCAUGCAACGAGCUCGCUCCAAGAGAGUUCUAUUCAUGCGUUCUGCAACUCCAUUUUGUUGUGGUGUUCGACGAACAGUGCGGUGUCUCACUAUUCCUUCAUUUUUGCAGAACUCAUUGAAUUCACCUGAGCAAAACUCCAAGCCAUUAUCCGUCCGGAAUCGCUUGAUCUUCUUUCCUGUUUGAUUUUCGAUCAAAGCUUUAAAUUGCUUGAAGUUGAUGAGAACCUCAUACUUGCUCUUCAGAAAAUACACCCAAACCUUUCUCGAGUAAUCAUCGAUAAAGGUAAGCAGAUAUCUGUAACCACCUUUAGAAAUUGUCGGAGAAGGCCCCCAAAGGUCAGAAUGGAAGUAAUCCACUGUGCCUUUUGUCUUGUGAAUCCCAGUGCUGAACUUUACCCGAGUCUGCUUACCGAAGACGCAGUGCUCACAGAAAUUCAACUUUCCUGUACACUGCCCAGACAAUAAUCCUCGUUUGCUUAGCACCGAUAAGCCUCUCUCGCUCAUAUGCCCGAGCCGCAUAUGCCAUAACUUCGUGGUGUCAGAAUCUAGAUCAUCUGAUGAUGACACUCCCGCAACACCUGUAACCGAGGAACCAUCGAGGAAGUAAAGGCCCCGCUCCAAAUUACCACGUAUCACAGUCAAAGCACCCGAGAAUACCUUGAGAACUCCACCUUCAGCAGAGUACCGAAAGCCUUUCUUGUCCAACGUACUCAAAGAGAUCAAAUUUUUCUUCAUUUCUGGAAUGUGCCGAACAUCAGUUAGAGUUCUAACAAUACCGUCAAACAUCUUUAUACGAACUGUGCCAAUCCCCAUGACUUGACAUGCGUGGUCAUUUCCCAUUAGUACUGAACCAGAAUGCUUCUCGUAUGUUGAGAAUGCAUCUUUCGAAGUACUUAUAUGAAAUGUAGCUCCCGUAUCAAGAAUCCAUCUCCCACCAGCGUAAGAGUCGGAUACUGCAAGAACGAUCUCGGCAUCACUUGAAGAAUCUGCAUCAGCUACAUUCGCACGAUCAUUUUGUUGCUCCUGUGAUUCUGAUUUCUCCUUCCUUUUCGGACAAUCUACCUUCAUGUGCCCGUACUUCUUACAGUAGUAGCACUGUAUUCUCUUCUUGGACUGCGAUCUAGGAUGGCUUUUACUUGAACUUCCACCCUUUGCCUUGGAUCUUCCUCGAGCAACCAAGCCUUCGCCUUCAUUGUUUUCGACCACCUUACCAGUGAUUUUCUUCCUCAACUCACUGGAACUUAAGGCAUUUUUCACCUCCUCUAGAGUCAGGUCAUCACGACCGUACAUCAUUGUAUCAACAAAAUUCUCAUACGAGGGAGGCAAAGAACACAAAACAAUUAUUGCUUGGUCCUCAUCAUCGAUUUUGUUAUCGAUAUUAUUCAAAUCCAUGAUAAUGGAAUUGAAUUUAUCCAGGUGCUGGGAAACAGGUGUACCUUCCUCCAUCUUCAGGGCAUAGAGUCUUUGCUUGAGGUAGAGCCGGUUCGUCAAUGACUUCGUCAUGUACUUGCUCUCUAACCGGAGCCACAAACCGGACGCGGUUUUCUCAUCCGCUACUUCUCGUAGCACUUCAUCUCCUAGACAUAGCAGAAUAGCACUAUGUGCUCUUUCUAGCAUGUCAUCCUUUUGCUCUUCCGAAAGCGUGCUUGGUAAUUUAUCUUUACCAGACAAUGCUUUUAGCAAUCCUUGUUGAACCAGCACUGCCCGCAUCUUGAUGCGCCAUAAACUGAAACUAUUUUUCCCGGUAAAUUUCUCGACAUCAUACUUUGUCGAUGAAACACUUGUAGCCAUAAUUUGGAACCUUUGAAUGAAUGAUAAUAUUUUCUUCCUGAUGUGAAAGAUCAGACAAAGCUGCAGUCACAGGGCAAUUCAGAAAAUAUUAUCACUCCUUCAACUACGCUCUGAUACCAAUUUGUUGCGGAAAGGAUCGAUUCGAGAACUCCGAUAUGACUACAAGUAAAUUGACCGAAACGAAAAAUAAAGUGAACACAAGGAUUUACGUGGUUCGGCUUUAAUGCCUACGUCCACGGGCAGAGGCGAAAAGAAAUUUCACUAUAACAAGAUGAAGAUUACAAGUGUUUUACACUCAAGACACAACCCGAGAACCUCACAACUCUCAACCCCUAUAGAAAACCCGAAAGCUAAAAUCCUAGCUUUCAAAGAACAAGCUUUGCUCUCUCUUGGUUUGGGAUGAUAAAUAUGGCUAAUGAACCUCUCUAUUUAUAAGAGAGUUCAAGGACAUAAUUGUCCAAAACUUUGGCAAAGAUUUGUGGUUGAAAAUGGACACCAACAACCAUCCACUAAUCCACUACCACCAACAACCCACUACCAACAACAACAAUCCACUACCAAUUUUAAGCCAUUUCUUAACAAUAUCCAACAUCCUCAUCACAAUGGAUUCUCCUCUGAUUCAUUAGUAGCCUCAACAAUGUAAUAACACGAUUAAAAGUUAUCGUAGCAGUAACUCUUAUAAAUAUUAAAAAAUUAAUUUGUAAAUACAUCGAUCAUGUCUAAAUCUAAUCUAAGUCACGGUUGAUCUAAACAUGAAAAUUCUAACCAAUUCAUCUCAAUUCAAUCCAACUAAACCUAAACUAAAUUGACACAAAAAUCUAUUUAUAUAAUUUACUUUUAAUUUAUAUAUAAUUUUAGUUAUGAUUUAAAUUUAUACAUUUAAUAUUGAACAAAUAGUCAAACUAAAGAACAUUGGCAAUUAUGAUCAAUAACUUAACACAUAGGUAAUUAAAGAAAAUACUAAUAUAUAUUUAUAUUUAUAUUUAAGCCAAAAUAAUAUAAAGCUAAAAAGUGAGAUAAUGAAGUAAAAUAUUACUAACCUUAUGCAAUAUUUGAACUCGCUAUAGUAACACUAUCCAAUGGUGUACUUGGCUCAUUAUUAAAGUUCUCACAAUUAUGAACCUCCAGUGAUGUUUCAAGAGGAAGUUGAUGGAAUGGCUUAGGAGGCAUCUCAAAGAGUUCAACAUUAGAUUCAAGUAUCUUCAAGAUUUUACUCAUUGAAGGGCGAUCAGAAGGUAGUAAUUGUAUACACCAAAAAGCAAUUAUUAUCAUCUUCUUCACCAUUACUUUUUCAUCGUUAGAAAUAUCUCCGAACUCCAAGUCUUCUCCUUGAUCCAAUCGGUCAUAAAUCCAAGAUGGAAAAUAUAUUUGACUAGUGUGGUCAGCAAAUGCAUUCACAUUCUUUCCCCUUCUAACUAUUUCCAUCAAUAACAUUCCAAAACUAUAAACAUCGGCUUUGUAUGAGAUGCCUCAAUAUAAAGUGAUGAUUUUAUAAGUUUCGUACAAUUCAUAACAUAAAUAAUGCUAACCUCUAACCUUCCAUCAUAAUAAUUACCAUGAGGAUAAAUAUAAGAAUAAGAAUAAGAAUCUACAGAAGUAAUUAAGAGGAAGAGAGUUGCAAUCAUCCGUGUCCAACAAUCAACCCCUCCCAGAGUAGGCUGUCGAGGAGCCUCCUGCACAUCAUAAAUAGCACGAGUUGUACGCCCCAAAGCAUUUGCCAAGGACCAUCAAGAUGAAGGUCAAUAACAUUUGUGUAAAUUUGGAGUGCUACCUUACAGCCAAGACUAACAGAAUAGUGACUGUUUGGAUUGAAAUGCCAAAUGAGUCAGUUCGGAGUCGGAUACAAGCAAAGUAGCAUUCGAAGCAUCCGUUGCGCAUCAUAGGAGAUAGAAGACCUUGAGUUACAUGAUUUCAUUUUGAGUAUUGAAAAUUGAAAAUAGGAUAAGUACCAACCACUAAUAUAUUAUCAGCAAAAUCUCCCAAUUGAAAGAACAAAAGAUGCAUCUAUACUAUGUUUAAAAGUUUAAUAGAGUUUAUGGUUAUCUAUCAAUGAGGUAUCAACUCAAUUGUAAAAUCAUUAAAAUCUUAUUAUUUUGUUAAAAUAAAAAUAUUAUAUUGAGAGUAUUUUAUUUUUUAUUAAACUUUAUAAAAUUCAUCCAUUUAAUAGAAUUUGAACCCAAAACAUCAUAAUCCUUAUUACCUAAAUUUUACCAUAUUAAACAAAGCCACAUUUAGCUUUUAUAUCAUUUUUUAAAUAAGCUUGUUAUAUCAUUUUUUUUCACCCAUGUGAGGGUGCCAUAAUCUAAUAUAUCUUUAUUUAAUAAGUAAUAAUCCCAUAUGCAUUAGAGAGUAUUAAGUUGAGUUAUUAAAUUUAGGGUUUGUUAUAUUCUAACGACUAAUUUUCAAUUCCAUUGAAAUGAUUUAUAGGUGAUAAAUUUUACAAUUUAAUACGAUUAAUUUUAUUAUAUUACAAUGAAAAACAAAAGAAAAAGAAGAAUUUAAUAUGGUUCAAAGUUUUUAAAUAAAUCUGGACCAUAUACUUGUAGACAAACCUUUACCAUUAAUCUAUUCCAACUUCAAUGAGAACGACCAAGACAAUGCAAGUCUCAAUAGUCCUGUUUGAAACGCAAAAGCAUUCAAGUGGUUGAGAGCAGCAAGCCUGAUCCCUUUUGUCCUUUUGUGUUAUGUAAGUCAAUUGUAGAGAACGAUUGUUGGAUAUUUCUAAAACGUAAGUUAAUAGUUAGAACCCUUGAGCAACGCACAUUCCACCCCAACCCAUGCAUAACGUUAGACAAGACUCAAUGACUAAUUGUAUAUAUUUUUAAUUUUAUUCAACAACUACAUAAGUAUAUUUUUAAAUGAUUGUUAAUAUAAUUACAUGUAUUUUCAUCUAUUUUAUAUGAAUUUAAAAUAUUACAAAUUAAAUAUAAUAUAAGAUAUAAGUUCUAUUCAAUUAAAUUUAAAUUUAAAUUCAAAUUUUAAAUUAUCCAACAAUAUAAAUAGUAGACAUAAAUUCAAAGAAAAAAAUUUGGGGUUUAGCUGGAAAAUUACCUCUCAAAUUCCACUAAAAUAAAUAAAUAGAGUUUAACUCGAAGAUUACCUCUCAAAUUUAACUGAAAUAUGAAACAUACUCAAUAAUAAAGGUAUCAAUUCAAAGGUAUAAAGCUACAUAAAUUCUUAGUUAUGUCUUUGAAAUAUUUUCAUAAAGGCACGUGCAAAAACUUUUUGAUUCUAAACAAAUUCAUUGUCUCAACAUUACUUGUCGAAACCGUUUUUUGAAAACAAAGAUCUAGUUGUCGACUUUAAAAAUAAAACAGCAGUCGCCACCGAUCCUUUAUUAAGGUGUGAUCGGCUCACCUUUAAAAAUUAUUUUGGUCUACGAAUUUUGAGAAAACGAGUUCGGGAGUCAGUUACGCACGAGGAAGGGUUAGCACCCUCGUAACGCCCAAAAUCGGUACCAAAUUGGUUAUUUGAUGUCUUAGUGUCGAAGGUUAAAAAGAUUUUUAAAAUAAACUCAAUUGAUGGAAUUUGAAAAAGGAUAAUCAAUUGUUCAAGUCAUGUAAAGAAAUCGAGUCCCAAUACGUUAGGGUACAAUUCCUCAUAAUCCCCGAACUUUGAAUAUCACUUUAUUUUAUGUGAAAAUCUUCCUUUUGAGAAAGUAACAUGCCACACCAAAUACGUUAGGACACGACAUGUUAAGUUCCAAAAAAUGAUUUUUAUACUCAUGCAUUUUGAAUAAAGAAUAUUCUCGGUUAUUUUAGAUUGACAAAGAAAAUCGGAACCCAAUACGUUAGGGCUCAAUUCCCUCGAAAAUCCCAAACUUCGAAUAUUGCUUUUAUUCAAAAAAAAACUUUGAAUCAAGAGAAUAAUUUCAAUGUUUUGUCAAAAACCAAAAUAUAUCUUCUUGUUCAAAAGGAAAUGACAUAAUGUUAAUAGACAACAUGGAAUACAUACAUUAAUUUAAAUUAUACAUGUACAUGUAUUAUGAAAUGUCAAUGCAUAUAUAUACAUGUAUGCAAAAAGUUAUGGAAAUAAAAUAAUAAAAUAUAUAAAAUAUGGACAUGUAUUUACCAAAUAUGUAUAUAUAUACACACAUAUAUUUAUGAAAAAUAAAAACGUAUUUAGAGUCAUACAGAUAUAUAUAAAUCAUUAAAUAUAUGGAAAAAAAUGAAAAUAUGUAUAUAAAAGAUGUAUGUAUAUAGGUAUAUAUUUACAAAAUAAAAAAAAUGUAUAAGUAUACACGUAUUGGUAAAUCAUGAAAAUACAUAUAUGUAUAUUAAAAUACUUAUAUAUAUGUACAAUAUAUGUAUAAAUAAUGGAGUAUAUAUAGAAUAAUAAAAUAUUUAUAAUAACUCAAAAAUACAAAAAAAAUGUAUAUAUAUAAUAUAAAAAAUGUGUAUUUUGAAUUGUAAAAUAUGAGAAACAUGUGUGGAUUUUAAAAUGUAUAUGUAUACAUACAUAUAUAUAUGUUUGUAAAAAAAAUAAAAAUUAUGAAGAAUAAUAUAAAAACAUACAUAUACACGUAUUUACAAAAGUAAAAAAAAAUUUGAAGCUGAAAUAUAAAAGUAUAUAUAUAACUGUCAUUGAAGGGCGAUCAGAAGGUAGUAAUUGUAUACACCAAAAAGCAAUUAUUAUCAUCUUCUUUACCAUUACUUUUUCAUCGUCAGAAAUACCUCCGAACUCCAAGUCCUCUCCUUGAUCCAAUUGGUCAUAAAUCCAAGAUGGAAAAUAUAUUUGACUAGUGUGGUCAGCAAAUGCAUUCACAUUCUUUCUCCUUCCAACAAUUUCCAUCAAUACAUUCCAAAACUAUAAACAUCAGCUUUGUAUGAGAUGCCUCAAUGUAAAGCGAUGAUUUUAUAGGUUUCGUGCAAUUCAUAACAUAAAUAAUGCUAACCUCUAACCUUCUAUCAUAAUAAUUACCAUAAGGAUAAAUAUAAGAAUAAGAAAAGAAUCUACAAAAGUAACUAAGAGGAAGGGAGUUGCAAUCAUCCGUGUCCAACAAUCAACCCCUCCCAGAGUAGGCUGUCGAGGAGCCUCCUGCACAUCAUAAAUAGCACGAGUUGUACGCCCCAAAGCAUUUGCCAAGGACCAUCAAGAUGAAGGUCAAUAACAUUUGUGUAAAUUUGGAGUGCUACCUUACAGCCAAAACUAACAGAAUAGUGACUGUUUGGAUUGAAAUGCCAAUUAUGAGUCAGUUCGGAGUCGGAUACAAGCAAAGUAGCAUUCGAAGCAUCCGUUGCGCAUCUUAGGAGAUAGAAGACCUUGAGUUACAUGAUUUCAUUUUGAGUAUUGAAAAUUGAAAAUAGGAUAAGUACCAACCACUAAUAUAUUAUCAGCAAAAUCUCCCAAUUGAAAGAACAAAAGAUGCAUCUAUACUAUGUUUAAAAGUUUAAUAGAGUUUAUGGUUAUCUAUCAAUGAGGUAUCAACUCAAUUGUAAAAUCAUUAAAAUCUUAUUAUUUUUAAAAACAAAAAAAAUUAUAUUGAGAGUAUUUUUAUUUUUUAUUAAACUUUAUAAAAUACAUCAAUUUAAUAGAAUUUGAACCCAAAACAUCAUAAUCCUUGUACAGACCCAAUUUCUGCCCGGCCCACUAACAAAAAGAACCCAAUACCCACAAACCCAAUAACCCACCUAAACACUAACCCAUACCAGCAGACCCAAUUACCAGGCCCAGUGGCCCAAAAUUUUAAAAUCAUUUCAGAAACCCUAAUCCCCUUAACCCUAGCCGCCUCUUCUGAUCUUUCUGCUACUACUGCCGCCAUCACCUACCCUCUGCCACCGCCACUGUUUCGCCCACUUGCACCACCUGCUCCACCUGCAAAACAAAGGAGAACACGCAAACAAAGAAGGACAAAACAGUAGAAACAAUAAUAAAAUAAAUUGUGUAAAAAUGGCUAUAUAAAGGCCAUUCAAACGAAUUGUAAGGGGUUCGGCCCCUCUUUCACUAUUUCAAGAAAUAAAAAGGGCAAAGAAAACGGAUUCAAGAAAUUUUUCUUUUGGUAUAAACUCUAUUUUCUUUUAUUUAUAUUUUUCUCUUUAUUUUUCUUCCAUCCGAAACUGUUUGAUCCUUUAUUCUUAUUUUUAUUUUUCUUUUAUUUUUAAAAACAUAUAUAUAUAAAUAUAAUAUAUAGAUUUUAAAAUAAAAAAUAAUACCUUUUUUGAAUUUUUUGGCCACCAUACACGGUGGCCGGCGCGACGACGGAGCGGCGGCGACGUGGUGGCCAAGUUCGUCGGAUUCUGGGCAGUGCUGGAGAGGGGGAGAGAAUAUUUUUGAGAAGAAGAGUUUUUUUUUUUUAAGGAAAGCUGAAAAUGAUUUUUUUGGGGGGAAACCUUGACUUUUAUAGGCCCCCCAAAACGACGUCGUUUUGGGCAAGCCUCUUAGGUACCAAAACGGCGCCGUUUUAAGGCCGGCCUGAAAACCGACCCGACCCGCCUGAAGGAUCCGCGUGUUUUCGACGGAAGGGAUAAUUGCGUUUUCAGGCCUUCCGCUUUUAAAUAAUUUUGCAAUCAAGUUCUUUCCUUUUUUUAAAAUUCGCCCUAUAUUUUAUUUUCAUUCACAAUCUGGUCCACUUUGAAAUGCAGUGUUUUGGAGGGUGGGGAUUAUUUCCAUUUUGGUCCCCCUCUUUCCGAGCGUGUCACAAUUUAGUCUUUUCAGUCUUUUUUAUUUGAAAUUCGCUCAGUAUUUUUAUUUUUACUUCGAUUUAGUCCCUUUUUUAGUAGUAUUAUUAUUAUUAUUAUUAAUUAUUGCUAGUUUUAUUUUCCUUAAACCUAUUCGUCACUGCUUUGAUUAGUAUGUUAACUUGUUUCAUUAUUAUUAUAGCUUUCUUUUUUAUAAUAUAUGUACAUAUACCUAUGAAUAUUUUAUAUAUAUAUAUGCAUACAUAAUUAUAUACAUAUAUAUACCUUAUAAUAUUAAUGCGUACAUAGUUUUAUUUAUUAAAUAUUUUUAUACUCUAUAUUUUUAUACACUUGUAUAUAUACAAACAUCUAUGUUUCAAUUCAUAUAAAUAUAUGUACGUAUACAUAGUUAUGUGCUUUAUGUACCUAUUAUAAUUUGUUUACAUGUUUAUAUAUAUCUAUACAUAUAUUUUUAUAUUUCGUGAUAGUUAUAUGUACACAUAUACAUGUAAAUACUUAUAUUUUAUGCCUCAUAAUAUAUAUAUUUUCAUAUUUUCAUAUUUUAUGAUUUUCAUCUAUUUUCCUUUAUUGUUAUUGUAAUUUUCAUGUGUAUUUGUUUAUUUAUUUAUAUGUCUAUUUUUUUAUGUUUUAGUUUUUUUUAUUUGUUAUGAUAUAUGCACAAUUAAUUUAGUUUAUUAUUUGUUUUGUUUUUUUUUAUUCACACAAUCAUGUUCAAUAUUUCAUUAUGCAUAUAAAUAUCAUAUUUCAAAAGGAAAAAUAUUUCUAAAUGAGGCAAUGUUUUGCGUUUGGAAGUUCGAGAAAACAUGCCCUAAGGUGCUGGGUGUCGAUUUUUCUUGUUCAACCAAAUAGCUUAAUAUCCUUUUAAAUUUUUAAAAUAAGGCAAUGUUUUGCGUUUGGAAAUUCGAGAAAACAUGCCCUAAGGUGCUGGGUGUUGAUUUUUCUCGUUCAACCAAAUGGCUUAAUAUCCUUUUAAAAUUUUUAAAAUAAGGCAAUGUUUUACGUUUGGAAAUUCGAAAAAACAUGCCCUAAGGUGCUGGGUGUCGAUUUUUCUCGUUCAACCAAAUAGCUAAACAUCCUCUUGAAUUUAAAUUCAUGCCAUUCGAGUUUUUAGGAUCGUAUUUUAAAUUUCUUUGAAGUUUUCAGUUUUUCGACACUAAGACAUUAAGUAAUCAACUAGGUACCAAUUUUGGGCGUAUCGAGGUUGCUAAUCCUUCCUCGUGCGUAAUCGACUCCCGAACCCGUUUUUCUGAAUUUCGUGGACCAAACUUGUUGUUUUAAUAAAAUCAAAUUGUUUAUUAAAAACAACCACUUUUUGAGGUGAUCCGAUCACACCUCAACAAAAAGGAUCGGUGGCGACUCCCGUUUUCGUUCUCAUUUUUCAAAACCCAAGUCGACCCCAUUUUCCAUCCAAAAAAAUGGUGUCAACAGCUUGGCGACUCCACUGGGGACUUUAAAUAAGAGAGUCAAGCCACGAGUUGAUUAUUUCUUGUCUUUUUUGUCGAAAGUUGAAAAUUUGAUUUAAAUAUACGAUCCUCUCAUUGCAUUCCAUUUGUUUUGAGUUAUAGUUUUCAUUAUGUUUUGUAUUUUAAAUUUUUAUAUCUUUCUGCACAUUGCAUUGCAUGACCGUUAGUCACACCUUUUAAGUGGGAGUGAGAAGCUACUCCUUCGUGAGGUUUUCACCUCCGUACAGGAUAGUGGAUCGCUUUCGGGAUACAUCCGUACCUGUGUCUUCGUGAGAUUUUCAUCUCCGUGCAGCCAUAGGGAAAUGUAUUCCCCUGAAUUGAACUCGGUCUGUAUGAGCCUAUAAUGGGUGAAGAUCGAGGAAUAUGCUGGUUCGGGUACCUUAUCUUUAGAACCAACCCACAUAUAGUGGACUUAGGAACUUAACCUAGGUAGAGCCACUCCAAAUCCCUAGUAUUUACCUGAUUAGGUUUUUUUUUUGUUUUCCGUGCUUGCUUAUGUUUUGUUCUAACCCUUCUUGUUGUGUUUUGAUUAUGAUUGCAUUACAUUGCAUUUGCAUCUUAGGAAAGAGAUAUUGAUUCAAGUUCGAUUACUAAAUUAGAAAGCUUGUCAUGGAAUACGGAUUCCUUGAUAAAGUGGAAAACAAUACGACUGCCCGAAUAUAUUCUGAGAAACACAAGAAUGGCGAUGUAAGAGUUUGUGAUCCUACUUCGUGGCCUAAGGAUUCAAGGAAAUUGUCUAAGAGCCUUCAACAUUCCACUCACUUAAAGAAGCUGACGAGCCUUAUGAAGAUGGGCAGAUGAUGGAUCACGACCAAGAUCAAGAAAAUGAGCUAGCAGUGACAUUUAUUGAAAAUUGGCGAGAUUACCUUAAACAUGCGGAUAAAGAAAAAAGGACCGAUGUUUCUUGGAAUAUGACGGUGAGGCCGUACAUAUAUCCGUUUUAUGUAAGGGAAUUUGUUUUCUAGAAAAGUUUCCUAAAUGUAAUUGAAUCAGAAUCAACGUCUCUUUAGGCAUUCAUUUCAUGCAUUUGCAUUACAUUGCAUUACAUGCAUUGAAAGAGUCUAAACGAGUAAAUUUAUUUCAGCUAACCUGGAAAACCAACCAACCAAACAAAGACUAGAGAAAUGGAACGAAGGUUGGAAAAAUUAGAGCGAAUGCAGAUUCAGAUGCAGGAGCAAUUAACUGAAUUUCAACAGGAGACGAGAGAUCAGAUGCUAGAAUUACGGAGAACUAUGAUAAACCAGUUUAACCGAUUGCUAGCUGGAAAGUCAAAAGAAGUGAAAGACCCGGUGGUUUACUUUGGGGUUGAUAAUGAGGAUCUUGUCUAUUCCUUAGAUUGUACUCCGACAAGUGUCCAGGUUCAGCUAGAUGGGCGUCCACAAUGAGCACUUUUUACUGUCGGAUCCCAAUAUUAUCAGACUGGUACAUCGACACCAGUGAAUUGCCUGACAGGCUUAGAAUCCAAUUUGAGGAAUGAUUUAGCUAGUCCUGUUGCUAAUCUAGCCGAAAUAAAGAAGAUGAGGAUAGAAUACCCAGAUACUAAAAAGGCACUAGGGAAGAAGGCGAAUAAAGAGGAUAAUGCAGGCAGAUAUAACAAGGGCCACUCAAAACCAAUCACUACAGGCCGGCCAAAGACAGAAACCACCAGACAUCGGAAUCCUUUAAAGCAAGAAUCUGGAGCGAAACCAGGUACUGAGAAGCUCCAGUUCAUACCAAUUCUGAUGUCAUAUAGUGAGUUAUACCGAAGCUUAUUUGAUGCACGUGUGGUGUCCCCCUUCUACUUAAAACCCAUACAGCCUCCGUAUCCCAAAUGGUAUGACACGAACGUAUAAUGCGACUACCAUGCGAGAAUUACGGGGCAUUCAAUAGAGAACUGCAUUGCCUUUAAGAAACUGGUUGAAAAGCUCAUUAAUAUGGGGGUUGUCAGAUUUGAUGACUCGUCUAGCGCAGAAAAUCUACUACCUAGCCAUAUUGAUAAUGGGGUAGACAUGAAGGUAGGAAGGGGAUCAGUUAUUUCUGAUUCAGGAGGAAAUAAGGGAAAGACACGGAACCAUUGCGAUUUCCAUCAUGAGAGAGGGUUCGAGACCCAAGAGAGUGUGGAAUUCAAGGCCUUGGUUCAGGACAUGAUGGACGAUAAGGGGAUGAAGCUUCGUGAGGAAAUUAAAGAGGAGGAAAACAUACGUUCAAUGUUGGCAAGCGUUCACACCAAUGACAUAUUUGAAGACACGAAUGAAAAGGAACCUUGUUAGAUAUCUGCCCUUAUAAAUCUGGAGUGUUCUAAGCAACUGGGCUGCGAAAAAAAUCCCUUUAGUUUUUAGGGCUUAUCUAGAGUAAUGUUCAGAACAUUUUGUUGUUUUAGCCUAAAGCGAUAUAAAUUCCUUUGUGAAAUAGGUUAAUGUAUGAACGUUAUUAUUCUAAUAAAAUACAUCUUUGCAUUCCUUUUUGAGCUAAUAUUCUUUCAUUUAUUUUGAAUAAUUAUUUCUGAUUCUUUCAUUCUUUUGAAUUUUCUUCCAAACCAUCAUUCAUUCAUUCAUUCAUAAUUAUAUGAUACAAAUAAUUAUUCAUGAAUCUAUACAUUCUUUUGUAUAUUCUUUGGUACUUGCUAUGGGUCCCCGGAUAUCAAUUACGUGAAUGACUGCUACAGACCCAGAUUUUCCUUUUGAGUGAGGCAUGUGUUCAGAGGGAUCUCAAUGCUUUGAAAAUGAUAAAGAUUGUAGUUUAUCUCCUAACUUGUUAAGGAUGGUUGAACAAGAGGAUAGACAGAUCCUACCUCACAAGGAAUCAUCAGAAAUUGUGAGCUUAGCGAGGAUUAGAAUUGACCUGAUCGCAGAGACGAAGCAACACCUUGUUGAGGCACCUCUAGAUUUCGAAGAGAUCUUUGUAGGAUCAUACCAGGAUAUGCCUGGGUUAAAUGCCGAUAAUGAAAUCUGCACAACAGCACGAUGUCAGAAAUUUACAGUAUGAAUGAUGUAAUUCUUUACCGGGGCAAUGUCUUUCUCGUGGAGUCAGCAUAGUUUUGCCCAUUUGAAGUUGAAUUUCCGUCUCUUCAAGUUGUUGUUGGGUCCAUCCUGAUUAAAGAGGAAGAUCCAAAGUUUUUUGUCGAAGUUGCAUCCCAAAAGGCUCAGAUCAAAAAAGUGAAGAAAAAGAAAAAUCAAAAUCAAAGUCAAAAUGAAAAUGAAAAUGAAAAUGAAAAUGAAAAUGAAAAUGAAAAAAUCAAAAAUCAAAAUAAAAAAAACAAAAAGAAGAAAGAAGAAAAAAAUCAAAAUCAAGAUCAAAAUAAAAAUGAGAAAAAGAAAGAAGAAUGAAAAAGGAGAAAUCUAGAUGAAAAAAUCAGAAUGAAAAAGAAAAGAAAAAAGAAAAGGAGAGGCUAAAGCGAAAACUCGCAAAGGGCGCUUUGUGACCAAAUGAGGUUUUGAAUUGAAAACCCGAAAAGGGCGACUCAAAUUUCGAGCACAAUGAGGCAUGAACAUCACCAUUAUCAGAGACUUCUAAUGGGCAUUGCUUCAUUUUGAGAGGCUACUUCAUGAGCCAAAGUCAUCGUAUACCGAUACAGAAUUUCAGAGAAGAGGUUAUUGGAGAAUGCAUUGAGCUUAAACAAUAGCACGAUCGCUGAGGUCUCAAAUUAACUCAGAAGUGGACACCACGAUUCGUCACUGAAUUGCCUAGAAUUGAACAUCGAAAAUUGAAGGAAAAUGACUGAGACUUAGGGUCUGUUUGAUUGCCAGUAAAAUGUUUUCCGUAAAAUGAUUUCUGGAAAAUGGUUUACUUUUCUGUAAAAUGAUUUACUGGAAAAUAUUUUCUGGUGUUUGACUGAAUCUGUGUAAAAUAUUUUUUGCUGUUUGGCAGAUUUUCUGAAAAUAUUUUCGAAAAAGUUGUUUUUACAUAUAUUAAUAUAUAUUAAUAAUUUUUUAUAUUUUAAAUUAUUUUUACAUAUAUUGCAAUGAUUUAUUUAUAAUAAUACUCAAUUAUUAAGCUACAAUAUUAGUCGUUAUAAAUUGAAAAAAACUAAUAUCAAAUAAAUUAUUUGUAAUUGUGUUAAAAAAACAAGUAUUGAAUAAUUAAAAAAACAAGUUAUUGGAAAAUCGAUAAACAGAAGCAGUUUUCUACCGGAAAUGAAGGAAGGAAUGAAGGAAGCGAUAAAGAGGAGAGCACGGAAAAUGUCUUACGGAAAUUGAAAGGGUAAGACAUUUUCCCUAAAAUGUAACCCAUUUUCCCUUGUUUUGGAGUUCAUUUUCCAAAUGGAAAAUGUUUUCCGCCAAUCAAACGCUGAAAAAGUUGAAAAUGAUUUUCCGGAAAAUCAAUUCCGUCAAUCAAACAGACCCUUACAAGGAUUGGCAUGAGAAAUUACUAUUUGCCUUCCUUGCUUGUCGAACAUCUGUACCGGGGCAAUACCUUUCUCUUUGGUUUGCGGGGUUUAGGUAGUUUUACCUAUUGAAAUCCUUUCUCUCCAGGUAUUAUUUGAGCUAGAAUUGGAUGAAGCAGAAUGGAUCCAAUCGCGAUGAGAUCAGUUGAACCUAGAAAAAAGGUUAAAAGCUAUUCUUCAGGGUCGGAUGUACCGGAAACAAGUGAUACGAGCCCAUAAUGAACAGUGUCAUAUCAGAGAAUUCCACGAGAGGGUUGGAUGUCGAAAAAGAUCAUUCCUCUCUAAAAAUGAUUCCAGAGGGAAAUAAAUGCCAAACCGGGAAUGUCCCUACGUUGUAAAGAAGACAUUCUUCAGAAGAGCACUGAUCUUGAGUAAGAUUGCUAGUCCUAUAAACUCGGAUCCAGUCAAGAAAUACUUCGUUUAAAGAAUGAGGAAGGACCAAGGUGAAAACCCGCAAAGGGCACUCUAAGUCAAAAAAAAUGAAAUGAAAAAUGAGAAUGAAAAAUAAAAAAUAAAAAAUAGAGAGGCUAAGGGGAAAACCCGGAAAGGGCGCCUUAGGCCAAAGGGGAUUUGAGUUGAAAACCUGAAAAUGGCGGCUCAAAUAUUUGUUCAGAAUGGGGCAUGAGGCGAUCAGAGCGAUUCGAAUUUUGAUCAUAUUGGGGCAUGUGGUGAUCUUGCUAUGCCUGAAUCAACAGGAAAGGAUAGACGACAUCUUGGGGCAUCGACAGAGCACUGUAGAUCUCCUAAACACAUGUCCAACUCAAAAUGGUCUUCAGAAAGUUUGUACAGAGAAGUUCAAGUAGCGAUAUCUGGAGCACCCAAUCCUCACAUUAUUUGUUAUUCUUGGAAUAUUUUUUCUUUCCAAGAUAUACAUCCCCAAUUAAUUUCUUCGUCAUCCUUCUUUACAAUUUUUGGUAAUUUAUUCCUUUUGAGCUAUGCUCAGAAUCAAUUUUAUUCUUAUCCAUUGUUAUGACCCUUUUUGCAAAGCAUGUUGCAUUAGAAUAAUGAUUAAUGGACUAAUAAUACUUUCACAAUGGAAGUUUUGCAUAUUACUCUAGAAGUUUCUAAAUAAUAUAGGAGCCUAAAGCAGUACUAUUGUUUAGAACACACCAAUUUUUAAAGGUUGGAAAUUUGAGAAGGAAUAGUCUAAAUUUAGACUUUCUCUUUGGAUUUUUGUUUUCAAGUGCACUGAAUGAACAAAAUGACAAGAUGCCAUGUCAAUGGCAAAGCUUAAACGAACAAACAAGCAAUGAUCAUCAGGCAAUAGGAAGAGGUUACCUCGGAGAAGAGAGCCUUCAUUUGUGCAUGAGCAUUUGGUAUGACACCUUGGGGAUGAGGUAAAGGACCAAAGAGUUUCACAUUCAAUAUCAUUGAAUUGCGAUAGGAGAAGAUUGAGAAAGGCCAUACAUUUCUACCCUUUGGUUAUAGUGGGAGAUUGAUGGUGCAAAUUUUAUGUCCCAGUGGAUUGAACUUUGACGUUCAUAGUGGGGGGCAAUCAGAUUAAGUGAUCCUUUGGAUAUGCUAGCCGAGCAAGAAGGUGGUAUAGCACGUCAGUAAUAAAGCCUUAAUAUGCUUUUGUGUGAUGAUAACCUAAGCAUUAAGGAAUCAUUUUCAUGACAUUUUGCAUGUCAUUCAUACACAUCUAGUUAGGAGCAUUUGAUUCGUUCUGAUCAUGUCAUCCUAAUCUCUAGGCACAAUUAGGUUCAUAAAAUAGAACAUACAGGUCAUGUUCCCUAGAGAACAAAUCAGUGAACAUCGAAAACAAAGCCUUGCCUUCAUUGGUUACAGUGAAGCUGGUUAAAGAAGCAGAUCUUGCCUUCCAGCAUUAACAGCGAAGCAGAUCGAAAACAAAUCAUUGCCUUCAUUGGUUACAGUGGAGCUGGUUAAAGAAGCAGAUCUUGCCUUCCUGCGUUAACAACGAAGCAGAUCGAAAACAAUCCUUGCUUCAUUGGUUACAGUGGAGCUGGUUAAAGAAGCAGAUCUUGCCUUCCUACGUUAACAACGAAGCAGAUCGAAAACAAGCCUUGCCUUCAUUGGUUGCAGUGGAGCUGGUUAAAGAAGCAGAUCUUAUCUUCCUACAUUGACAGCGAAGUAGAUCGAGGACACAAGCCUUGCCUCCCUUAGUUGUAGGGGAGCAGAUCAAAGACAGCAAAUCUUAUCUUCAAGUGUAAGGAAGCGGAUUUAAGCCACAAGUCCUAUGUCCCUGACCAGCAGUGGAAUAGGUUGGAAAUUUCAGAUCUUAUCUCCCUGAGGUUACAGCGGAGCAGAUCGAAGACAUAAUCCUAUCUCCCUGAAGUUACAGUGGAGCGGAUUAAAAUAAAGGAUCUUAUCUCUCUGAAGUUACAGUAGAGUAGAUCGCAUCAGGUCUUAUUUCCCUGAGGUUACAGCGGAGUAGACCGAAAAAUUUCAGAUCUUAUCUCCCUGAGGUUACAGCGGAGCAGAUCGAAGACAUAAUCCUAUCUCCCUGAAGUUACAGUGGAGCGGAUUAAAAUAAAGGAUCUUAUCUCUCUGAAGUUACAGUAGAGUAGAUCGCAUCAGGUCUUAUCUCCUUGAGGUUACAGCGAAGUAGACCGAAGAAUUGCAGAUCUUAUCUCCCUGAGGUUACAGCGGAGCAGAUCGAAGAUAUAAUCCUAUCUCCCUGAAGUUACAGUGGAGCGGAUUAAAAUAAAGGAUCUUAUCUCUCUGAAGUUACAGUAGAGUAGAUCGCAUCAGGUAUUAUUUCCCUGAGGUUACAGCGGAGUAGACCGAAGAAUUGCAGAUCUUAUCUCCCUGAGGUUACAGCAGAGCAGAUUAAAGACAUAAUCCUAUCUCCCUAAAGUUACAGUGGAGCGGAUUAAAAUAAAGGAUCUUAUCUCUCUGAAGUUACAGUAGAGUAGAUCGCAUCAGGUCUUAUUUCCCUGAGGUUACAGCGGAGUAGACUGGAGAAUUGCAGAUCUUAUCUCCCUGAGGUUACAGCGGAGCAGAUUAAAGACAUAAUCCUAUCUCCCUGAAGUUACAGUGGAGCGGAUUAAAAUAAAGGAUCUUAUCUCUCUGAAGUUACAGUAGAGUAGAUCGCAUCAGGUCUUAUUUUCCUGAGGUUACAGCGGAGUAGACCGAAGAAUUGCAGAUCUUAUCUCCCUGAGGUUACAGCGGAGCAGAUUAAAGACAUAAUCCUAUCUCCCUGAAGUUACAGUGGAGCGGAUUAAAAUAAAGAAUCUUAUCUCUCUGAAGUGGCAGUAGAGUAGAUUACGUCCAAGUCAAAUCUCCCUGAAGUUGCAGUGGAGUAAGUUAAAAUCCCAAACCUCACCCCCUGAAGGUACAACAGAGUGGAUUGAAGCUACAAGUCUUGUCUUUUUGAAGUUGCAGCGGAAUGGAUAGAAGCAACAAUGUACAGUGGACUGGAGUGAAGCUACUUGAAGAGAAGCGUCAAGAGAAGUCAAGACUCGGCGAAACCGGGCAAAAAAUUGGUCUUUCUUAGUCUUUGCUCUGUUAUCGUUACACGACAAUGAGCAAAGAGGGGCAGCUGUACAAACCCAAUUUCUGCCCGGCCCACUAACAAAAAGAACCCAAUACCCACAAACCCAAUAACCCACCUAAACACUAACCCAUACCAGCAGACCCAAUUACAAGGCCCAGUGGCCCAAAAUUUUAAAAUCAUUUCAGAAACCCUAAUCCCCCUAACCCUAGCCGCCUCUUCUGAUCUUUCUGCUACUACUGCCGCCAUCACCUACCCUCUGCCACCGCCACUGUUUCGCCCACUUGCACCACUUGCUCCACCUGCAAAACAAAGGAGAACACGCAAGCAAAGAAGGACAAAACAGUAGAAACAAUAAUAAAAUAAAUUGUGUAAAAAUGGCUAUAUAAAGGCCAUUCAAAUGAAUUGUAAGGGGUUCGGCCCCUCUUUCACUAUUUCAAGAAAUAAAAAGGGCAAAGAAAACGGAUUCAAGAAAUUUUUCUUUUGGUAUAAACUCUAUUUUCUUUUAUUUAUAUUUUUCUCUUUAUUUUUCUUCCAUCCGAAACUGUUUGAUCCUUUAUUCUUAUUUUUAUUUUUCUUUUAUUUUUAAAAACAUAUAUAUAUAAAUAUAAUAUAUAGAUUUUAAAAUAAAAAAUAAUACCUUUUUUGAAUUUUCCGGCCACCGUACACGGUGGCCGGCGCGACGACGGAGCGGCGGUGACGUGGUGGCCAAGUUCGUCGGAUUCUGGGCAGUGCUGGAGAGGGGGAGAGAAUAUUUUUGAGAAGAAGAGUUUUUUUUUUUAAUGAAAGCUGAAAAUGAUUUUUUUUGGGGGAAACCUUGACUUUUAUAGGCCCCCCAAAACGACGUCGUUUUGGGAAAGCCUCUUAGGUACCAAAACGGUGCCGUUUUAAGGCCGGCCCGAAAACCGACCCGACCCGCCUGAAGGAUCCGCGUGUUUUUGACGAAAGGGAUAAUUGCGUUUUCAGGCCUUCCGCUUUUAAAUAAUUUUGCAAUCAAGUUCUUUCCUUUUUUUAAAAUUCGCCCUAUAUUUUAUUUUCAUUCACAAUCUGGUCCACUUUGAAAUGCAGUGUUUUGGAGGGUGGGAUUAUUUCCAUUUUGGUCCCCCUCUUUCCGCGCGUGUCACAAUUUAGUCUUUUCAGUCUUUUUUAUUUGAAAUUCGCUCAGUAUUUUUAUUUUUACUUCGAUUUAGUCCCUUUUUUAGUAUUAUUAUUAUUAUUAUUAAUUAUUGCUAGUUUUAUUUUCCUUAAACCUAUUCGUCACUGCUUUGAUUAGUAUGUUAACUUGUUUCAUUAUUAUUAUAGCUUUCUUUUUUAUAAUAUAUGUACAUAUACCUAUGAAUAUUUUAUAUAUAUAUAUGCAUACAUAAUUAUAUACAUAUAUAUACCUUAUAAUAUUAAUGCGUACAUAGUUUUAUUUAUUAAAUAUUUUUAUACUCUAUAUUUUUAUACACUUGUAUAUAUACAAACAUCUAUGUUUCAAUUCAUAUAAAUAUAUGUACGUAUACAUAGUUAUGUGCUUUAUGUACCUAUUAUAAUUUGUUUACAUGUUUAUAUAUAUCUAUACAUAUAUUUUUAUAUUUCGUGAUAGUUAUAUGUACACAUAUACAUGUAAAUACUUAUAUUUUAUGCCUCAUAAUAUAUAUAUUUUCAUAUUUUCAUAUUUUAUGAUUUUCAUCUAUUUUCCUUUAUUGUUAUUGUAAUUUUCAUGUGUAUUUGUUUAUUUAUUUAUAUGUCUAUUUUUUUAUGUUUUAGUUUUUUUUAUUUGUUAUGAUAUAUGCACAAUUAAUUUAGUUUAUUAUUUGUUUUGUUUUUUUUUAUUCACACAAUCAUGUUCAAUAUUUCAUUAUGCAUAUAAAUAUCAUAUUUCAAAAGGAAAAAUAUUUCUAAAUGAGGCAAUGUUUUGCGUUUGGAAGUUCGAGAAAACAUGCCCUAAGGUGCUGGGUGUCGAUUUUUCUCGUUCAACCAAAUAGCUUAAUAUCCUUUUAAAUUUUUAAAAUAAGGCAAUGUUUUGCGUUUGGAAAUUCGAGAAAACAUGCCCUAAGGUGCUGGGUGUUGAUUUUUCUCGUUCAACCAAAUGGCUUAAUAUCCUUUUAAAAUUUUUAAAAUAAGGCAAUGUUUUAUGUUUGGAAAUUCGAAAAAACAUGCCCUAAGGUGCUGGGUGUCGAUUUUUCUCGUUCAACCAAAUAGCUAAACAUCCUCUUGAAUUUAAAUUCAUGCCAUUCGAGUUUUUAGGAUCGUAUUUUAAAUUUCUUUGAAGUUUUCAGUUUUUCGACACUAAGACAUUAAGUAAUCAACUAGGUACCAAUUUUGGGCGUAUCGAGGGUGCUAAUCCUUCCUCGUGCGUAAUCGACUCCCGAACCCGUUUUUCUGAAUUUCGUGGACCAAACUUGUUGUUUUAAUAAAAUCAAAUCGUUUAUUAAAAACAACCACUUUUUGAGGUGAUCCGAUCACACCUCAUCAAAAAGGAUCGGUGGCGACUCCCGUUUUCGUUCUCAUUUUUCAAAACCCAAGUCGACCCCGUUUUCCAUCCAAAAAAAUGGUGUCAACAAUCCUUAUUACCUAAAUUUUACCAUACCAAACAAAGCCACAUUUAGCUUUUAUAUCAUUUUUUAAAUAAUCUAAUAUAUCUUUAUUUAAUAAGUAAUAAUCCCAUAUGCAUUAGAGAGAGUAUUAAGUUGAGUUAUUAAAUUUAGGGUUUGUUAUAUUCUAACGGGUUAUUUUCAAUUCCAUUGAAAUGAUUUAUAGGUGAUAACUUUUACAAUUUAAUACGAUUAAUUUUAUUAUAUUACAAUGAAAAACAAAAGAAAAAGAAGAAUUUAAUAUGGUUCAAAGUUUUUAAAUAAAUCUGGACCAUAUACUUGUAGACAAACCUUUACCAUUAAUCUAUUCCAACUUCAAUGAGAACGACCAAGACAAUGCAAGUCUCAAUAGUCCUGUUUGAAACGCAAAAGCAUUCAAGUGGUUGAGAGCAGCAAGCCUGAUCCCUUUUGUCCUUUUGUGUUAUGUAAGUCAAUUGUAGAGAACGAUUGUUGGAAAUUUCUAAAACGUAAGUUAAUAGUUAGAACCCUUGAGCAACGCACAUUCCACCCCAACCCAUGCAUAACGUUAGACGAGACUCAAUGUCUCAUUGUAUACAUUUUUAAUUUUAUUCAACAACUACAUAAGUAUAUUUUUAAAUGAUUUUUAAUAUAAUUACAUGUAUUUUCAUCUAUUUUAUAUGAAUUUAAAAUAUUACAAAUUAAAUAUAAUUAAUAUAAGAUAUAAGUUCUAUUUAAUUAAAUUCAAAUUCAAAUUCAAAUUCAAAUUUUAAAUUAUCCAAUAAUAUAAAUAGUAGACAUAAAUUUAAAGAAAAAAAUUGGGGUUUAGUUGAGAAAUUACCUCUCAAAUUCAACUAAAAUAAAUAAAGAGAGUUUAACUGGAAAAUUACCUUUCAAAUUUAACUGAAAUAUGAAACAUACUCAAUAAUAAGGGUAUCAAUUCAAAGGUAUAAAGCUACAUAAAUUCUUAGUUAUGCCUUUGAAAUAUUUUCACAAAGGCAUGUGCAAAACUUUUUGAUUCUAAGCAAAUUCAUUGUCUCAAUAUUACUUAUUUAAAAUCAAAUCCACAUUUAUUUUUAAACAAAAUCCAACAAUGUAUUUGGCUCAUCCAACAAUUUAUUUUUAAAUGGCAUUUAUUUAAAAAGAACCAAAUGAGAAUUAUUAUACAACUUUAUAAAGUCGAUGACACAUCCAACAUUAAAAGCACAAAGAAACUAGAUUGGCCAACAACAAAACAAUAAUGCCAACAUUCUCAAAUACCGCAACAAAUUUGUUCUAAAAACAAAAGAUAGCGCAUCGCACUUAGAGCGUAGAAAUACUUGAAUUCAAUCAUUGUAACAACGAAAAAGGAAACAAGACAUCCAACAUCCUCAUCACAAUGGAUUCGCCUCUCACCCGCCAACAACGUCUGCAAUGCAAUAAAACAAGAAGAGGCUAUUGUGGUAGCAACUCUUAUAAAUAUUCCAAAAUUAACUUUUAGAUGCAUCAGGUCUUAAUCUAAGGUAAAGGGUUUAUCCAAACAUGAAAAAUCUAACCAACUCAAUUCAAUUCAACCUAACCUCAACCUAUCUAUAUAGUUUACUUUUAAUUUAUAUAUAAUUUCUUUUAUGAUUUAAAUUUAAAUAUUUUUUAACAAAAAUUUUAAAUACUUAAUAUUGAACAAAUAGUCAUAUUAAUGAAAAUUUGUAAUUAUGAUCAAUAACUUAACACAUAGGUAAAAGUGUUUUUUUUUUUACUUAAUAAUAUUAUUAGCAAUAGUACGUUAUUAAUUGUAUAUGAAAAUAAUGAAGCUUAAAAAUUAAAAUUUAAAGACAAUGCCAUUGUCAAAUUUACUCAAAAUUUAUUUUUAACUAUAGUUAUCCAUGUACAUAUGUGACACACAUAAUAAGAUGCUAAUAUAUAUAAGGCAAAAUAUUAUAAAGUUAAAUGGUGAGAUAAUAAAGUGAAAUGUUUCUAACCUUAUGCAAUAUUUGAACUUGUUAUAGUAACAGUAUCCAAUGAUGUACUUGGCUCAUCAUUAGAGUUCUCACAGCUAUGAAUCUCCAUUGAUGUUUCAAGCGGAAGUUGAUGGAAUGGCUUAGGAGGCAUAUCAAGGAGUUCAACAUCAGAUUCAAGCAUCUUCAAAACUUUACUCAUUGAAGGACGAUCAAAAGGCAGUAAUUGUAUACACCAAAAGGCUGUUAUUACCAUUUUCUUUACCAUUGCUUUUUCAUCGUCAGAAACAUCUCCCAACUCCAAGUCCUCUCCUUGAUCUAAUCGGUCAUAAAUCCAAGAUGGAAAAUAGAUCUGACUAGUGUGGUCAGCAAAUGCAUUCACAUUCUUUCUCCUUCCAACCAUUUCCAUCAGUAACAUUCCAAAACUAUAAACAUCAGCUUUGUAUGAGAUGCCUCCAAGAUUUUUGUAAACCAAUUCUGGAGCAAUAUAUCCUAUCGUUCCUCGUGCCGCAGUGAGAGAGACAAUGCUAUCAUCUACUGAAUACAAUUUAGCAAGACCAAAAUCGGAAACUUUUGGAUUAAAAUUCUCAUCAAGAAGAAUAUUGUGUGGCUUGAUAUCAAAAUGUAGAAUUUGCAUGUCACAUCCUUGAUGUAAGUAGUGAAUUCCUUGAGCCACCCCAAGUACAAUAUCAAACAUUUUUUUCCAGCCCAAAGUGUUCUUAUUUUCUUCUGUAAAUAUGAUUUUAUCUAAAGAUCCAUUAGACAUGAAGUCAUAUACUAGAGCUUGCUUUGAUCCCUCCACACAAAAUCCGAUAAGUUUUGCCACAUUAGCAUGAUGAAUUGUCCCAAUGGAAGCAACUUCGUUUAUGAAAUCUUGGCCAUUACCUUUUGAUUUGCCCAACAAUUUUAUUGCCACAUGAUGGCCGCUACGAAGCUUUCCUUUAAACACUGAGCCAUAACCCCCUUCACCUAAUUUAUCUUUAAAAUUUUUAGUCAUUUUUUUAAUUUCUUUAAAAGAAUACCUUAAUGGCACUAGAUUAUUUUGGCUUUUAAGGAACUCUUCGAUCAUAUCAUCCAUGGAUAAAUGUCUUCUCCUCCAUUUGUACGUGACAAAAGCAAGCAAACAAAUGAUCCCAGGAAAUGACCUCAAGAUAACUCCACCUUUAAAGAAAUACAAUGUAACAUGUUGAAAUUAAUCACAUAAUAUAUAACUUACAUUCUCAGAAAAAAGGAUAUAGUGUGAUAGUUUUAUGUUAACUAGUAUUUGAGAGAGUGGCAUAUUUCACUAGUCUAUGGACUUAACCGAGAGUAGUCUGAAUUAUAUGCAUUGUUUUUGUCAUUAGCAGGUAUAUCUCAACAAAUUAAAAUUCAGAAUUUGAAACACAAAAGGAGUAAAUCAUGCAAAGUGGAUGCCAAUUAUUCUAACCUCACACAUUCCAAUAGAUUUGACAGGGUCAUGACAUUCACCCAAAUUAACACAUUCGUAACCCCAUCCAAUUAGCAAAUUCUAAAGAAAGAACAUGAUUCUUAACCAUGAAGGAUACUCAACUGUUGUUUCUAUUCAUGCCAAAUAAAAUUGAAGAAGGACAAAUUAAAAAUAUAAUAACCUUCAAAUUUCAUAAAUGAAACAAAAUCUAGAACCACCAAAAGAUGCAAGAGAACCCCCCAAAAAACAGAUUUGAUAAAUUCAAGAGCUAACUUUGUUGAAUGUUUUAGCAAAAUGAAUAUCCACCAAACUUAUAACCUGUGAAAGUUCUAAACAAUACCAUUAUGAAAACAAGCUUAACUAAAACUCUAACAUCUUUCUUAACUUGACAAAAAAUUUCUUUCAUAUAGAAGAAGAUUGUAUUCUGCAUUCAAACUCCGUAAAGAGUGUCAUAGCUUUCUUAGUUUUGUAGUGAAAUUAAAUAUAAACUUGUAUAAUAUGAUAGGCUCCUUAUUCUUUUUUUCCCCCAGAAUAUAGCUAAUAUUUGUUCUCAACUAGUGCAAAUGCAAAUCUGCAAAUCUAAAAUUAAAUAUACCUGUUAUUAGCAAACAGAGACGAUAAGCUCCGAAGAAUCUGGAUUAUAUAUUCAACAAAUCAAAGUAAAAUUAAUAAAGGGGUGUAAAGAAAAAUUCCAAAUUUGUAUAAAAAAAUCAAUGGAAGGUAAUUUAAAAAAUUAUAUUAUGUUUUGUGGUAUAUACUCAAAAAAGAAAUACAACAAUUCUUUACAUAUGUUUGCUUGUAAAAAGUAUGCAACAUGUGUUACAGUAUAAGAGUUUUUAGGUAACUAAUAUGAUUUAAUAUAAUGAAAGGUGAGACAAAAUUUAUUCAAAUUAAUUAAUCCAAAAAGUAUAUAUUAUAGCAUUAAAAGAGUUUUUGCCAAAAAAAAUAAACUCAUCCACAAUGGUGGAAUAUUUACGUACUACCAACUAAAUUGAAAAUUCAUCAAAAAUAAAGACAAAAUAAAAAGAUAGACAUAAUCAAAUAUAAUUGUCCAAAAAGAAGACAAAACAGCAGAGAAAGCAGAGGCAGAUACUAAAUUAGAAAUGCUUUUAGUUCAUUUGAUUGUUAGAUGUUGAUCAAUUUUAGAUGCAAAAUCAUCAUACUUAAUUACCAUCAUAAUAUUUAAUUGUGAUAAAUGUAACAUAAAAUAAAACAAAACAAAAAGUAGAUGUUGUAACUAAAAAUUCCAGUAUGAUUCACACUCAAAAUGCAAACUUAAAUUAUUAAAGAAACUUACAUAUCUUUAAACCAAACUUUGUUUUUAUUGUAGUAGCUACUCUCGCUAUCCCAUCAACUCCAUUGGACCCAAAAACCCUCCAAUAAUUUUUUGUAUAUAUCCAGCGUAGACAUGCCUAUUAUAUUAUCAAUCAUAAUUGGAACCUCCGCUUUGAUAGUGCAAGCUUGAUUGAUAUCAGAUGGGUGGGUGUUUCCAUUUAAAAAAUAGAAAUAGAAAGUUGGAAGGGAAGAGGAGGUAUUAGAUUUAAUCGUACAACAAGAAGCCUCAAUAAAAAGUGAUGAUUUUAUAGGUUUCGUGCAAUUCAUAACAUAAAUAAUGUUAAAAUUAUAAGAAAAAUAAUAAUGAUAAUUAGAAAAAAGGUAAAAAUAUGGUUUAAAAUAAGGAUAAGUAUCAUAAUAAUCAGGAUAUACAGAAGUAAGAGGAAGGGAGUUGCAAUCAUCCGUGUCCAAGCUUGCAUCCACCAUUCGUAUUGUAUAAUUUUCGUAAAAGAUUUGUUGGACAGAUAAUUUCCCUCCUCUCCCAACCAAAGUGGUGCGAUUAUUGUUCUCACACUCAAGUUCCAUGACAGGAGAACCACAGUGGGGAGGUUGGUUUUUUAAUCGGAAUGGAAAACUGAUAUUCAAAUUCCCACAGAAAGUAGAGCCGCAGUCUUGGUUAAUAAGACUCCUAGCAAAACAAACAGCAGGAAAUAGAAUUACAAAUAAAGCAACAGAGGGCAUUAGGUGACCCAACAAUGGCAGUUUUGCUUUUAAUUUUGGCAUGCUAAAAUUUUGGGUAAGGAAGAAGAACAGUAAUGGGGGGUUAAUGAUUAAGUUUCUAACUAAACCAGGGAAAUAUAUAAGAAAGCUUCAGUGGGAGAAGAAGCAUUAAUGGGGACACAAGACUUUGACUACUCUUCAGCUUUAUUUGGGAUGAAUAUUUUAUUUUCAAUAAAUUGUUUACACCUUUUAUUCUUUAAUCUUUUUUCUGGGAAGAGCCAUGGUUAUCACAAGCAAAAGAAAAAGGAAUUUUAAUAUUAUUCAAAAAAAAAAAAAAUUGGACCAUAUGCUUGUAGUCGUAGAUCAACGUUUAUGACCUUAAUAAAUUCCAAUUACAAUGAGGAGGACCAAGACAAUGCAAGUCUUUAGUCUUCUUUGAAACACAAAAACAUUUGUUGCAUCUUUUGUAACUAUUUGUUGCAUCAUUCUAAAAAGUAAGUUAAUAGUUAGAAGUGUCAAGCAAGGCGACUCAAUGCCCAAUUGUAUAGAUUCUUUUUAUUUUAUUCCACGAAUACUUCACUACUUUUCAAAUAAUUACAUGAAUUUAAAAUAAAACAAAUUAAAUAUAAGAUAUAAUUUCUAUUUAUUUAAGUUUAAAUUCAAAACUAAAUUCUAUUUCUAAAUUUUAAUUAUCCAAAAUUAAUUUAAAAACUUAAAUUUAAAAAUACAUUAAGAGACUUCAAAUUCCGUUUUAUUUUAAAUGAAAUCGGUUUAGUAAAGAGGUGACUAUGGAUCAAGUCAAGCCGAAUCGAAGUUCAGUUUCAAAAAAUUCCAAGUCCUAGAGCCUAUUUUUGAUCCAACUCACCCAAAAGCUCGUUUUCUAUUUGAAAAUAUUAAAAAUAUUUUUAAUUGAUAUUUUACAUAUUUUUAUAAUUAAAUUUAAAUUUUAAUAAAAAUUAUUAUUUAAAUUAAACUAUAAAAAUAUUUAUCCAAAUCUGACCCAAAUCGAAUUAGGCCGGGUGGGCGAUCCGAUCAUGACAGGAAAGGAGAAACAAGAAAGACGAAGCCUAAACAGGCAGUAAAUUCAUUUUAAUUCUACAUACAUUCCAUAUUAUUAUUUAGGGAUAAUAUAGUUUUUGACCCUAAUCUUGAUAGUUAAGUGGACUUUAGUACAUAUAUCUUUUUUGUUCUACUUUGACACUCGAACUUCAAAUAUUUUGGUUCCUAAACUUGAAAAAUAUAAAAGUUUUAUGAUGCAACUCUGUAAGAUUGUGUUACAUCAUCACUUAAAAAUUAAAAAAAUAUAUAAAUAUUUUUAAUUAAUAUUUUAUAUAUCUCUAUAAUUAAAUUUAAAUUUAAAAAAUAUUUUUUAUUAUUUAAAUUCAACUCAGAUUAAAUCAAAAUAAAAUGUAAAAAUACUUAUUCAAAUCUGACCCAAAUUGAGUUGGGCCGGGCAGGCUACCCAGUCAUCUCAAGUCUACUUUAGCACAGGUAAGUAAAGUUGAAUCAUUAGAUUGGGAUAUAUGUGUGCUUCGGGUAAAUACUUAUUUGGGCUGAAUUAUUUGGACUUCAAUUAUGAAUUUAAUUUUUUACUAAUAUGUGUGAGAAGCCCAUUCUUUUAUGAAUUUUGGGCCACUUCGGUUUCGUCUUCAGGAAUUAAACAUUCAUAAAAAUCUAAAAAAAUUUAUUAAAUUAUUAUUUAUUAAUUAAACCAGUUGAUUAUUCAAUCGGUUUGACCACUAGUUCUUGAUUCAACUCAUUUGAUCGGUUCAACUACCCAACUAACAAUAAUUAAAUGAAUGAUUCAACAUCCAUAAAAAUCUAAAAAAGAAUAUUAAAUCGAUUACAUAUGUUCAAUAGCCAAGUUUUUUUUUUACUAAUUUCAAACAAUUUUUUUAAUUUAAUUGAUUCAACCAUUUUGUUCAAACUAGGGUGUUCGCAAAAGUCUCGACUCUCCUAAAAUGGAAAAGUUUUUAUUUAAGUCAUUUAAAAUUUUUAAAAUUUUAAAUUAAUAAAGGUAAAUUACACUUUGGCCCCAUAAAAAUAUAAAAAUUUGAUUUAAUCCUUUAAAAAUUAUAAAGAUAUAGGCUAUUAAAAUGGUGAAAUUAUAUUUUUACUUCGUAAAAAUUACAAUUUAAUUUCGACUCCCUUUUUUUUUUUUGAUUUCGCCCCUAAUUCAAACCAUUAUACCGGUUGGUUCUUAGUCCAAUCAAUCCAACCAACCAAUCCACUACUAUUUCAGUAAAAUUGGUCAUAUCAUCAAAUCUUGAUAGAAUCCAAAUUUAAAGGACCAAAAUAGAUCUAAUUGUCAAACUCAAAUACCAAAAUGGAUCUAACUUAAAAGCAAUAUUGAAACAUGUCUUUCUUGUUUUCUCCGUCUCUUAAAACCCCCUGACCUUUGUUUUUUUUUUUUUUUAGUCUUUGAGUUCCUUAGAGAGUUGGUUCAUAUUUUAGGAUAUUGUUUCAUGCUUUUGGCUUGCGAGUUCUUUGUAUUGUAAUGGUAUUUUUUGUAUUAGUGUGAGGAGUAUUGUGGUGUUAUUUUGCUAUCCAUUGAUUCGUUUUGGGUGAAGGUUUUAUUUUGAGCCUUUGUGUUUGUAUGGGAUACCUUAUCUUCGAGUUCUGGGUUUUUCUUUAAUAUAUUUCUAUCGGUUCGAAAAAGAUGGAAGUCUAGAUUUGAUUUGGAGAUAAAAUUGUGUUUUAAUUUUUGUGUACUUUCCUGAUUUUUCUAAAUAAUAUUUUUUUCUGCUUCAAUCCAACUACAAUACUUGCAUUAUAAACAACUAUUUCAUUGAAUUUCUUUUUUAUUUUAAAAAUACUUUUUAAACUGUUUUUUUUCUAGAGAUUCUCUAAAAUUUUCUAUUAAAAACUUUAUAUAUUUGGUAAAAGGAUUAAAGAAGUUCCUGUACUUAGUGAUGGAUUGCAUUUCAACCCUUUUAUCGAAAAAAAUUGACAAAUUAAUUUUUAUACAUUUCAAAACAUACAAAUUUGUCGCUUCGUUAAAAUUUUUCUACAUUUUAACCUAUUCAUCAUUUCCUUUGCAGAAAAAUAGUUGAUAUACCAUUAGAACAUGAGCCUCAAACAUUAUAAAUGAAUAAUAAUACCUCGGUCUAUGAAGAAGUUAUGUUACAUUUGAUGGAAUAUCAAAGGAAAAUUUUUCGUUUAUUUUAAAAAGAUUUUAUUCAAUUUUCUAAUUGUAUAUAUAAUUGAUAUUAAUUAUUUUUUAUUUUAAGUUUAAUUAUUUUAAAACAUAUUUAUUAAAUAACUUUUUUUGGUGUUAUUAAUUAAACAUCAAAUGCAGCAUUAAUAUUGUAAGUCUUCCGUUAUUUAAUAUUUAAAUAAUAUGAAAUUGAACAUUUAAACGUAAAAUAUAAAAUUAUUCUUAAUAAUUUAUAAUAAAGGGAAUAAUAAAACAGAUGAUUAGAUGAAAUCAAGAAUCAGGUUAAAUUCACACCUGACCAUGGAAAUAUUUGUGUCGAUAUGAUUUAUAAACAGGGUUUAGCCAUGAUACUUUUCUGUGAGAGGCAAAAUCAAAAUUUUUCUUUUCACUUAAAAACUUAAUAUUUUAAUUUUUCCUCAAUUUUGUCCAUUCAAACAUGUUAAGACUGUAUGGUUUGAUUUACCUGUUGGUACGUAAGCUUAUUCAUGCAAAAGUGUCCUUUUAUCAAUUAAAAAGAACAGCAAUAAGGUAAAACGUCAGUUUUUAAUAGAGUCUGACUGCGUCGUCGGCAAAUGAGUGUAGAAUCUUUUACGGUAAGCAAAAGCAUGCUAUCCUAUUUUCCUCCAAUAGCAUAUUUAUUUAUCAUUAAUAAUUACUUUCAUUUUAAUUGUAAUAAAAAUUUAUGACAUAAUUCAUCGUUUACAAACACCAUCUUCAUAUAAUAUUUAAAUUUUCUUUUAGAUAAUUUAUGAUUAUAAUUCUUGAACACAUAUGACAUAAUGGAUGAUUAUUUGGUAUAGCUGAUAGUAAAUUUUUAAUUUCAUAAAUAGAUUUGAAAGUUUGAUAUAUAUUUUAAGUUGUAUUUAAAAAAAAUAGGAUAUAUGAAAAUUUUUCAAUCUCGCUUAUUGAGUUAAUUAAUAAUCCAUAAAAAAAUAUUACUUUGUAUGUUUUAAUUCUUAAUUAAUUUUAGAUAUUUGACUUCUAUUAAUUUAAAUGUUUUAAUGUUUUUUUUGAAUUAAAAAAAGUGUGUAUUUAAUUCUUCAUAAAACAAAUUAUUUGUAAAUAAUCAUAAAUCGGUAUAAGAAGAUCAAACCUAAUAUAUCAAAGCAACUAAUAGCGGAUUGAUUGUUUGAUUUCAAAUGUUUAAAUUUGAUAAUCAAUCAAUUUAAAGAUACAAUGAGAUGUAAUUUUGUAAAUUAGAUAUCUCAAUCUUAGUAUUAAAUGAUUGAUGACUCUAAGCUACUUAAAAACAAGAAGACAAUCAAUCUUCACUUUAAUUUAUAUGAUCCAAAGUUCUUAACACCAUUUCAAAGAACCGUUCAGAAAUUAUAGAUACAAGAUCUAAUCAAAACAUCAAGUAACGGCCAAAUCAAAACCCACCAAAGAGAUAUCCAAAGUCUCAAAUCUGGAAUUAAAGGUCAACGUAACCACAUCAUACAAAGAAAUGCUCCCACCACUCCACUUCGGGACAUGUACAAAAUCUGAUUUCUUCGAUCACUACUUGAAAGAGUUGAUAAUUCUCAUAUUUAGAAUUAUUUUAAUUUAGUUUUUAUAGUAUUUUAGGAGUAAAAUCUUUUUUAUUAUAGUUUAUAGUUUUUGAAAUUAAUUAGAUUUUAUUUAAUUUUCCGGAUUUAUUAGCUAUAUUUUUCUCCAUUGUAAAUUUGAGAUAAAAAAAAUGAAAGAGUUGAAAUAUAAAGUAAGAAAGGAUGAAAUCUUCUACUCCACUUGAUCAACUUUACAGUGAACAUAUUUUUAAAUUCAGAAAUUUUGAUAGCAAUUAUUCCUUCUACCAUAAUUUUUUAUUUGGUGGAGCUCCUAAUAAAAGUCAAAAAGAAAAAAAAAGUAUGGGUUUGACCAAUAUUUUAUGGUUCAUUUUUUAUAUAUUUACUCUAAUCUCUGUUUCUAAAAAAUAUCUUAAAACAUUGAAAAAAUAUAUAGUUUAAUUAGCAACAAAUACGCGUUUUUUAUUCUCAAAUUAUUGGUCCAAUCGGUUGAUUUAGUUAGAGAUUCAAAUAUUAUUUAUGAUUUUAAUAUAAAAUAUGAGAAAUGAUGUUCACAUUUCAAAUGAUGUUCAAAUUGAUGGAAACAGUCAAAAAAGAAAAAAUCCUGAGAUGUCAAGUUUACAUUUUAAAACUGGAAGAAAGAAAUCCUCAAAGCAAAUUGGAGGGGCUGCAAGAUUGUCCAGUCAAAUAGAAAAACUAUGCAAUGCAGCUGACAAUAUGAGUCAAGCCACAUCUAGUUUGACUCCUGUUAUGGAUCCAUAUGGUAUUCCACAAGCAGUCAAAAUGCUUGACAGCAUGUCGGAAGAAGUUCCAGAAGCUAGUCCGCUAUACUUUUUCGCACUUAGAUUAUUGCUCAAUAAGGACAAGCGAAUUAUGUUUUUAUCAAUUAAUCCUAAUAUUAGAGCUUUGUGGCUUAAGACGGAAAUGGAGGAUAGUUGAAAAUUUUUUGAUCUUCUAGGGUUUAAAGAUAUCUAUUUAUGUGUAAUCUUCUAGUUAUAAUGGCUUAAGCGAAUUAUGUUUUUAUCAAUAGUUAUUUAUGUUUAGUUUUUGGAUAUUGAAUUUAUGUGCGAAUUAUGCUUUUGGAUAUUGAAUUUAUGUGUAAUCAAUUAUGUUUUAUUAAUAGUUGUUUAUGUUUGGUCUUUAGAUAUUGAAUUUAUGUUCCACUUAUUUUUUAUUAAAUUAAUUUUAUUAAUGGUUGUUUAUAUGUGAUUUUGGAUAUAAAAUUUAUUCACAGGUGAUGAGUAUAGUUGAGGAUUAUAGCAGUGAUGAAAGUGAUGAUCAAAGGGAAAAGAAAGAGAUGUUACAACGCAUGGAAUGUUUUAACCGAAUAUUUGUUGUUGCAUCUUCUUCCAUGCAAUUAUAUUACGAGAAGUAUAUAUUGAGGCAACCAUGCAUGGAUUCAAAACAGUCAGGUGAGACAUGGAUCCGAGAGAUCCUUGACGGUCACGAAUCACGUUGUAUGAUUAAUUUUAAGAUGUCUAAAAUGGUAUUCACAAGUUUGUUGAGAGUUUUGGAGACAAGAUACAACUUGCAAACUUCAAGAAACAUAUCUUCUACUGAAAUGUUGGGAAUUUUUUUAUACAUCUUGGGCACCGGUGCAAAAGUUUCCCAAUGUCGAGAAAGAUUUCAAAGGUCUGGAUCAACAAUAAGUCGAUACUUUGCAGUUGUGCUUGAGAAAGUUUCAAGGAUGGCCAUUGAUCUAAUUGCACCUGAAGAUCCUUUUUUUAGCUCAAUACCCGAACAAAUACAUAAUGAUUCUAGAUAUAUGCCGCAUUUUAAGGUUAAAAUUUAAUUUCAUAUUAUUAUAUUUUAAUAUAUUUGGUCGACUAAAAAUAUGCACGAGAGUAAUAUGAUUAUUUGUUCAGGAUUGUAUAGGUGCAAUUGAUGGUACUCACAUUGCGGCUAUUCUUCCACCAAAUGAACAAAUUCCCUAUAUUGGAAGAAAAGGUAUCCCGACUCAAAAUGUUAUGGCAGUAUGUGAUUUUAAUAUGUGUUUCACAUUUGUCAUGGCUGGAUGGGAAGGAUCGACACAUGACACUAGAAUAUUUCUUGAUGCAAUUCGAGAUCUAAAAUACAAAUUUCCGCACCCUCCAAAUGGUUAGAUAUUUUAUUUAUAUGUGAUUUUUUAAAUAAUAAAGUAAGUUCUUUAAUUGAUUUUUUAUUAAAAAAAUUCUUGAAUUAAUUGUUUGUUAUAUUAUGACUUGUAGAAAAAUAUUAUCUUGUUGAUUCUGGAUAUCCUCAAAUGAAAGGUUAUCUUGGACCAUAUAGAGGUCAACGAUAUCAUUUACCUGACUUCCGAAGAGGUAGACCGAUUUCUGGUAAAGAAGAGAUAUUCAAUCAUUCACAUUCAUCAUUACGUAGUGUGAUUUAACAAACUUUUGGUGUUUUAAAAAAAAUGGGCCAUUUUAAGGGAUAUGCCAAGUUAUAGUUUUGAAAAGCAAACGGUGAUCGUUGUUGCUAUAAUGACGAUACACAAUUUUAUCCGAAAACAUGUUGGUCAAAAUGAUGUAGAUUUUAUGGAAUACGAAGAUAUUAACUCGGCAUAUGAGAAUAGUAUUGAUUCAGAAAAUGCGCAUGGGCCACAAAGUGAUGAUGAUGACGACGACGACGACGAUGAUAGUAAUGAUGAUGGUGAAUCAAACAUUUUUAGUGGUUUUGAAAUGGAAUUAACAAGAGAUGCUAUAGUUUCUAGUUUAAUGAAUUCAAUUUAAAUUGUAAAUGCUAUUGUAAAAUUUUUAGUAUUUAUAUCUGAUAUAUAAAUAUUAUCCCCUUUUUAAAACUUCAAUCCAAAUAUAUCUAAUAUUUUAAUUUGUUAAGUUUAUGUUUUCUAUGUUAUAUUAAUAUCUAAUAUGAGUUAUAUAUUCAAAUAUAUUUUAAAAUAAAAUAAUACAAGCGUGUUAAAAGUAUUAAUUAAAAAUAAAAAAUAAUUUUUAUAAUAAUACAAUCGUGUCAAUAUCUAAUUACAAAUAUUUAAAUAUUUAAAUAUAGUUUAUAUAUUCUAAUUAAAUUUUAUAAAUAAUUAAUAUUAAUUACUUAGAAAUAUUUAAAAUUAAUAUUAUAUAUUAAAAUAUUAACAAUAAGUUAUAAUAAAUUAUUUUUUUAUAUUUUUGCUAAAAUAUCAUAAUAUUAACUAAUUUGAACAUUAUUUAAAAACAUAUUUGUUACUUUAUAAUCUCAUGUCUAAAAUGGACAUUUUAUUCUUCAAAAAUACUUUUUAACACUAAUAGCAAACACUCAAAUUUUUCAAAAGCACUUCUUAAAAAUAAUUCUCAAAAGCAUUUCUCAAAAGUAACGAAAAACUAGCCCUUAACGCCCCGUUCUUCUGCACGUUUUAGAAGUGCUUUUGGCUGAAAAAUCCUUUUCCUUUAAAAGGAAUGAAGAACAGCCUCCUUUUCUUCUGAAAAUUUCACCAUCAGAAAAGGACUUCUCUCCAGAUGAAAAGUUAAAAUUUCUCUUUUUUUUCAGCUUAAAGUGCUUUUGGCUGAAAAUUGACCAAAUUAACCUAUCGUCUUCUCCCACAAACUUUCUUUCCCCUCCUCUGCUGGUUCUUUGGAACUGUCUUCUCCCACAAACGUGCUUUUGGCUGAAAAGAACAGAAAUUUGAUUUCUCAAAUUUUUCCACAAACGUGCUUUGGAACUGUCUUCUCCCACAAACGCUCUCCCACUCCCGCGACGGGGCGCUGUCAAUCGGCUGUGCUUCAGGGUCGAAGGAAGCAUAUGGAAGGUCUCACUGUCUGCAUGCUCGAUCUCCACAUUCCCUUCCCGAGUAUCUCUCUUUCUUCAUAUCUUUUUUUUUGUGCGGCUUCGUGGUUUUAUUAGAAUGCGUUCAUAGGGGAAUUAGUCUUACGAUUAAUAUUUUCUCUUGUAAAAAGGAUAAAUUGAUGUUGCAAUUUAAUGACAGUUUUUAUGCUAUGGAUUGAGAAUGAGAUUCUAGGGUUUUUCAUUGAAUGAAUUUGCUUUUGGUUGUUUUAUUAACAAACUUCAUCGCUUCGCUUAAGAAAAAAAAAAUCCUUCUUUUAAGAUUGAAUUUAUGAAGUUUUAUCGGUUAAUUAAAUGCUUAGCUCUUUUCUAAUGACUGUAACCAAUGUAGCAAUGAUAUUAAAGAAGGUUUAGUUAUAAAAGUGGAGAGAUAUUAUGCUAAACCGAACUACUAACUUCAAUAGUUUACUUCUUAGUGUUCUUAUAGAGGCAAUUUUGUUUGAAAAGGAUCUUUCUAAACAAUGUAAGAUUUGGUAUUUUUGCUUAUUUUGUGAUGGUUGAAGAAGUUUGUGCGUAUCACUGAUUUAAUAACUUUGUCUAACGUCUCAUCCUAUGUUUUAUUUUUAAUACAUAAAUUUUUGAUACAUUGGAGCAGGCAAAAUUGGGGUUAAGGAAGUUUCAGUCGGAGUUGUUGCAGUUUUUGAUGGUCAUAAUGGUGCUGAAGCUAGUGAGAUGGCUUCAAAACUUUUACUGGAGUAUUUUGCUCUAUAUACAUAUUUCCUUUUGGAUGCAACUUUUUCCUUUGUAUUGAAGAAGCAGUCAAGUAGGUUGCCAAAUGUAGGAGAAGGGGAUAUUGUUUUCUGUUGCGGAAAGGAUCGAUUCGAGAACUCCGAUAUGACUACAAGUAAAUUGACCGAAACGAAAAAUAAAGUGAACACAAGGAUUUACGUGGUUCGGCUUUAAUGCCUACGUCCACGGGCAGAGGCGAAAAGAAAUUUCACUAUAACAAGAUGAAGAUUACAAGUGUUUUACACUCAAGACACAACCCGAGAACCUCACAACUCUCAACCCCUAUAGAAAACCCGAAAGCUAAAAUCCUAGCUUUCAAAGAACAAGCUUUGCUCUCUCUUGGUUUGGGAUGAUCAAUAUGGCUAAUGAACCUCUCUAUUUAUAAGAGAGUUCAAGGACAUAAUUGUCCAAAACUUUGGCAAAGAUUUGUGGUUGAAAAUGGACACCAACAACCAUCCACUAAUCCACUACCACCAACAACCCACUACCAACAACAACAAUCCACUACCAAUUUUAAGCCAUUUCUUAACAAAUCUCCACCUUGGCUUGAAAUUUACCAAGCUGAACAUCAUAGAAACUCCAAGCCAUUAUCCGUCCGGAAUCGCUUGAUCUUCUUUCCUGUUUGAUUUUCGAUCAAAGCUUUAAAUUGCUUGAAGUUGAUGAGAACCUCAUACUUGCUCUUCAGAAAAUACACCCAAACCUUUCUCGAGUAAUCAUCGAUAAAGGUAAGCAGAUAUCUGUAACCACCUUUAGAAAUUGUCGGAGAAGGCCCCCAAAGGUCAGAAUGGAAGUAAUCCACUGUGCCUUUUGUCUUGUGAAUCCCAGUGCUGAACUUUACCCGAGUCUGCUUACCGAAGACGCAGUGCUCACAGAAAUUCAACUUUCCUGUACACUGCCCAGACAAUAAUCCUCGUUUGCUUAGCACCGAUAAGCCUCUCUCGCUCAUAUGCCCGAGCCGCAUAUGCCAUAACUUCGUGGUGUCAGAAUCUAGAUCAUCUGAUGAUGACACUCCCGCAACACCUGUAACCGAGGAACCAUCGAGGAAGUAAAGGCCCCGCUCCAAAUUACCACGUAUCACAGUCAAAGCACCCGAGAAUACCUUGAGAACUCCACCUUCAGCAGAGUACCGAAAGCCUUUCUUGUCCAACGUACUCAAAGAGAUCAAAUUUUUCUUCAUUUCUGGAAUGUGCCGAACAUCAGUUAGAGUUCUAACAAUACCGUCAAACAUCUUUAUACGAACUGUGCCAAUCCCCAUGACUUGACAUGCGUGGUCAUUUCCCAUUAGUACUGAACCAGAAUGCUUCUCGUAUGUUGAGAAUGCAUCUUUCGAAGUACUUAUAUGAAAUGUAGCUCCCGUAUCAAGAAUCCAUCUCCCACCAGCGUAAGAGUCGGAUACUGCAAGAACGAUCUCGGCAUCACUUGAAGAAUCUGCAUCAGCUACAUUCGCACGAUCAUUUUGUUGCUCCUGUGAUUCUGAUUUCUCCUUCCUUUUCGGACAAUCUACCUUCAUGUGCCCGUACUUCUUACAGUAGUAGCACUGUAUUCUCUUCUUGGACUGCGAUCUAGGAUGGCUUUUACUUGAACUUCCACCCUUUGCCUUGGAUCUUCCUCGAGCAACCAAGCCUUCGCCUUCAUUGUUUUCGACCACCUUACCAGUGAUUUUCUUCCUCAACUCACUGGAACUUAAGGCAUUUUUCACCUCCUCUAGAGUCAGGUCAUCACGACCGUACAUCAUUGUAUCAACAAAAUUCUCAUACGAGGGAGGCAAAGAACACAAAACAAUUAUUGCUUGGUCCUCAUCAUCGAUUUUGUUAUCGAUAUUAUUCAAAUCCAUGAUAAUGGAAUUGAAUUUAUCCAGGUGCUGGGAAACAGGUGUACCUUCCUCCAUCUUCAGGGCAUAGAGUCUUUGCUUGAGGUAGAGCCGGUUCGUCAAUGACUUCGUCAUGUACUUGCUCUCUAACCGGAGCCACAAACCGGACGCGGUUUUCUCAUCCGCUACUUCUCGUAGCACUUCAUCUCCUAGACAUAGCAGAAUAGCACUAUGUGCUCUUUCUAGCAUGUCAUCCUUUUGCUCUUCCGAAAGCGUGCUUGGUAAUUUAUCUUUACCAGACAAUGCUUUUAGCAAUCCUUGUUGAACCAGCACUGCCCGCAUCUUGAUGCGCCAUAAACUGAAACUAUUUUUCCCGGUAAAUUUCUCGACAUCAUACUUAGUCGAUGAAACACUUGUAGCCAUAAUUUGGAACCUUUGAAUGAAUGAUAAUAUUUUCUUCCUGAUGUGAAAGAUCAGACAAAGCUGCAGUCACAGGGCAAUUCAGAAAAUAUUAUCACUCCUUCAACUACGCUCUGAUACCAAUUUGUUGCGGAAAGGAUCGAUUCGAGAACUCCGAUAUGACUACAAGUAAAUUGACCGAAACGAAAAAUAAAGUGAACACAAGGAUUUACGUGGUUCGGCUUUAAUGCCUACGUCCACGGGCAGAGGCGAAAAGAAAUUUCACUAUAACAAGAUGAAGAUUACAAGUGUUUUACACUCAAGACACAACCCGAGAACCUCACAACUCUCAACCCCUAUAGAAAACCCGAAAGCUAAAAUCCUAGCUUUCAAAGAACAAGCUUUGCUCUCUCUUGGUUUGGGAUGAUCAAUAUGGCUAAUGAACCUCUCUAUUUAUAAGAGAGUUCAAGGACAUAAUUGUCCAAAACUUUGGCAAAGAUUUGUGGUUGAAAAUGGACACCAACAACCAUCCACUAAUCCACUACCACCAACAACCCACUACCAACAACAACAAUCCACUACCAAUUUUAAGCCAUUUCUUAACAUUUUCCAAGUGCUUAAUUGGGACAAAGAGAUUGGAAAGCAUGGCUUGAACCUUGAAAGGUGAUAUCAUGUGUAACUCAGACCAUAUUUAUGUUUGAGUUCCUUGUUUUAGAAAAUGGAUAUAGCUGUUGCUUGCUGUUGACGAUUCUUAACCCAAAGUAUUAAUGCUUGCUCAGAUUAUUAACCCAAUGUUUAUUUCAUCAUCUUAAAGUUGCUUCCUGUUUGCUUCUACCUGCUAUUCAGCUGGUUGUGGGAAUUAGCCAUCCCUGGUGGAUUUCUCUGACAUUUUUCAUUGGAAGCUGUAUUAGGCUAGUGGAUUGGUCUUUGACUAGCAAUUUUCUAGGACUAUUCAGGUGAUUGCUUCUUGACUCUUUGUACAUUGUUCUAUUUCAUUUUCUUUGUCAAUGAAUUUGGUUUUAUCAUUGGUUAAUGUUUUUAGUAGCUUAUGUUCUGUUUCUUUUUUGUCAAGGUUGUGGAAGGCUCUCCAGUUUUAUGCAGGCUUCAGCAUUUUCAUGCUUUAUGUGUAUCAACUCCUUAUAGAGUUCUCAAGUAUGUUACAGUGGAUAGCUGAUUUUGUUGGUCUAUUCAAAAUAUGUUCAACAUCUGAGUGGACUGAAAUUUGCUCUUCUGUUUCUCUUGUACUUUAUUACAUCAUGGUAUGUACUAGUUUUAUUACUAUAGGUCUGAUUCUGUUUAAAGAUUUUAGCUGAACCUUUUAAUGAAAUGCAAUUCACUCUUCCCUCUUCCUAGAAUCUUAUAUUAUGAAAUUGACUUCAUUUGAGUCUUUCCUGUGUCUGACAUUUGUCUAUCUAAUAGUCUUUUCCCCAUAUUACUAAUUUAAGAUGGUUUGAAGUGUUUUCUUUCUAUAAGAAAAAUUUCCCGAACAGAUAUGAAGUAAUUAGUUGCAAACUAGACUUUGGAGAUUGAUGACAUUUUUGCCAUUCUGGAUGCAAUUUUUAUUCAAUUUGCUCAAUGAAAUUGCAAUUGAAAAUUUGAGAGCUUCCUAGUUAGAAACCACAUAUUUAUAUAAUAUAUGUUUUUAAUAGUUUUGAACAAGUUAAAUUAAUUAUAAAGAAAUAAUAUAAUUGAGAACAAGAUUAGAGCAGCUCGUUUGUACAUCUCAAUCUUAAUAUUAAGUGAUUGAUGACUCUAAGCUACUUAAAAACAAGAAGACAAUCAAUCUUCACUUUAAUUUGUAUGACGCAAAGUUUUUAAAACCAUUUCUAAGAACCGUUAAGAAAUAAUAGAUACAAGAUCUAAUCAAAACAUCAUGUAACGACCCAACCAAAACCCACCAAAGAGAUAUCCAAAAUCUCAAAUUUGGAAUUAAAGGUCAACGUAAACACAAAAUUCUCCAAAAGUAUUAUGAGUUCUAACCUUUUAAUGGGUAUAAUUUUUAAGGUUUUACAAUAGCCUAUUUACAUGCAAAAUUUGUAGCCCAAAUAAUAAUAAAAUAAUAUAAACUAAUCAAUGUUUAACUAAAAUAAAUAAAUAGAGUUUAGCUGAAAGAUUACCUCUCAAAUUUAAUCGAAAUAUGAGGCAAGGUAUCACUUCAAUGGUAUAAAGCUACAUAAAAUCUUAGUUAUGUCUUUGAAAUAUUUUCAUAAAGGCAUGUGCAAAAACUUUUUCAUUCUUAACAAAUUCAUUCCACUCAAUAUUAUUUAUUUAAAAUCAAAACCACAUUUAUUUUUAAACAACAUCUAAUAAUGUAUUUGGCUCAUCCAACAAUUUAUUUUUAAACGACAUUUAUUUAAAAAGAACCAAAUGAGAAUCAUUAUACAACUUCAUAAAGUCGAUGACACAUCCAACAUUUAAAGCACAAAGAAACUAGAUAGGCCAACAACAAAACAAUAAUGCCAACAUUCUCAAAUACGGCAACAAAUUUGUUCUAAAAACAAAAGUAAGCGCAUCGCACCUAGAGCGUAGAAAUACUUGAAUUCAAUCAUUGUAACAACGAAAAAGGAAACAAGACAUCCAACAUCCUCAUCACAAUAGAUUCUCCUUUGACCCGCCAACAGCGUUUGCAAUGCAAUAAAACAAAAAGAGGUUAUUGUGAUAGCAACUCUUAUAAAUAUUCCAAAAUUAACUUUUAGAUGCAUCAAGUCUUAAUCUAAGGGAAAGGGUUUAUCCAAACAUGAAAAAUCUAACCAACUCAAUUCAAUUCAACCCAACCUCAACCUAUCUAUAUAGUUUACUUUUAAUUUAUAUCUAAUUUCAAUUAUGGUUUAAAUUUAAAUAUUUUUUAACAAAAAUUUUAAAUACUUAAUAUUGAACAAAUAGCCAUAUUUAUGAAAAAAUUUGUAAUUAUGAACAUAACUUAACACAUAGGUAAAAGUAUUUUUUUUACUUAAUAAUAUUAUUAGCAAUAGUACGUUAUUAAUUGUAUAUGAAAAUAAUGAAGCUUAAAAAUUAAAAUUUAAAGACAAUGUCAUUGUCAAAUUUACUCAAUUUAUUUUUAACCAUAGUUACCUAUGUACAUAUGUGACACACAUAAUAAGAUGCUAAUAUAUAUAAGGCAAAAUAUUAUAAAGUUAAACGGUUAGAUAAUGAAGUGAAAUGUUUCUAACCUUAUGCAAUAUUUGAACUUGUUAUAGUAACAGUAUCCAAUGAUGUACUUGGCUCAUCAUUAGAGUUCUCACACCUAUGAACCUCCAUUGAUGUUUCAAGCGGCAGUUGAUGGAAUGGCUUAGGAGCCAUUUCAAGGAGUUCAACAUCAGAUUCAAGCAUCUUCAAAACUUUACUCAUUGAAGGACGAUCAGAAGGCAGUAAUUGUAUACACCAAAAGGCUGUUAUUACCAUUUUCUUUACCAUUGCUUUUUCAUCGUCAGAAACAUCUCCCAACUCCAAGUCAUCUCCUUGAUCUAAUCGGUCAUAAAUCCAAGAUGGAAAAUAUAUUUGACUAGUGUGGUCAGCAAAUGCAUUCACAUUCUUUCUCCUUCCAACUAUUUCCAUCAGUAACAUUCCAAAACUAUAAACAUCGGCUUUGUAUGAGAUGCCUCCAAGAUUUUUGUAAACCAAUUCAGGAGCAAUAUAUCCUAUCGUUCCUCGUGCCGCAGUGAGAGAGACAAUGCUAUUAUCUACUGAAUACAAUUUAGCAAGACCAAAAUCCGAAACUUUUGGAUUAAAAUUCUCAUCAAGAAGAAUAUUGUGUGGCUUGAUAUCAAAAUGUAGAAUUUGCAUGUCACAUCCUUGAUGUAAGUAGUGAAUUCCUUGAGCCACCCCAAGUACAAUAUCAAACAUUUUUUUCCAGCCCAAAGUGUUCUUAUUUUCUUCUGUAAAUAUGAUUUUAUCUAAAGAUCCAUUAGACAUGAAGUCAUAUACUAGAGCUUGCUUUGAUCCCUCCACACAAAAUCCGAUAAGUUUUGCCACAUUAGCAUGAUGAAUUGUCCCAAUGGAAGCAACUUCGUUUAUGAAAUCUUGGCCAUUACCUUUUGAUUUGCCCAACAAUUUUAUUGCCACAUGAUGGCCGCUACGAAGCUUUCCUUUAAACACUGAGCCAUAACCCCCUUCACCUAAUUUAUCUUUAAAAUUGUUAGUCAUUUUUUUAAUUUCUUUAAAAGAAUACCUUAAUGGCACUAGAUUAUUUUGGCUUUUAAGGAACUCUUCGAUCAUAUCAUCCAUGGAUAAAUGUCUUCUUCUCCAUUUGUACGUGACAAAAGCAAGCAAACAAAUGAUCCCAGGAAAUGACCUCAAGAUAACUCCACCUUUAAAGAAAUACAAUGUAACAUGUUGAAAUUAAUCACAUAAUAUAUAACUUACAUUCUCAGAAAAAAGGAUAUAGUGUGAUAGUUUUAUGUUAACUAGUAUUUGAGAGAGUGGCAUAUUUCACUAGUCUAUGGACUUAACCGAGAGUAGUCUGAAUUAUAUGCAUUGUUUUUGUCAUUAGCAGGUAUAUCUCAACAAAUUAAAAUUCAGAAUUUCAAACACAAAAGGAGUAAAUCGUGCAAAGUGGAUACCAAUUAUUCUAACCUCAAACAUUCCAAUAGAUUUGACAGGGUCAUGACAUUCAGCCAAAUUAACACAUUCGUAACCCCAUCCAAUUAGCAAAUUCUAAAGAAAGAACAUGAUUCUUAACCAUGAAGGAUACUCAACUGUUGUUUCUAUUCAUGCCAAAUAAACUUGAAGAAGGACAAAUUAAAAAUAUAAUAACCUUCAAAUUUCAUAAAUGAAACAAAAUCUAACCACCAAAAGAUGCAAGAGAACCCCCCAAAAAACAGAUUUGAUAAAUUCAAGAGCUAACUUUGUUGAAUGUUUUAGCAAAAUGAAUAUCCACCAAACUUAUAACCUGUGAAAGUUCUAAACAAUACCAUUAUGGAAACAAGCUUAACUAAAACUCUAACAUCUUUCUUAACUUGACAAAAAAUUUCUUUCAUAUAGAAGAAGAUUGUAUUCUGCAUUCAAACUCCGUAAAGAGUGUCAUAGCUUUCUUAGUUUUGUAGUGAAAUUAAAUAUAAACUUGUAUAAUAUGAUAGGCUCCUUAUUCUUUUUUUCCCCCAGAAUAUAGCUAAUAUUUGUUCUCAACUAGUGAAAAUGCAAAUCUGCAAAUCUAAAAUUAAAUAUACCUGUUAUUAGCAAACAGAGACGACAAGCUCCGAGCAAUCUGGAUUAUAUAUUCAACAAAUCAAAGUAAAAUUAAUAAAGGGGUGUAAAGGAAAAUUCCAAAUUUGUGUAAAAAAAUCAAUGGAAGGUAAUUUAAAACAUUAUAUUAUGUUUUGUGGUAUAUACUCAAAAAAAAAAUACAACAAUUCUUUACAUAUGUUUGCUUGUAAAAAGUAUGCAACAUGUAUUACAGUAUAAGAGUUUUUAGGUAACUAAAAUGAUUUAAUAUAAUCAAAGGUGAGACAAAUUUUAUUCAAAUUAAUUAAUCCAAAAAGUAUAUAUUAUUGCAUUAAAAAGAGUUUUUGCGAAAAAAAUAAACUCAUCCACAAUGGUGGAAUAUUUACGUACUACCAACUAAAUUGAAUAGACAUCAAAAAUAAAAAGAAAAUAAAAAGAUAGACAUAAUCAAAUAUAAUUGUCCAAAAAGAAGACAAAACAGCAGAGAAAGCAGAGGCAGAUACUAAAUUAGAAAUGCUUUUAGUUCAUUUGAUUGUUAGAUGUUGAUCAAUUUUAGAUGCAAAAUCAUCAUACUUAUUUACCAUCAUAAAAUUUAAUUGCCAAAAAAGUAACAUAAAAUAAAACAAAACAUAAAGUAGAUGUUGUAACUAAAAAUUCCAGUAUGAUGCACACUCAAAAUGCAAACUUUAAUUAUUAAAGAAACUUACAUUUCUUUCAACGAAACUUUGUUUUGGUAAUCGCAUCUUUUCCAUUCGACCCAAAAACCCUCUAAUAGUUUUUUGUAGAUAUCCAGCGUAGACAUGCCUAUUAUAUUAUCAACCAUAAUUGGAACCGCCGCUUCGAUAGUGCAAGCUUGAUUGAUAUAAGAUAGCUGGGUGUUUCCAUUUAAAAAAUAGAAAUGGGAAGUUGGCAGGGAAGAGGAGGUAUUGGAUUUGAUGGUACAACGAGAAGCCUCAAUAUAAAGUGACGAUUUUAUAGGUUUCGUGCAAUUCAUAACAUAAAUAAUGCUAUAAUCUAACCUUUUAUAACCAGAAAGAAAAUAAUUAUUAUUAUAAAAAAAAAAUUAUUAUUAUUUUUAUUAAUACCAUUAUAAGAAAAAUAAUCUACAGAAGUAAGAGGAAGGGAGUUGCAAUCAUCCGUGUCUAAACUCGCAUCGACCAUUCGUAUUGUAGAAUUUUCGUAAAAGAUUUGUUGGACAGAGAAUUUCCCUCCUCUCCCAACCAAAGUGGUGCGAUUAUUGUUCUCACACUCAAGUUCCAUGACAGGAGAACCACAGUGGGGAGGUUGGUUUUUUAAUCGGAAUGGAAAACUGAUAUUCAAAUUCCCACAGAAAGUAUAGCCGCAGUCUUGGUUAAUAAGACUCCUAGCAAAACAAACAGCAGGAAAUAGAACUACAAAUAAAGCAAAAGAGGGCAUUAGGUGACCCAACAAUGGCAGUUUUGCUUUUAAUUUUGGCAUGCUAAAAUUUUGGGUAGGGAAGAAGAACAACAAUGAGGGUUAACGAUUAAGUUUCUAACUAAACCAGGGAAAUAUAUAAGAAAGCUUCAGUGGGAGAACAAGCAUUAAUGGGGACAGAAGACUUUGACUAGUCUUCAGCUUUAUUUGGGAUGACUAUUUUAUUUUCAAUAAAUUGUUUACACCUUUUAUUCUUUUAUCUUUUUUCUGGGAAACACCUCAAUCAAAGCACAUCUAAUUCCAAGAAUAGAGCCAUGGUUAUCACAAGCAAAAAAAGGAAUUUUAAUAUUAUUCAAAAAAUUUUAAAUAAAUUUGGACCAUAUACUUGUAGAUCAACCGUUAUCACCUAAAUAAAUUCCAAUUACAAUGAGGAGGACCAAGACAAUGCAAGUCUUAAGUCUUCUUUGAAACACAAAAACAUCACUGCAAAAUAGACUUUUAGCGGCAUUUUUUAGGCCUAUAGCGGCGCUUUUAGGCGUCGCUGGAAAUAGAGCGUCGCUAAAACUAUUUCCGGCGCUUUCACAAGCACCACAAAAAUGCCGCUAUAAACAUCGCCGCUAAAUUUUGCGGCGUUUAUAUGAAAAAACGCCGCUAUAGAACAUGAUCUUUAACGACGCUUUUAUCACAAACGCCGCUAAAGAACAUGGCCUUUAGCAGCGUUUUUAUCACAAACACCGCUAAAGGUAAUAAUCUUUAGUGGCACUUUUAUCACAAACGCCGCUAAAAUAAUAUGAUCUUUAGCGGCGCUUUACCCACAAACGCCACUAAAGAUCAUUACCUUUAGCGGCGCUUUUAUAAAAAACGCCACUAGCUUUUAAAAAUAUUAAAUAUUAAAAAUCACACAUUAUUAAUAUUACAAAUUAAUUAGUAUUGGAUAUAUACUUCUAGUCAAAAAGAUGGUAUUUAAUCAUAUAAUAAAUUAAUAUUUUUUAGUCAAAAUAUUGAAAAAUCAUGUUAAUAUUUAAAUAGCAAAAUUACAAGUUCAAAUAGUGCAACUAAUUGAUUGGAAAAAAAAUGCACAAGUUCAAAAUGUGCAGUAAUAAACUUAAAAAUUUAUAGGCUAAAAUGGAAAUUACCUUUUGAAAUUAGACUAAAAUAGGUUUACUACAUUCACUAUUUACUACAUGGGUUUAUUGCUUCUAUAAACUCCAAUUAGGCAUUGAAACAGGGGUGUUUAUAUAUUACAAAAAAGCAUGAAAAAAUAGGAGUCCAUCUCCACACCUCAGAAACCAGGGCAAAUGCAUACCCCAACAUUGCCCUCGUAUUCAGCAUCCAUCUCCAGCUGCUUCGACGAAUACGGAACGAGAAUACAUGUUGCAAGUUCCGUAUUCUAAUGCAGUGGGUAGCUUGAUGUAUGCAAUGGUGUGUACAAGACCCGACAUUUCACAGGCAGUUAGUAUAGUGAGCAGGUAUAUGCAUAAUCCUGGAAAAGGACAUUGGCAAGCUGUGAAAUGGAUUCUACGGUAUAUUCAGAAGACCGUGGAUGUUGGAUUACUGUUCAAGCAGGAUAAUACACUUGGUAAAGGUGUUAUUGGGUACGUUGAUUCUGACUAUGCCGGUGAUUUGGACAAGCGAAGAUCAACCACCGGUUAUGUGUUUACACUUGCUGGAGGACCAAUAAGUUGGAAGUCUACACUACAGUCUACAGUUGCAUUGUCAACCACAGAAGCCGAGUACAUGGCUGUAACAGAGGCUGUAAAGGAGGCUGUUUGGUUAUAAGGUAUGGCUAAAACCUUGGGGUUGGUUCAGGAGCAUAUUAACGUGUAUUGUGAUAGUCAAAGUGCUAUUCAUUUAGCAAAGAAUCAAGUCUAUCAUGCACGUACAAAACAUAUCGACGUACGAUUCCAUUUUGUGCGAGAAAUUAUUGAAGAGGGGAAAAUUUGUCUUCAGAAGAUCAAGACUGCAGAUAAUCCCGCAGAUAUGAUGACCAAGGUGGUAACAGCAACCAAGUUCGAACAUUGUUUGAACUUGAUUAAUAUCCUGCAAGUUUAACAGUUGAAGAAGGCACUAUCAAGUAUUGUGGCUAGGAAAGACUUGGUAUUUAAGUGAUCUUCGUGAUCUACCUCUCUUUCCUGGGAAUUGAACUUAGUGUGAUUUUUCAGUACAAUAAUUUUACUCUUUCACACGCUUCCGCGCAACACACAAUCUUGGUUAAUAAGUUGCCUAGCAAGACAAACACCAGGGAAUAGAAUUACAAAUAAAGCAAAAUGGGGCAUUAGGUGGCCCAACAAUGGCAGUUUUGCUUUUAAUUUGGGCAUGCUAAAAUUUUGGGUAGGGAAGAAGAACAACAAUGAGGGUUAACGAUUAAGUUUCUAACUAAACCAGGGAAAUAUAUAAGAAAGCUUCAAUGGGAGAAGAAGCAUUAAUGGGGACAGAAGACUUUGACUACUCUUCAGCUUUAUUUGGGAUGAAUAUUUCAUUUUCAAUAAAUUGUUUACACCUUUUAUUCUUUUAUCUUUUUUCUGGGAAACACCUUAAUCAAAGCACAUCUAAUUCCAAGAACAGAGCCGCGGUUAUCUCAAGCAAAAGAAAAAGAAGAUUUUAAUAUUAUUCAAAAAUUUUAAAUAAAUUUGGACCAUAUACUUGUAGAUCAACCUUUAUCACCUUAAUAAAUUCCAAUUACAAUGAGGAACAAGACAAUGCAAGUCUUAAGUCUUCUUUGAAACACAAAAACAUUUAAGUGGCUGAGAGCAACAACUGUUAUUGCUUUGGUCCUUUUGUGUUAAGUAAGACAACAGUUUGUUGGAUAUUUCUAAAAAGCAAGUUCAUAGUUAGAACUGUCAAGCAAGGCGACUCAAUGCCCAAUUGUAUAGAUUUUUUUUUCUUCCACGAAUAAUACUUAACCACUUUUCAAAUAAUUUUAUUAAUAUAAUUACAUGUUUUUAUCCAUUCGACUGUGAUACUCGAACUUGACAACUAGUUAUAUUUUGGUUCCUAAACUUAAAAAAUAUGAAAGUUUUAUGAUGCAACUCUCUAAUAUUGUGCUACAUCAUCACUUGAAAAUUAAAAAAAAAAUUAUAUAAAUUUUUAGAGAAUGGCAUGAUACAAUCUCUAAGUGUCACGUUCAUUAUUUUAAUAAUCAAGUUGAUGAUUGAACCAGUCAGACCACUAUUACUCGAUUCAAUUAGUUUGAUCAGUUCGACUGCUAGACCAACAAUAAUUAAAUAAAUCAUUAAACAUUCAUAAAAUUCUAAAAAGGUAGAAAACAAAAUUUAUUAAACUGAUUAAACAUGGUCAACAGCUGGGGUUUUUUUAAAAUUUUUUUAAUUUUUACCAAUUUCAAGUAAUUUUUAUAUUUAAUUGAUUCAACAUCUUUGUUCAAACUAUUAUACCGAUCGAUUCUCGGUCCAAUCAAUCUAACCAUCCAAUCCACUCCUAUACUAGUAACACUAAUCAUAUUAUCAAAUCUUGAUGGAAUUCAAGUUUAAGUUUAAGGGACUAUAGUAGACUUAGCUGCCAAGUUUAGAUAUCAAAGUGGACCAAAAUUUUCGCUUAUUUUAAAGAGAUCUUAUUUUUCUAAAAGUUUUUACUCUUUUUUUUAAUUACUAUAUAAUUUGUACUAAUUAUUUAAAACAUGUGUUAAAUCAUUUUUAACCAUACUCAAAACCAUUUUUUUAAUCAAAUAUAAGUACUUAAUAUUUAAUUAAAUUAAAAAGAUCAAAGAGAUAAAUUUCAAAAUUAUAUAUGAACUUUAAUUUAAUGUACUGCAAUUGUAUAUAUGAAUUUUAAUUUGGUGCAAUUAUACACUUGUAACUCUAAUUGUGGUUCAAAUAUAUACUUUAAACUUUAUAUAUACAAUUACACAUUAAACCAUAGUGUAUGUAUACAUAAUUCAUAAGUUGUACAUAAGAAGUAAGUUUUGGUUAGUGUAAUAUAACUGUGAUUCAAGAUUACGCAUUCAUUUCAGACAAAGCACACCCUUUGAAAUUCAAGUUUUGAUUCUGAUUCUUUCUUCUUCUUUUUUUAAUAAAACCUCUAUGAAAGAAUUUUUUUUUUAAUUCCUUAACGGUAGUGAUUUUGGGUUAUGGAGAAAAAAGGAGUGAAAAGUUGUGAUUUAUGUGGAAGUAGGGAUUUUUCUGUUUUAAUAGUUUUAGAAAUGGAUUUGAUGGAGAUUUCAAUAAUGCUUCAUGUUGGAUUAGUUUUGUUGCUACUUUGGAUGCUUUCUCAAUUCAAUCUUUGCCAUCCACUUCCUUAUUUCCUGUCUCUCAUCUACCUCUAUUUGGCAAUUCAUUCAUCUUCUGCUGAGAAUAAAAAAUGAAACUUUUUUUCUUUAUUUUUGAGCUUGGAUAUUGAACUUUUUUUUUAUUGUUUUUGUUACAGAAAUUCCUUUUAUUUCUUUGUUCAUCAAAGGUUCAUGAAAUGUAUGUGACGAGAUUGAGGAAGAAAUUGGAGUUGGAGGAAAUAAUGCACAAAGAAACUAGACAUGUCAACAACAAAACAAUAAUGCCAACAUUCUCAAAAGCAACAACAAAAAUGUUUUAAAAAAGGAAAUAGACAUCACACUUAGAGUAUAGAAAUACUUGGAUUGUAACCAUGAAAAACGAAAUAAGAUAUCCAACAUCCUCAUCACAAUGGAUUCUCCUCUGAUUCAUUACUAGCCUCUGCAAUGUAAUAACACGAUUAAAAGUUAUUGUAGCAGUAACUCUUAUAAAUAUUAAAAAACUAACUUGUAAAUACAUCGAUCAUGUCUAAAUCUAAUCUAAGUCAAGGUUGAUCUAAACAUGAAAAUUCUAACAAAUUCAUCUCAAUUCAGUCCAACUAAACCUAAACUAAAUUGACACAAAAAUCUAUUUAUAUAAUUUACUUUUAAUUUAUAUAUAACUUUACUUAUGAUUUAAAUUUAUACAUUUAAUAUUGAACAAAUAGUCAAAUUAAAAAAUUUUGGUAAUUAUGAACAAUAACUUAAGACAUAGGUAAUUAAAGAAAAUACUAAUAUAUAUUUAUAUUUAUAUAUAAGGCAAAAUAAUAUAAAGCUAAAAAGUGAGAUAAUGAAGUAAAAUGUUUCUAACCUUAUGCAAUAUUUGAAUUCGCUAUAGUAACACUAUCCAAUGGUGUACUUGGCUCGUUAUUAGAGUUCUCACAAUUAUGAACCUCCAUUGAUGUUUCAAGAGGAAGUUGAUGGAAUGGCUUAGGAGUUCAACAUCAGAUUCAAGUAUCUUCAAGAUUUUACUCAUUGAAGGGCAAUUAUUAUCUUCUUCACCGUUACUUUUUCAUCGUCAGAAAUAUCUCCGAACUCCAAGUCCUCUCCUUGAUCCAAUCGGUCAUAAAUCCAAGAUGGAAAAUAUAUUUGACUAGUGCGGUCAGCAAAUGCAUUCACAUUCUUUCUCCUUCCAACUAUUUCUAUCAAUACAUUCCAAAACUAUAAACAUCGGCUUUGUAUGAGAUGCCUCAAUAUAAAGUGAUAAUUUUAUAAAUUUCGUGCAAUUCAUAACAUAAAUAAUGCUAACCUCUAACCUUCCAUCAUAAUAAUUACCAUAAGGAUAAAUAUAAGAAUAAGAAUCUACAGAAGUAAUUAAGAGGAAGGGAGUUGCAAUCAUCCGUGUCCAACAAUCAACCCCUCCCAUAGUAGGCUGUCGAGGAGCCUCCUGCACAUCAUAAAUAGCACGAGUUGUACGCCCCAAAGCAUUUGCCAAGGACCAUCAAGACGAAGGUCAAUAACAUUUGUGUAAAUUUGGAGUGCUACCUUACAGCCAAAACUAACAGAAUAGUGACUGCUGUUUGGAUUGAAAUGUCAAAUGAGUCAGUUCGGAGUCGGAUACAAGCAAAGUAGCAUUCGAAGCAUCCGUUGCGCAUCAUAGGGGAUAGAAGACCUUGAGUUACAUGAUUUCAUUUUGAGUAUUGAAAAUUGAAAAUAGGAUAACUACCAACCACUAAUAUAUUAUCAGCAAAAUCUCCCAAUUGAAAGAACAAAAGAUGCAUCUAUACUAUGUUUAAAAGUUUAAUAGAGUUUAUGGUUAUCUAUCAAUGAGGUAUCAACUCAAUUGUAAAAUCAUUAAAAUCUUAUUAUUUUUAAAAACAAAAAAUAUUAUUUUGAAGGUAUUUUUAUUUUUAAUUAAACUUUAUAAAAUACAUCAAUUUAAUAGAAUUUGAACCCAAAACAUCAUAAUCCUUAUUACCUAAAUUUUACCAUAUUAAACAAAGCCACAUUUAGCUUUUAUAUCAUUUUUUAAAUAAGCUUGUUAUAUCAUUUUUUUUCACCCAUGUGAGGGUGCCAUAAUCUAAUAUAUCUUUAUUUAAUAAGUAAUAAUCCCAUAUGCAUUAGAGAGUAUUAAGUUGAGUUAUUAAAUUUAGGGUUUGUUAUAUUCUAACGAGUUAUUUUCAAUUCCAUUGAAAUGAUUUAUAGGUGAUAAAUUUUACAAUUUAAUACGAUUAAUUUUAUUAUAUUACAAUGAAAAACAAAAGAAAAAGAAGAAUUUAAUAUGGUUCAAAGUUUUUAAAUAAAUCUGGACCAGACAAACCUUUACCAUUAAUCUAUUCCAACUUCAAUGAGAACGACCACGACGAUGCAAGUCUCAAGUCCUGUUUGAAACGCAAAAGCUUUCAAGUGGUUGAGAGCAGCAAGCCCGAUCCCUUUUGUCCGUUUGUGUUAUGUAAGUCAAUUGUAGAGAACGAUUGUUGGAUAAUUCUAAACGCAAGUUAAUAGUUAGAAUCCUUGAGCAACGCACAUUCCGCCCCAACCCAUGCAUAACGUUAGACGAGACUCAAUGACUAAUUGUAUAUAUUUUUAAUUUUGUUCAACAACUACAUAAGUAUAUUUUUAAAUGAUUGUUAAUAUAAUUACAUGUAUUUUCAUCUAUUUUAUAUGAAUUUAAAAUAUUACAAAUUAAAUAUAAUAUAAGAUACAAGUUCUAUUCAAUUAAAUUUAAAUUUAAAUUCAAAAUUUAAAUUAUCCAACAAUAUAAAUAGUAGACAUAAAUUCAAAGAAAAAAAUUUAGGGUUUAGCUGGAAGAUUACCUCUCAAAUUCGACUAAAAUAAAUAAACAGAAUUUAACUCGGAGAUUACCUCUCAAAUUUAACUGAAAUAUGAAACAUACUCAAUAAUAAAGGUAACAAUUCAAAGGUAUGAAGCUACAUAAAUUCUUAGUUAUGUCUUUGAAAUAUUUUCAUAAAGGCAUGUGCAAAAACUUUUUGAUUCUAAACAAAUUCAUUGUCUCAAUAUUACUUAUUUAAAAUCAAAUCCACGUUUAUUUUUAAACAACUUCCAACAAUGUAUUUGGCUUGUAAUACCCAAUUUUAGCUCGGGCUCACAUAUGGAAACAUAAUCUUCAAGGAUAUGUAAUCUUAGAUAUGAUAUGUGCAAUCUUGGAUAUGAUAUGUGCAAUCUUGGAUAUGAUAUGCAAUCUUAGAAGAUAUGAUUUUGUAAUAUUAGAGAUUUAAUUUGUAGAUACCCUUUAAUCUUAGCCGUUGAUGUAAUUGGUCUGUACCGUUGGAUUUGGGGAGGCUCAACUAUAAAUAGAGGCCUCUCCCUUUAUUGUAAAGGGGGGAGAAAAAACAAUAAAAAAGGGAGAACGAUUGGCAGUUUUUUAAAGGUGACUUACUGUUUUUUUUUCAAUUAUUUAUUUAUGAUUUUAAAAAAGGAAGAAGGUGAUACCACUACGAAUUUUAUUUAUUUAUUUUUAUUUAGCCCUAAUAAAGUGACGCGUUUCAAAGGAUGGGAAUAUUUUUCCAUUCGAGGCCUAUGAGUUAUUCGCGCCUUUUAAUUGGGCCCUACAUUUUUUUCCCUUUAAUUAUGUUUUUGUUGCAAUUUAAUCCCUUUUGUAUUUGUGCUUUUACUAAUUAAUUGAUUAUUAUUAUUAUUUAUUAAUCCUAUUAUUAUUUCUACUAUUAUUGUUAUUAUUAUUUUCAUUAUUUCUUCUUAUCAAUUUACUUAAAUUUCAUGCGCAUAGCUUUAUCUUACUUUGUAUUUUAAUUUAUAUUACUAUUAUAUGUCAUUAUUUAAUUUUAUAAUAUAUUUUUCCUAUUCCUUUUAUAUAUUUGCCUCCAAAUAUGGUAUAUCUUCAACGAUUUUGGUUUUAUUUUUUAUUCAUUUAAAUAUAUUUCUAUAUUUUAAUAGAUUUAUAUAAUAAUAUUUUUUUACAAUACCAUGCUUUGUAUAUAUACAUGAUUGAUAUUAAAUUAUUCUUGUUAUAAAUUAUAGAUUUCAUUUUCGUCUUAUUACCAUAUAUAACUUUCCUCUUAAAAAACUAUUUUAUUAUAUUUUACCUAUUUUAUUGUAUUUCGUUUACUUCAAAUUCUUUUUACAUAUAUUAUUGUAUAUUAUUAUAAAGUCUUCUACUUUUCUAAAUAUACGUAUUUUACAUAUAUCACUUUUUUUCCCUAUUUAUUGCCAAUAUGGUGCAAGAUUGUUGUACUUGUUAUUGCGACAUUAUUACACACAUUCAGUAUCACAUUACAUCAUCUUCUUAUUCAAAUUUAAAAAAAAUAGGAAUUUUAAAAAUUGAGAUAAUGCUCGUAUUUAGGAUUUUCAAGGAAAUUGAGCCCUAACGUACAUUGGGUUUCGAUUUUUUUUGUUAAAUCUAACGAUCGAGAGUUGCUCAUUAAUCAUAAAAAAAAUAAAAUGAAAAGCUUGUUGUCGGGAAUUUAAUAUGUUGUGUCCUAACGUAUUGGAUGUGAUGUAUUUUUUUCUCGAUACAAAGAUUUUUUUUUAAAUAAUAACAAAGGAAGUAUUCCAAGUUUAGGAUUUUGAGAAAUUGUGCCCUAACGUAUUGGCCCGCGAUUUCUUAAAUCUUAAACAAAUGAAUAUUCUUUUAAAUUUUAUCGCUCGAGUAUUUUGGCCUAAUUCAUUUUUGAGGGAUUAGAAUGUCGUGCCCUAACGCAUUGGGUGUGACAUUUUUUUUCCUCCGAAAUGAUAAGAGUCUUAAUAAGUAACGUUUUUAAGUUUUUGCUAAGGAUUAUAUUUUUCAAAAUUUUUGACAUUAAGACACUAAUUAAUUAACUAGGUACCAAUUUUAGGCGUUACGAGGGUGUUAAUCCUUCCUCGUACGUAACCGACUCCCGGAUCCAUUUUUCUAAAACUCGUAGACCAAAUCUAUUUUUUUAGGUGAUCCAAUCACACCUCAAUAAAAUAUUGGUGGCAACUCCCAAUUUUUUGUUUUUUAAAAGUCGACAAAUAAAUUUUUGUUUUUCAAAAAAAUGGUUUCGACAUGGCUCAUCCAACAAAUUAUUUUUAAACAACAUUUAUUUAAAAAGAACCAAAUGAGAAUCAUUAUACAACUUUAUAAAGUCGAUGACACAUCCAACAUUUAAAGCACAAAGAAACUAGAUAGGCCAACAACAACAAAAAUAAUACCAACAUUCUCAAAUAUCGCAACAAAUUUGUUCUAAAAACAAAAGAUAGCGCAUCUCACCUAGAGCGUAGAAAUACUUAGAUUCAAUCAUUGUAACAACGAAAAAGGAAACAAGACAUCUAACAUCCUCAUCACAAUUGAUUCUCCUCUGACCCUCCAACAGCGUCUGCAUUAAUGCAAUAAAACAAGAAGAGGCUAUUGUGAUAGCAACUCUUAUAAAUAUUCCAAAAUUAACUUUUAGAUGCAUCAGGUCUUAAUCUAAGGCAAAGGGUUUAUCCAAACAUGAAAAAUCUAACCAACUCAAUUCAAUUCAACCCAACCUCAACCUAUCUAUGUACUUUACUUUUAAUUUAUAUGUAAUUUCAAUUAUGGUUUAAUUUAAAUAUUUUUUAACAAAAAUUUUAAAUACUUAAUAUUGAACAAAUAGCGAUAUUAAUGAAAAUUUGUAAUUAUGAACAAUAACUUAACACAUAGGUAGGUAAAAGUGUUUUUUUUUUACUUAAUAAUAUUAUUAGCAUUAGUACGUUAUUAAUUGUAUAUGAAAAUAGUGAAGCUUAAAAGUUAAAUUUUAAAGGUAAUGUCAUUGUCAAAUUUACUCAAAAUUUAUUUUUAACUAUAGUUAUCUAUGUACAUAUGUGACACACAUAAUAAGAUGCUAAUAUAUAUGUAAGGCACACUACACCAAAACAGGUUUUUAGCGGCAUUUUUUUAUGCCUUUAGCGGCGCUUUUUAGCGUUGCUAAAAGUAUUUGUGGCGUUUUUGGAAGCGCCGCAAAAAAUGCCGCUGUUCUCAACGCCGCAAACGUUUGUGGCUUUUUUAUAAAUAAACGCCGCUAUAGAUUAAGACCUUUAGCGGCGCUUUUUCAACAAACGCCGUUAUAGAUCAGGAUCUUUAGCGGCGCUUUUUUACAAACGCCGCUAUAGCUCAAGACCUUUAGCGGCGCUUUUUCAAAAAACGCUGCUAUAGAUUACGACCUUUAGCGGCGUUUUUUUCACAAACGCCGCUAUAGCUCAAGACCUUUAGCGACGCUUCUCGCAAAAACGCCACUAAAAACAUAACAUUUAAAAAAAGUAUUUUAAUCAAAUAAUAUUUAUUUUUAUGAUAAAUAUUAUAUUAUGUUUUAUUUUUUAAAUUUGAACUUUAAAUAUACUUUUAAGGAUAAAAAGUAUUAUUUAAUAGAAAAUUUUAACUUUAAAACUAAAUAUAAAAAUUAAUGAAUUUAGUUUUAGAAUUUAAAAUAAUAAAUUAAUAACACAAUUAAAAUCCAAAAGUUAGAACUCAAGUUGUCGUAAAUAUUAAAGUAAUAUUUACACAUUGCAAGGUAAUAAAAAAUACAAUGCAUUUUCUUAAUCAAGUAAAUCUUGGUAAUAAAAAAUACAAUGCAAACUACAUCUGCUACAUUCCUGGUUAUCCAAUCUUCAUGUACCCUGCAGAAUUGGGAAAAUAAUUAUAGUGCAUUAAAACAAAAAUUGAUAUUGACAAGUUAAAUGUGAAAGGAAAACAACAUGAAUGCAAAAAUUAAUACUCGAGGAAAUUGACAACUUAGCUAUCUCAACCAUGGAAAUGAAUUAGAUAUUGAAUAAGAGAGAUUACAGCAAUGAAACCAAUGAAUUCCUAGUUUACAUAUGUAUGUGCCACUGGACUUGUUAAGUGAAGAAUGAGAACCAAAUUUUUUUCAAUGACUACAGGACAUAAGACCAAGAGCAUCAAAAGUUUCCAAACAUGAAACAACUAAUCUAUUAAGCAAGUCAGAAAAUCAACGAGCUUAUUGUUUUAGCUAAUAGUGGAACAAGGAGACAAUUGAGAUCAAUUGAGACUAACCUCGGCUGAGAUGCAGAAGUUUCACGACAAUCAGAAAAGAUCACCUUGAUAUACUUAUAAUCUUCGCACCAUAAAUAAUCAAAGUAAUAAUCAUCGAUAUUAUUCACCUUGUUGCCUAACCUCACAUAAUAAUCAAAAUAAAUUUUAAAACCGCUCAAAAAUUUUAAAUAGAUUACAUCAACAUAUAUUGAGCAUAGCAACCUUCUAAAGAGAAAAUCAAACAAAUCAACUAAACGAACAUAGAAAAAUUGAUGCUUCAAACCAAAACACCAGAAUUUACUUUACCUCCAUCCCAUGGGGUGUCAUCAAGUCUGCAAAUCCAUCAAGUAAAGACAUUAGCACAAUUUAAUAGAACUUUAAUCUAAAAAGAAAGUACAUAAAGAUUCUCUAGUCUUAUUUCAUAAUAUACCCAAAUAUAACAGCAUUCCAAAGCAUAAUGUUGUUAUCUUGAGGUGCACCACUAAUUCCUGCACAAAAUAAAUGAUAAAAAAGGCCACAGUUCUUUAGCAUAAACAGCAAACAAAUUAGAUGAAAACCGGACUUCUACAACUAAACCGAGUUGUAGUAACAGUAUCCAAACGCCGCUAAAAGCCUGUUUUGGUGUAGUGGCAAAAUAUUAUAAAGUUAAACAGUGAGAUAAUGAAGUGAAAUGUCUCUAACCUUAUGCAAUUUUGAACUUGUUAUAGUAACAGUAUCCAAUGAUGCACUUGGCUUAUCAUUAGAGUUCUCAUAGCUAUGAACCUCCAUUGAUGUUUCAAGAGGAAGUUGAUGGAAUGGCUUAGGAGACAUCACAAGGAGUUCAACAUCAGAUUCAAGCAUCUUCAAAACUUUACUCAUUGAAGGACGAUCAGAAGGCAGUAAUUGUAUACACCAAAAGGCUAUUAUUACCAUUUUCUUUACCAUUGCUUUUUCAUCGUCAGAAACAUCUCCCAACUCCAAGUCCUUUCCUUGAUCUAAUCGGUCAUAAAUCCAAGAUGGAAACUAUAUUUGACUAGUGUGGUCAGCAAAUGCAUUCACAUUCUUUCUCCUUCCAACCAUUUCCAUCAGUAACAUUCUAGAACUAUAAAUGUCAGCUUUGUAUGAGAUGCCUCCAAGAUUUUUGUAAACCAAUUCAGGAGCAAUAUAUCCUAUCGUUCCUCGUGCCGCAGUGAGAGAGACAAUGCUGUCAUCUACUGAAUACAAUUUAGCAAGACCAAAAUCAGAAACUUUUGGAUUAAAAUUCUCAUCAAGAAGAAUAUUGUGUGGCUUGAUAUCAAAAUGUAGAAUUUGCAUGUCACAUCCUUGAUGUAAGUAGUGAAUUCCUUGAGCCACCCCAAGUACAAUAUCAAACAUUUUUUCCAGCCCAAAGUGUUCUUAUUUUCUUCUGUAAAUAUGAUUUUAUCUAAAGAUCCAUUAGACAUGAAGUCAUAUACCAGAGCUUGCUUUGAUCCCUCCACACAAAAUCCGAUAAGUUUUGCCACGUUAGCAUGAUGAAUUGUCCCAAUGGAAGCAACUUCAUUUAUGAAAUCUUGGCCAUUACCCUUUGACUUGCCCAACAAUUUUAUUGCCACAUGAUGCCCACUACGAAGCUUUCCUUUAAACAAUGAGCCAUAACCUCCUUCACCUAAUUUAUCUUUAAAAUUUUUAGUCAUUUUUUUAACUUCUUUAAAAGAAUACCUUAUCGGCACUAGAUUAUUUUGGCUUUGAAGGAACUCUUCAAUUGUAUCAUCCAUAGAUAAAUGUCUUCUUCUCCAUUCGUACGUGACAAGAGCAAACAAACAAAUUAUCUCAGGAAAUGACCUCAAAAAGAUAACUCCACCUUUAAAGAAAUACAAUGUAACACGUUGAAAUUAAUCACAUAAUAUAUAACUUACAUUCUCAGAAAAAAGGAUAUAGUGUGAUAGUUUUAUGUUAACUAGUAUUUGAGAGAGUGGCAUAUUUCACUAGUCUAUGGACUUAAUCGAGAGUAGUCUGAAUUAUAUGUUAUGUUUUGGUCAUUAGCAGGUAUAUCUCAACAAAUUAAAAUUCAGAAUUUCAAACACAAAAGGAGUAAAUCAUGCGAAGUGGAUACCAAUUAUUCUAACCUCACACAUUCCAAUAGAUUUGACAGGGUCAUGACAUUCACCCAAAUUAACACAUUCGUAACCCCGUCCAAUUAGCAAAUUCUAAAGAAAGCACAUGUUUCUUAACCAUGAAGGAUACUCAACGGUUGUCUCUAUUCAUGCCAAAUAAACUUGAGGAUGGACAAAUUAAAAAAUUAAUUAAACUGAAUUUUAGUAUUUUUAUUUUAAUAAUUUAUUUAAUCAAUAAGAUUAAUUAGAAUUAGAGGUGUUCAUGGGCCGGGCGGCCCGGCCCGGCCCGGUCCGGUCCAACAGCCCGUCCGAAAUAUGGGAGGGUUUGGGUAAAAAUAUAGGCCCGAAAUAUGGGCUUGGGCAAAAAAACGAGGCCCGAUUAAAAAACGGGCCGGGCCUCGGGCACAACUUUUUUUGGCCCGGGCCUGGCCCGGCCCGAAUAUAAUAAAUAUUUUAUUAUUUUUUUAAUUUUAAAAUACUUUAAAAAUACUUUUAUUAAAUUUUUUAAAUUUUAAAAUUUUUUUAAAAUGCUUUUUUAAUUUUUUUAAUUUUAAAAUAUUUUUAAAAUACUUUUUUUAAUUUUUAUUUUAAUUUUUAAAAUAAAUUUUUGGUAUUUAUUUAAAAAAUAGGAUAGGCCCGGGCUACAAAAUUUUUUCCUGGGCCCGACCCGAACCCGACCCAUGAGCACCUCUAAUUAGAACAAUGAACCAAUGAUUUAAAUUUCAUCAUAAUCUAACUCUAAAAAUUGUGGAUUUGAGCGCUCCCAAAUUUUCCUUCGCUUUCUCUCUCUCUCUGUUCUUCAACAUCGUGUUUAGAUCCGUCCCUCCCAGCCUUGAAAGAUUCCGUCUUUGACCCUUCUUCGUUGAAUCUAUCAAACAAAUUAGGGUUCCGAUCUGUUACCUGUUGUGUUCGUUUAAAAUUUUUUUUUCUUUGCCUCAAAAUUUCAUCUUCAGAAAGAGAGAGAGAGAGAGAGAGUUUUCGAUUUUCCUUGAUUUUGCUUGAGAUUUAUGUUCUAAUCUGAAAUUCAUUACCUUAAUGAUUUGCUAUAUCGGUUCGAUCUCCAUUACGAUUGCUUGCUUUUUGUAUCGGAUUUGGGGUUAAAUCCAAGCUUGCGUGUUUUUACAUUAAAUCAGUAACCAUCGGCUCAAACUCUACCCCUCUUUCUAUCUGGAAAAUUUUUACAUUAAAACAAACGGAGUUUGAAAGUUAAAAAUUGACAUUCCAUUGAGUUUAAGUUUGAAAGUUUGGCUCAACUCACCGAUUACAGCCGCUUACAUGAAGUAGAAGCCCUUAUUACAUCAAUACAUCUGUGUGUGUGUUUUUUUCCGCUUCCUCUUCUUUCUUUUGGCCUUUUUUUUCCUCUAAAAGCCGCACCUACAGCUUACUCCGUUCCCUGACAUUUGCCCUUAAAAUUACACUGAAAAUGCCCACAUGUUCCCCAAACUUCAUAUAUUACUCAAGUUUCGAUUCCUUGUCUCCGCAUCGAACCGCCACUUUACACAGUCAAACUCUGUGUUACGAAUUACCGCCUGCGCCACCUAUUGGACGAUAUGCCCAAACCAAGUUGAAAGCCCGAAUGAAGAAGCUAUAGAGCAUCCGAGAGUCUCCAUCGAUAUUUUCAACCAAUGGGGUUGCUGUGAAAACGAUUUGUUGAAGAUCUUUUCACGCCAACCUUCUUUGCGCAACGCUCAAGCUACUCCCCUUUUAUCCAAACUCAACUUGCUGAGUAGCUUGGGACUCACCGGUUCCGACAUUGUCAAGAUGGUCAAUUGUCGUCCUCGUUUCUUUUGUUCUCGUAUCAAUAAUUGCUUCGACGAGCGGAUUGAGUUCCUCGUUAACCUGUUCGGGUCGCGAGAAAUGCUUCGUAAAGCACUUGUUAGGAACCCUUCCCCCUUGACCUAUGAUUUUCACAAUGCCAUGAAACCAGUCAUUGCAUUGUACGAAGAGAUUGGCAUUAGAGGAAAUGAUUUGAUUGCUAUGCUCAUCUCACGUCCCACAUUGAUCCCAAGGACUUCUUUCAAUGAGGAGAAGAUGGAAUACAUAAAGAAAACAGGGGUUUCAAAAGGUUCCAAAAUGUACAAGUACAUAGUUUCACUCAUCGGAAUAUCGCGGAUCGAGACUAUACGUGAAAAGGUGACUAACUUGGAGAAAUUCGGAUGUUCAGAGGAAGAGAUUUGGAGUUUGUUGGGACGUUAUCCUCUUAUUUUGACACUUAUUUUGAAACUCUCGGUUGAUAAGGUUCAAAGGAACAUGACCUUUGUUUUGGGAACCAUGAAGCUGUCUCCAAGAGUGGUGCUUGAGCACCCCUUUUCUUGUUGUUCAGCAACCUCGAAGCCGUAUCGAAACCGCGGAUAUCGUUGGCUAGGAAACUAAAGGAAAUGGAGCUUGAUCCGCAGAUUAAAGGACCGAUCAUGUUGGCGGCAUUGAGGAUGACGGAAAAUCGAUUCUUGAAUGUGUUUAUUAAAUGCCAUCCGCAAGAUGUAGCAAAUGAACUGUUGGAGUUCUAUAAACAUGCCAAAGGUCUCAAGCCAUUGGCCGAAUCAUCGAAAAAAAUACUGCGUAAAGGAUUUCCAUUUUGAACAUUUUCGUUUGUUUGUUUGGUGCUGUCUUCGUUUUCUUUUUGUUCAUUCAUGCCAAGGGAUAUUUCGAUUAAAUUUUCAGAUUUAUAACUUUUAUUCUCAAAGGGAUAAUGUGAGACUCAAAAUUUUGGGAUAUAAAAAGGGAUGCCUCUUCGUGUUUCAUUGGUGUUCUCUCUCUGCUUAUAUUCCUUUUACUCCCCGUGAUGAAGAGUUGAAAUUUUUUCUAUGUAUGAUGGCUGGAGGGAAUAUAGAUUAUGGAACUCCACCAUUAUUAACUUUGUAGGCUCAAUUGGCACCAUUGUUGUGGUGCAACUAGAAAUAUGUGGGUUAAAACGUGUUUAAAGGCGUAUUUUCUUUUUAUUUAAGAGUUUAAAGGAGAUUAUAAUUUGUGAACAGUAAUUUUUUAAGGUAAAUCUUAUUCUAUAUAUUUUGACCGAUGAUUAUUUUUAUCCUUAAUAUAAAUUUGUGUUAAUUUUGGUUUGGAUGAUGUUUAUUAUUAUUUUUAAUUACUUUUCAAUGCGGAUAAAAUCUUGCACCAAUUAAAAUUCAUAUAUUAUUAUUAAAAAAGAUAAAUAAACAAAUUAAAUCUUUUUAAACUUCUUAUUUAUUUUCAAAGUUUAUUAAAUAGUAUUAUUUUAUUUUAUAUAAUUAAUGUAAAGUAAUAUAUGGGGCAAAAUAAUAUAAAGCUAAAAUGAAGUGAAAUGUUUCAAACCUCAUACAAUAUUUGAACUUGUUAUCGUACCAAUAUCCAAUGAUUUACUUGACUCAUCAUUAGAGUUCUCACAUGAUGUUUCAAGAGGAAGUUGAUGGAAUGGCUUAGGAGGCAACUCAGGGAGUUCAACAUCAGAUUCAAGCAUCUUCAAGACUUUACUCAUUGAAGGAUGAUUAGAAGGCAAUAAUUGUAUACACCAAAAGGCAGUUAUUCAUCUUCUUCACCAUUACUUUUUCAUCGUCAGAAACAUCUCCUAGCUCUAUGUCCUCUCCUUGAUUUAAUCGGUCAUAAAUCCAAGAUGGAAAAUAGAUCUGACUAGUGUGGUCAGCAAAUGCAUUCACAUUCUUUCUCCUUCCUACCAUUUCCAUCAGUAACAUUGCAAAACUAUAACCAAUUCAGGAGCAAUAUAUCUUAUCGUUCCUCGUGCCGCAGUGAGAGAGACAAUGCUAUCAUCUACUGAAUACAAUUUAGCAAGACCAAAAUCGGAAACUUUUGGAUUAAAAUUCUCAUCAAGAAGAAUAUUGUGUGGCUUGAUAUCAAAAUGUAGAAUUUGCAUGUCACAUCCUUGAUGCAAGUAGUGAAUUCCUUGAGCCACCCCAAGCACAAUAUCAAACAUUUUUUUCCAGCCCAAAGUGUUCUUAUUUUCUUCUGUAAAUAUGAGUUUAUCUAAAGAUCCAUUAGACAUGAAGUCAUAUACCAGAGCUUGCUUUGAUCCCUCCACACAAAAUCCAAUAAGUUUUGCCACAUUGGCAUGAUGAAUUCUACCAAUAGAAGCAACUUCAUUUAUGAAAUCUUGGCCAUUACCUUUUGACUUACCCAACAAUUUUAUUGUCACAUGAUGCCCGCUACGAAGCUUUCCUUUAAACACUGACCCAUAACCCCCUUCACCUAAUUUAUCUUUAAAAUUUUUAGACAUUUUUUUUAUUUCAUUAAAGGAAUACCUUAUCGGCACUAGAUUAUUUUGACUUUGAAGGAACUCUUCGAUUGUAUCAUCCAUGGAUAAAUGUCUUCUUCUCCAUUUGUACGUAACAAGAGAAAACAAACAAACAAAUUAUCCUAGGAAAUGACCUGAAAAAGAUAAUUCCACCUUUAAAGAAAUACAAUGUAAUGCAUCAGUACUUGUGAAAUUAAUCAAAUAAUGUAUAACUUACAUUCUCAAAAAAGUAAAUAAUGUGAUUGUUUUAUGCUGUUUUAUAAUUAACUACUACUUAAAAGAGGGGCAUAUUAUGUAAUGGCCUAAAUUUUCAGUGGUGUCGGAAUGGUGAUUCGAGAUCACUAAAUCUAAAAAAAAUGAGUAGAAAAUAUUAUUAAUUUAGUGAGAAUAAGUAAAUGUGAAGUUGGGAAAAUUUUUGAAAUAGUGAAUAGUGUACUAAGAAUAAAUAUUAAAAUAAUUAAAAUAAAAAAUGAGGUAUCGAGACCUUGAAGAUUUUAAACCGAGCCAUAAAUAUUUUUAGAAAUAUUUUUAGAGUGUCAUUGAGUUGGUAUUAAAGUUUCGUUAGAAAAUUUUAACGUUUGGAUAGUCAAUUAACUAAAAAGGACUAAAUUGAAAAUAGUGUAAAAUUUGUUAAAUUGUGAUUAAAUAGCCUAAGUGAUUAAAAAUGAGGGAUUUAAAAGACAAUUAGGCCCAAACUAUAUGGGCUGGACGGUUGGGCAAGAAAAAUCUGGAAAAGUGAUGUAAUAAGGGUAAAAUUGGAAAUUUUGUAAAAGUUAACAAAUAAAAAUCUCAAUUAAAAGAGUUUCUAGGCAAUUCUUCAUAAUUAUCAGCCAAAAAAUGCCAUUUAAGUGUCCUUCCAAGCCGGUUUUUCAUAUAUUUGAAUCAUGUAAGUUUAAUUCUUGAUUAUUUCUUCUAAUUUUUGUGGUUUUGAUACUUUUACAAUUAGGUCCAACUAAUUGUUUCAUUAGUUAUUGAUUUUAUGGAUGAUUUUGAAAGUUACCAUUGAUGAGUACUGAAUUUUUAUGAUGAAUAAACAUGGAAUUAAAGCUUUGAUUUUGUUAUAUGAUGAUUCUAUUAAAGUAAUUUUGAUAGAAAUUGAUUUUAGGGACCUAAUUGUAAAAAGUUGGGAAUUAGGGUUUGGGGUUGCGGUUUUGAAUAUGGAAGGCUAUGUAGUAGUCUAAAAUAGUUGGAAAAUGUGUUAAUUGAGAAAAAUUAGAUCAAUUGAGGGGUUAAUUGAGUAGAGACCAAAUUGUAAAAAUUGUAAAGCUUGGGGUAAAAGUGUAAUUUUGAGAAUUUAAGGGCAGAAACUGUGAAAUGAAUUAGAAUAGAAUUAAAUGCUGAUGAAUGAAUAAAUUUUAAUUUUAGAUCGAGAACCUGAAACAAGUCGAGGAAAAGAAAAAGUAGCUAAUUAGUCCCUGAACUUUUACAAAUUAAGCAAAUCAACCCAGGUAAGUUCAUAUGGCUGAAAUUUAAUGAUUAAAUGUUAAUUUCAUGAAUUAUGCAAUGUAUGAUGAAAUGUAUUUAUUGUUGAAAUGAGAAUAAAAUAAAAAUGUAAAAAUCGAAUAAAUGAUCAAAUUAAGUGGAACGCCGGAUUUAAGUACUUCUGAUCAAGAGAUAAAGUGAUAAGUGGUAGCUUUAGCUACACUUAUCUGAUCAAGUGAAAAAGUGAUAAGUGCUACACUUAUCUGAUCAAGAGACAAAGUGAUAAGUGGUAGCUUUAGCUACAAUUAUCUGAUCAAGUGAAAAAGUGAUAAGUGCUACACUUAUCUGAUCAAGUGAAAAAGUGAUAAGUGCUAUACUUAUCUGAUAAAGUGAGAAAGUGAUAAGUGCUACACUUAUCUGAUCAAGCGACAAAGUGAUAAGUGAUAGCUUGCUACACUUAUCUGAUCAGGGACGUAAGACCAUAGUUAUACUAUGGCAAAGUGAAAGUGAAGUACUCAAUUUUCUGUAACUGUUCUUUAAUUUUGAUCAAGGAUGGUAAGUGACAAACGGGCCCAAAGGAAUUAUGGUAAAAGAAUAAGUAGUAGUGAGUUCAUACCAAGGAAUUCACCAAAGAUUGUGGUUGACAGGUAAACUUAGUAAUUGUGUAUAUUGUAAGUGUACAAAUGUUUGGUAAGAUUUAUGUUUUAUGCCUAUGAACUUACUAAGCUUUUCUAUAAGCUUACAUGUGUGUGUUUAUUGUCUUUGUAGAUUAACAUAUUUAUACAUUCGGAGGAUCGGAUCUACAUCGAGAAUCACACUAUCCAGAUAUACUCCGGUAGAUUAUGUUAAGCAGCUUUUUGGAUUUAUAUGGCAUGUAUAGGGAAUUGAAGUAAAAAAAGUAAUAGAAUGAAUGACUAAGUAUGCAAAGUAAAUUUGAAUGUGAUGAUUGUGUUAGACAUUGAAAAAUACAUGUUUUUAGUUUGAAAUGGUUGAUUGGUUGAACUUCAUUAGUAUUCAAGCUAAGUAGUUGAAAUACUGAAAUUGGUUGUGAUUUGAAAUUUGCAGGGAAGGUUAGGUAAUUAUAAAGGGGUUAUAUUGAAAUUUUUUUUAAAAUUUCAAUGGAAUUGUUUUUGGACAGCAGCAUUGAUGUAACUUUGAAAAAUCACUAAAAAUAGUGGAAAUAGAAUUAGAAGUUGAGUGAGAUAUGAAAUUAAAGCUGAAUGAGUCUACUUUCACAUAAAAGAAGUAAAGUAAGCAAAAGAAUUAUAUACUUUUAGAUAUUUGAAUUUUAGUGAAACAGGGAAAAAAUGUUUUUGAAGUCCCUUAUUCUGACUUUAAAAAUUCAUUAAAAAUUGUACAGAAGUAAUUAUGAGUUAUAAUUUAUAUUUAUAGACUCCUUAAUGAGUCUAUUUUCAGUAGAAAUAAGUGGAAGCACCAUAUGAAGUCUGUAAUAAGAGAUAAUUGAAUUUUAGUGAUGAGUGGUCAAGAUAGUUGAUCAGUGAAACAGGGGAGACUUCAACUAAUAAAAUUUACUAAUUGGAUAAACCAAAAAUUCUGAAAAAUUUAUGGUGAAUAGAUAUAUGAGUCUAGUUUGAAGAAAAAUUUACGGAUCUAAAUUUCAAGUUUCGUAGCUUGAGUUAUAAUUAUUUUAGUGACUGCUGCGCAGGUGGAUAGCUUUAUUAUGAAUGGUGAAAUUAAUUUUGAAAGUAAAUUUUUAUGCCCGAACUUUUAAGUUAAGUCAAGUAACGCCUCAUGCUCGACUCCGGCAACGGUCUCGGGUAAGGGGUGUUACAUAUUAAUUUCACUACUUUAUGGAAUUAAUUUAGAAAUAACAGUGAUGCCUUGUGUUUACCCUUCUUUACCAAAUGAAAAACUUUGAAAGGUCAUUGAGAACCCAAGAAAAAUAAUUCCGAAUUAUAUGUUAUAGUUUUAUAUUCUAGCAGGUGCACCUCAACAAAUUCAAACUUAGAACUGCACACACAAAGGAGUAAAUCAUUUAAAUUGGAUACCAAUUAUUCUAACCUCACCAUGGUCCAUCAAGGAUACUCAACUUUUAUAUUCAUGUCAAAUAUACUUGAAGAAGGACAAAGUACAUAUCUAAUAACCUUCAAUCUUUUUAAAUGAAACGAAGUCUAUAAUCACCAAAAAAUGCAAAACAACCAAAAAAAAAAUUUUGGGCCGAUUGAAGAGCUAACUUUGUUGAAUGUUUUAGCAAUAUGAAUAUUCACCAAACUUACAACCUUUGGAAGUUCUAAACAAGACCAUUAUGAACACAAACUUAACCAAAACUUCAACAUCAUUAUUUACUUGACAAAAAAAAUUUUCUUUCGUAUAACAGAAGAAGAUUGUUUUCAGCAUUCAAACUCCUUAAAGAGUGCUAGAUUUCUUAGUUUUGCAGUGAAAUUAAAUAUGAACUUGUAUAGUAUGAUAGGCUCCUUAUUCUUCCCCCCCCCCCUCCCCCAAAGAAUAUUGCUAAUAUCUUUUCUUAACUAGUGCUAGAAUUUGUAUCGGAAAAAAUGCAAAUCCAAAAUUAACAAUACCUGUUAUUGCCAAACAGAGAAUAUAAGUUCCUGUAAAAAAACCACGAAUAAAAACGAAAUAUCAUUAUUUCAAGAGAGCAGCGAAAUAGUAAAAUCAAAGCACUUCUAAAUUCUAAUGAAUUUUGGGAAGCAUACUUCUUGGUAUAUAGAAUGAUUGACAAACGUGCUUUUGGCUGAAAAGAACAGAAAUUUGAUUUCUCAAUUUUUUCCACAAACGUGCUUCAGGGUCGAAGGAAGCAUAUGGAAGAUCUCACUGUCUGCAUGCUCGAUCUCCACAUUCCCUUCCCGAGUAUCUCUCUUUCUUCAUAUCUUUUUUUUUUGUGCGGCUUCGUGGUUUUAUUAGAAUGCGUUCAUAGGGGAAUUAGUCUUACGAUUAAUAUUUUCUCUUGUAAAAAGGAUAAAUUGAUGUUGCAAUUUAAUGACAGUUUUUAUGCUAUGGAUUGAGAAUGAGAUUCUAGGGUUUUUCAUUGAAUGAAUUUGCUUUUGGUUGUUUUAUUAACAAACUUUAUCGCUUCGUUUAAGAAAAAAAAUCCUUCUUUUAAGAUUGAAUUUAUGAAGUUUUGUCGGUUAAUUAAAUGCUUAGCUCUUUUCUAAUGACUGUAACCAAUGUAGCAAUGAUAUUAACGUAACCAAAGAAGGUUGAGUUAUAAAAGUGGAGAGAUAUUAUGCUAAACCGAACUACUAACUUCAAUAGUUUACUUCUUAGUGUUCUUAUAGAGGCAAUUUUGUUUGAAAAGGAUCUUUCUAAACAAUGUAAGAUUUGGUAUUUUUACUUAUUUUGUGAUGGUUGAAGAAGUUUGUGCGUAUCACUGAUUUAGUAACUUUGUCUAACGUCUCAUCCUAUGUUUUAUUUUUAAUACAUAAAUUUUUGAUACAUUGGAGCAGGAAAAAUUGGGUUAAGGAAGUUUCAGUCGGAGUUGUUGCAGUUUUUGAUGGUCAUAAUGGUGCUGAAGCUAGUGAGAUGGCUUCAAAACUUUUACUGGAGUAUUUUGCUCUAUAUACAUAUUUCCUUUUGGAUGCAACUUUUUCCUUUGUAUUGAAGAAGCAGUCAAGUAGGUUGCCAAAUGUAGGAGAAGGGGAUAUUGUUUUCCAAGUGCUUAAUUGGGACAAAGAGAUUGGAAAGCGUGGCUUGAACUUUGAAAGGUGAUAUCAUGUGUAACUCAGACCAUAUUUAUGUUUGAGUUCCUUGUUUUAGAAAAUGGAUAUAGCUGUUGCUUGCUGUUGACGAUUCUUAACCCAAAGUAUUAAUGCUUGCUCAGAUUAUUAACCCAAUGUUUAUUUCAUCAUCUUAAAGUUGCUUCCUGUUUGCUUCUACCUGCUAUUCAGCUGGUUGUGGGAAUUAGCCAUCCCUCGUGGAUUUCUCUGACAUUUUUCAUUGGAAGCUGUAUUAGGCUAGUGGAUUGGUCUUUGACUAGCAAUUUUCUAGGACUAUUCAGGUGAUUGCUUCUUGACUCUUUGUACAUUGUUCUAUUUCAUUUUCUUUGUCAAUGAGUUUGGUUUUAUCAUUGGUUAAUGUUUUUAGUAACUUAUGUUCUGUUUCUUUUUUGUCAAGGUUGUGGAAGGCUCUCCAGUUUUAUGCAGGCUUCAGCAUUUUCAUGCUUUAUGUGUAUCAACUCCGUAUAGAGUUCUCAAGUAUGUUACAGUGGAUAGCUGAUUUUGUUGGUCUAUUCAAAAUAUGUUCAACAUCUGAGUGGACUGAAAUUUGCUCUUCUGUUUCUCUUGUACUUUAUUACAUCAUGGUAUGUACUAGUUUUAUUACUAUAGGUCUGAUUCUGUUUAAAAAAUUUAGCUGAACCUUUUAAUGAAAUGCAAUACACUCUUCCCUCUUCCUAGAAUCUUAUAUUAUGAAAUUGACUUCAUUUGAGUCUUUCCUGUGUCUGACAUUUGUCUAUCUAAUAGUCUUUUCCCCAUAUUACUAAUUUAAGAUGGUUUGAAGUGUUUUCUUUCUAUAAGAAAAAUUUCCUGGACAGAUAUGAAGUAUUUAGUUGCAAACUAGACUUUGGAGAUUGAUGACAAUUUUGCCAUUCUGGAUGCAAUUUUUAUUCAAUUUGCUCAAUGAAAUUGCAGUUGAAAAUUUGAGAGCUUCCUAGUUAGAAACCACAUAUUUAUAUAAUAUAUGUUUUUAAUAGUUUUGAACAAGUUAAAUUAAUUAUAAAGAAAUAAUAUAAUUGAGAACAAGAUUAGAGUAGCUCGUUUGUACAUCUCAAUCUUAAUAUUAAGUGAUUGAUGACUCUAAGCUACUUAAAAACAAGAAGACAAUCAAUCUUCACUUUAAUUUGUAUGACGCAAAGUUUUUAAAACCAUUUCAAAGAACCGUUAAGAAAUAAUAGAUACAAGAUCUAAUCAAAACAUCAAGUAACGACCCAACCAAAACCCACCAAAGAGAUAUCCAAAGUCUCAAAUUUGGAAUUAAAGGUCAACGUAAACACAAAAUUCUCCAAAAGUAUUAUGAGUUCUAACUUUUUAAUGGGUAUAAUUUCUAAGGUAUUUACAUGCAAAAUUUGUAGCCCAAAUAAUAAUAAAAUAAUAUAAACUAAUCAAAGUUUAACUAAAAUAAAUAAAUAGAAUUUAGCUGAAAGAUUACCUCUCAAAUUUAAUCGAAAUAUGAGGCAUGCUCAAUAAUAAAGGUAUCACUUCAAUGGUAUAAAGCUACAUAAAAUCUUAGUUAUGUCUUUGAAAUAUUUUGAUAAAGGCAUGUGCAAAAACUUUUUGAUUCUAAACAAAUUCAUUCCCUCAAUAUUAUUUAUUUAAAAUCAAAACCACAUUUAUUUUUAAACAACAUCUAACAAUGUAUUUGGCUCAUCCAACAAUUUAUUUUUAAACGACAUCUAUUUAAAAAGAACCAAAUGAGAAUCAUUAUACAACUUCAUAAAGUUGAUGACACAUCCAACAUUUAAAGCACAAAGAAAUUAGAUAGGCCAACAACAAAACAAUAAUGCCAACAUUCUCAACUACGGCAACAAAUUUGUUCUAAAAACAAAAGUAAGCGCAUCGCACCUAGAGCGUAGAAAUAUUUGAAUUCAAUCAUUGUAACAACGAAAAAGGAAACAAGACAUCCAACAUCCUCAUCACAAUAGAUUCUCCUCUGACCCGCCAACAGCGUUUGCAAUGCAAUAAAACAAAAAGAGGUUAUUGUGAUAGCAAAUCUUAUAAAUAUUCCAAAAUUAACUUUUAGAUGCAUCAAGUCUUAAUCUAAGGGAAAGGGUUUAUCCAAACAUGAAAAAUCUAACCAACUCAAUUCAAUUCAACCCAACCUCAACCUAUCUAUAUAGUUUACUUUUAAUUUAUAUCUAAUUUCAAUUAUGGUUUAAAUUUAAAUAUUUUUUAACAAAAAUUUUAAAUACUUAAUAUUGAACAAAUAGUCAUAUUAAUGAAAAUAUGUAAUUAUGAACAAUAACUUAACACAUAGGUAAAAGUAUUUUUUUUUACUUAAUAAUAUUAUUAGCAAUAGUACGUUAUUAAUUGUAUAUAUGAAAAUAAUGAAGCUUAAAAAUUAAAAUUUAAAGACAAUGUCAUUGUCAAAUUUACUCAAAAUUUAUUUUUAACUAUAGUUAUCUAUGUACAUAUGUGACACACAUAAUAAGAUGCUAAUAUAUAUAAGGCAAAAUAUUAUAAAGUUAAACGGUUAGAUAAUGAAGUGAAAUGUUUCUAACCUUAUGCAAUAUUUGAACUUGUUAAUAUCCAAUGAUGUACUUGGCUCAUCAUUAGAGUUCUCACAGCUAUGAACCUCCAUUGAUGUUUCAAGCGGAAGUUGAUGGAAUGGCUUAGGAGGCAUCUCAAGGAGUUCAACAUCAGAUUCAAGCAUCUUCAAAACUUUACUCAUUGAAGGACGAUCAAAAGGCAGUAAUUGUAUACACCAAAAGGCUGUUAUUACCAUUUUCUUUACCAUUGCUUUUUCAUUGUCAGAAACAUCUCCCAACUCCAAGUCCUCUCCUUGAUCUAAUCGGUCAUAAAUCCAAGAUGGAAAAUAUAUUUGACUAGUGUGGUCUGCAAAUGCAUUCACAUUCUUUCUCCUUCCAACCAUUUCCAUCAGUAACAUUCCAAAACUAUAAAUGUCGGCUUUGUAUGAGAUGCCUCCAAGAUUUUUGUAAACCAAUUCAGGAGCAAUAUAUCCUAUCGUUCCUCGUGCUGCAGUGAGAGAGACAAUGCUAUCAUCUACUGAAUACAAUUUAGCAAGACCAAAAUCGGAAACUUUUGGAUUAAAAUUCUCAUCAAGAAGAAUAUUGUGUGGCUUGAUAUCAAAAUGUAAAAUUUGCAUGUCACAUCCUUGAUGUAAGUAGUGAAUUCCUUGAGCCACCCCAAGUACAAUAUCAAACAUUUUUUUCCAGCCCAAAGUGUUCUUAUUUUCUUCUGUAAAUAUGAUUUUAUCUAAAGAUCCAUUAGACAUGAAGUCAUAUACCAGAGCUUGCUUUGAUCCCUCCACACAAAAUCUAAUAAGUUUUGCCACAUUAGCAUGAUGAAUUCUCCCAAUAGAAGCAACUUCAUUUAUGAAAUCUUGGCCAUUACCCUUUGACUUGCCCAACAAUUUUAUUGCCACAUGAUGGCCACUACGAAGCUUUCCUUUAAACACUGAGCCAUAACCCCCUUCACCUAAUUUAUCUUUAAAAUUUUUAGUCAUUUUUUUAGUUUCUUUAAAAGAAUACCUUAUUGGCACCAAAUUAUUUAGGCUUUGAAGGAACUCUUCGAUCGUAUCAUCCAUGGAUAAAUGUCUUCUUCUCCAUUUGUAUGUGACAAGAGCAAGCAAACAAAUGAUCCCAGCAAACAACCUCAAAAAGAUAACUCCACCUUUAAAGAAAUACAAUGUAACACGUUGAAAUUAAACAAAUAAUAAAUAACUUACAUUCUAAGGAAAAAGUAAAUACUGUGAUAGUUUUAUGUUAACUAGUAUUUGAGACUAGUCUAUGGACUAAGCGAGAGUAGUCUGAAUUAUAUGUAAUGUUUUUGUCAUUAGCAGGCAUAUCUCAACAAAUUAAAAUUCAGAAUUUCAAACACAAAAGGAGUAAAUCAUGCAAAGUGGAUACCAAUUAUUCUAACCUCACACAUUCCAAUAGAUUUGACAGGGUCAUGACAUUCACCCAAAUUAACACAUUCGUAACCCCCUCCAAUUAGCAAAUUCUAAAGAAAGAACAAGAUUCUUAACCAUGAAGGAUACUCAACUGUUGUCUCUAUUCAUGCCAAAUAAACUUGAAGAAGGACAAAUUAAAAAUAUAAUAACCUUCAAAUUUCAUAAAUGAAACAAAAUCUAGAACCACCAAAAGAUGCAAGAGAACCCCCAAAAAACAGAUUUGAUAAAUUCAAGAGCUAAUUUUCUUUACUUGACAAAAAAAUAUUCUUUCGUAUAAUAGAAGAAGAUUGUUUUCAGCAUUCAAACUCCUUGAAGGAUGCUAUAGAUUUCUUAGUUUUGCAGUGAAAUUAAAUAUAAACUUGUAUACUAUGAUAGGCUCAUUAUUCCUUAUUUCCCCCAAGAAUAUUGCUAAUAUUUUUUCUUAACUAGUGCUAGAAUUUGUAUCUGAAAAAAAUGCAAAUCUGCAAAUCCAAAAUUAACAAUACCCGUUAUUGCCAAACAGAGAAUAUAAGUUCCUGUAAAAAAACCACGAGUAAAAACGAAACAUCAUUAUUUCAAGAGAGCAGUGAAAUAACAAAAUCAAAGCACUUCUAUUGAAUUUUGGGAAGCCUACUUCUUGGUGGGUCCAAUGAAUUGUAGUAGACAUGGGGGCCGUGGAAAAGGAAAUGUACAAAGCUGUCCAUAUAGGUACUGGAGGCAAAUUUCAACCUUGACAAUCUGAAUUAUAUAUUCAACAAAUCAAAGUAAAAUUAAUAAAGGGGUGUAAGGAAAAUUCCAAAUUUGUGUAAAAAGACAAAUGGAAGGUAAUUUAAAACAUUAUAUUAUGUUUUGUGGUAUAUACUCAAAAAAAAAAAUACAGCAAUUCUUUACAUAUGUUUGCUUGUAAAAAGUAUGCAACAUGUAUUACAGUAGAAGAGUUUUUAGGUAACUAAAAUGAUUUAAUAUAAUGAAAGGUGAGACAAAUUUUAUUCAAAUUAAUUAAUCCAAAAAGUAUAUAUUAUAGCAUUAAAAGAGUUUUUGCGAAAAAAAUAAACUCAUCCACAAUGGUGGAAUAUUUACGUACUACCAACUAAAUUGAAAAUUCAUCAAAAAUAAAAACAAAAUAAAAAGAUAGACAUAAUCAAAUAUAAUUGUCCAAAAAGAAGACAAAACAGCAGAGAAAGCAGAGGCAGAUACUAAAUUAGAAAUGCUUUUAGUUCAUUUGAUUGUUAGAUGUUGAUCAAUUUUAGAUGCAAAAUCAUCAUACUUAAUUACCAUCAUACAAUUUAAUUGCGAAUAAAGUAACAUAAAAUAAAACAAAACAUAAAGUAGAUGUUGUAACUAAAAAUUCCAGUAUGAUGCACACUCAAAAUGCAAACUUUAAUUAUUAAAGAAACUUACAUUUCUUUCAACCAAACUUUGUUUUUAUUGUAGUAGCAACUCUGGUAAUAGCAUCUAUCCCAUUCGACCCAAAAACCUUCUAAUAGUUUUUUUAGAUAUCCGGCGUAGACAUACCUAUUAUAUUAUCAAUCAUAAUUGGAACCUCCGCUUCGAUAGUGCAAGCUUGAUUGAUAUAAGAUGGGUGGGUGUUUCCAUUUAAAAAAUAGAAAUGGGAAGUUGGAAGGGAUCGAAGAGGAGGUAUUGAAUUUGAUGGUACAACGAGAAACCUCAAUAUAAAGUGAUAAUUUUAUAGGUUUCGUGCAAUUCAUAACAUAAAUAAUGUUGCCCUCUAACCUUCCAUCAUAAGAAUUAUAAAAAUAAUAAUACUUAGAAGAAGAAGAAGAAGAAAGGGAAAAAAAUGAGUGUUCAUAAUGAUAAUAAUAAUUAUCUACAGAACUAAGAGGAAGGGAGUUACAAUCAUCCGUGUCCAAGCUCGCAUCAAUUAUUCGUAUUUUAUAAUUUUCCUAAAAGAUUUGUUAGACAGAGAAUUUCCCUUCUUUAUCGACCAAAAUGGUGAGAUUAUUGUUCUCACACUCAAAUUCAAAGCCAUAAUGAUCACAGUGGGGAGGUUGGUUUUUUAAUCGGAAUGGAAAACUGAUAUUCAAAUUCCCACAGAAAGUAGAGCCGCAGUCUUGGUUAAUAGAUGUAAAAAAUCAAUUGAAUUUGAAGGUAAUCUAAAACACUGUAUUUUGUUUUGUGGUAUAUCUUAUUCUAAAUAUUCCUUUUUUCAGCCAAUAAAUUUUAUUAAAACCUCAAGAGGAAACUGACCAAAAGGUCAUUCAUACACCUAAAUCAUCAAUAGCUCGACAACAAGUAUGAAAAGUUAGAACUCCCAAGGAACAAGUCAGCAUAGAAGAAAACUCAACCCAAAACCCAACAUUGAAGAAGAAACAAAUCGCAUCAUCUAUUCCAUAUUUUUAACCAACCUUAUUCUAAAAAACAUUAUACCAAUUAUUUACCUAUUUUUUUUGUUUCUAAAAAGUAUGCAGCAUCUUUUACAGUAUAAUAAUUUUUACAUAACCAAAAUUAUUUUAUAUGAUGAAAGGUGAGACAAAUUUUAUUCAAAUUAACUAAUCCAAAAAUAUAUAUUAUAUAGCAUUAAAGGAUGUAAUAGUGAAACAUACUCAAACAUAAUGUUAUGUUUUUUUAUAAACAUGCUGUUGUUUAUAUUAGGAGCCAUUUCAAGGAGUUCAACAUCAGAUUCAAGCAUCUUCAAAACUUUACUCAUUGAAGGACGAUCAGAAGGCAGUAAUUGUAUACACCAAAAGGCUGUUAUUACCAUUUUCUUUACCAUUGCUUUUUCAUCGUCAGAAACAUCUCCCAACUCCAAGUCCUCUCCUUGAUCUAAUCGGUCAUGUAAAGCCCAAAAUCUGCCCGGGCCCAUACCAGCAAAAUAGACCCAAAUAAUAAAAUACAACAAACCCAAAAUUCAAUCCCAACUACCCAAACCUUAAGCCCAAACCUAAUAGCCCAUAACAAACUUUCAGCAACAGCAAACCCUAGCCCCAACUGCCCAUGAGCGCCGCAUGUGUGCCGCGCCAUCUCCCCGUCUGCCACGCCCACUCGCACGCCUCUGCCACCAUUGUCGGCCAUGGCCACCUGCAAGAAGCCAAGUAGAAAUAAACAAAUAGAAAAUAAACAAUGGUAAUCGGUUAUAAAAACCGAAAAUCUCACCAUUGCUGGUGGGGGGGAUUUUUGUAUAAAAAAAACAGCGUUUUGAAACAAAGAAAUAAGAAGAAUAUAGAUCGAAUUCUGAGAAAGUUUUUUUUAGGUGCGAAUCUUUCGUUUUUUUUUUCGUUAUUUGGUUUUUAUUUUAUUUUAUAUAUGCAUUUGAUAAAUCAAAAAUAAAAAAGGGAAAAGACGGAGAGUUCUUACCGUGGCGCCGUCGAAGCUCUUCUUCUCUCCGUCCAAAUCGGAGUUGAGGAAGAGUGGCUCUUAGUUUCUCAAGCGGUGGAGAGAAAAAGAAAGGGGGCUAGGGUUUCACAUGUUUGCUUUAUUUUCUUAAAGAAUGGCAGAUUAUAGUGAUUUGAAGGUUUUAUUUUUUUAAAAUAUCAAACGGCGUCUUGUAAAGGAAAGAGGGUUGUGCAUUAUUACCCUAAUGGGUAUUUUACACAGUUAGUCCCUCCAAUUCUGUGACAGAUGCGACGCACUCUUUUAUUUCUUUUAAUUUCGGCCACGUAAUUUCUCGCCUGUUCCAAUCUGGUACCGUGCAAAUCAAUGCGCAUACGGGAUGGGGAAUAUUGCGCAACCGGUCCCCAUGCCCUCAGUGCCUUUUAUUUCAGCUCCUUUACCACCUAUUUCAUAUAUUCGCAGUUUAGGACCUGAUUUUUUAUUCUGUUUCAACCAUGUCCUCGAUAUAUUUAGUUUGUUUUUAAUUUUUUUUAAAAAAAUAGGCUAUUUUAUUAUUAUUUGUUUUAAGUCCUUACAUUUAUUAUUUAAAUUUGUUUUACAUUAAACUCAUCUAUAUUUUUCAUAUAUUUUUGAACUGUUUCUUUUAUCAUUUAUGAUUUUCUUUAUAUAUUAUCUUAUUCUAGAUUGUUUUAGAUUAACUAGUAUUUGUCUCGAGUCUUAUAUUUUAUUUAUUUCAAAUACAUGUGUACAUUUUUAUUUUUAUAAAUACAUACACGUUUAUAUCUUUACAUUCACAUAUAAUAUAUACUUCUUAAAUUUUUACAUAUAUGCAUACAUUUUGUGAAAUAUAUCUGUAUGUAAAUAUUUUAUAUAAACAUGUACUCACUUUCAUAUUUUUACAAUUUGUAUACAUCUCCAUAUAUACCUAUAUACAUUUUAUUUUCAUGAAUAUAAAUAUACGUACCUUUUAUCUAUAUUUAUAUGCAUAUAUUCUUUAUAUUUUAUGAUCUUAAACUAUGCAUACGUCUAUAUAUUUUUGUAAUACACAUACAUACCUAUAUCUUAUAAUUUAUAUAUUUAUUAUAUUUUGUAAUUUUAAAAUAUGUAUAAUAAAAACAUACAUGUUUUAUUUUAUUUUAUUUUUCUUUUACUCGAUGUUUAUUUAUUAAUUUGGCUACAUGUUUAUUAUUAUUUUAAAAGGACAUUUUAAUCCUAUUUGCUUAUUCAUUUGUUAUGAUGCGAUUGAUCCAACUCUUAUUUAUUUAUUUCAUUGUUAAUGUUUGUUUGUAUUGUUUAUCCUUAACUUGCUGCAUUCAUUAUUGUUUCGUCACACAUGUUAACACCAUGCAUCAAAACCUUUUUUCCUAAGUAAGGCAAUAUUUCGCGUUUGGAAAAUUCGAGAAAACGUGCCCUAACGCGCUGGGUUUCGAUUUCUCGUUCGACCAAAUAGCCAAAUAUCCUUUUUAAACUUUCAAUCAAUAUUAUUAGAGUUUUCUUUAAGGAUCGUAUUUUUAAAAUUCUUCAAAGUUUUCAAUCUUCGACACUAAGACACUAAUUAAUCAACUAGGUACCAAUUUUGGGCGCAUCGAGGGUGCUAAUCCUUCCUCGUGCGUAACCGAUUUCCGAACUCGUCUUUCUGAAUUUCGUAGACCAAAAAGUGUUAUUUUAAUAAAUCGAAUCGUUUAUUAAAAAUAGCCAUUUUUCUAAGGUGACCCGAUCACACCUUAUCAAAAAGGAUUGGUGGUGACUCCUGUUUCAUUUUUACUUUUCAAAACCCAAGUCGACCCCGUUUUAUCCAAAAAAAAAUGGUGUCAAUAGCUUGGCGACUCCACUGGGGACUAAUAAGAGAGUCAAGCCACGUGUUGAUUAUUUCUUGUCCUUUUGUUGAAAGUGGAAAAUUCGAUUUAAAUUUACGAUCCUCUCAUUGCAUCUCUUUUGUUUUGAGUUAUAUUUUUUAUCAUGUUCUGUAUUUUAUUUUAUACCUCUGCACAUUGCAUUGCAUGACCGCUGGUCAUACCCUUUUAAGUGGGAGUGAGAAACUACGCCUUCGUGAGGUUUUCACCUCCGCAUGGGAUAGUGAAUCACUUCCGGGAUACAUCCGUACCUAUGUCUUCGUGAGAUUUUCAUCUCCGCAUGGCCAUAGGGAAAUGUAUUCCCCUGAACUGAACUCGGUCCAUAUGAGCCUAUAAUGGGUGAGGAUCGAGGAAUCUGCUGGUUCAGGUACCCUUACUUUAGAACCAAACCACACAUAGCGAGCCAUAAGAACCCACCGAGAUAGAGCUAUUCCAAACCCUAGUGCUUACCGAAUAGAUGCUUUAUUUAUUAUUGUUUACUUUAAAUCCUAGCUCUGAUUUGCUUUGUUUGUGAUUGCAUGGCAUUUUCAUUUCAAAAGAGGUGUCGAUUCACGUUCAGUAUAGAUAGAAAGCUGAUCAUGGAAAAGAGGUUUCUUGAUAAAGUAGAAGACAAUGCAGCUGUAUGAGUGUGGGCUGAGACGAUGUGGAGAGAGAAAGGCGAUAGUCUUGCAGAAGGGUACGUAUCAGAGUUAUGAGACUUCACCCGUAUCAGCGUAAUCCAAAAUGAUCUUCGAGAAAUGAAGGAAAUAUGGGAUCAAUGGGACGAUGGGACCAAGCAGAUGUUUUACUGUGACUACAGGGACUUGCCUUACUUACUUGGUGUCAAAGUGGACAAGCAUUUAUUCCGAGCCCUAGCCCAGUUUUGGAAUCCUGCUUACAGUUGUUUCACUUUUGGAAAAGUGGAUUUGGUGCCCACCGUGGAAGAAUAUACGACCUUGCUUCGGUGUCCAGAGAUUCAAAUUGACAAGGCCUAUUCUAGAGCUGCUAGUGUCCCGACAUUAUUAAAAAAAUUGAUGAGCAUUACAGGGAUGAGCGAACAGUGGGUCGCUGCCCGAAUCCAACAGAAAGGAGACAGUAAAUGCGUUCCUUGGAAAAGCUUGCGAGAUUUAGUAUUAGCACACGCUGAAUAUAUAUUAAAUUAUUUUAUAUGAUGAAAGGUGAGACAAAUUUUAUUCAAAUUAACUAAUCCAAAAAUAUAUAUUAUAUAGCAUUAAAGGAUGUAAUAGUGAAACAUACUCAAACAUAAUAUUAUGUUUUUUUAUAAACAUGCUGUUGUUUAUAUUAAGCACUUUUAAAACAUUUUUUUAUUUUAUUUAUCCAUUAUUUCUUUUGAAAAGAAAGUUUAAUUUUAAUAAUUAUUUUUUAAUUAUUAUUAAUAUAAUUAAAAUUACAAUUAACCCAUGAGACAAUAGAAACUAAAAAAUAAAAAUGUUAGAUUAAGGGUAUUUACCUUUUCCACUGUCUUUUUUUAUAAUUAACUUUAAUGAAAAAUACUCAUCUAAGCGAUAAAAUUGGAGGAAAACUCUUACAUUGAUUGAAAAGGUUUCUCUGUUUCCUCGCGGCAAAAGUCUAAAUUAAGGCCUUCCAAUUCUAAAUCAAAGCCGAGUAAUAGCUUCUCGUAGAUGUCCGAAGUAGACAUGCCGCUGAUAUUGUCAACCAUAAUCGGAACCAGGGCAUCCAUUGUGCAAGAUUCACCGAAAUUUCCAGACGUGGUUUUGCUAUCUAAAAAAUAAAAGUAGGAAGAUAUAGUGGGACAACGGGAGGCAUUAAUAUACGAAGAAGAGUUCAUCGGUUCCGAGCAGUUCACAAGAAACAUGACGCUAGACGGAAUACCCAACAUAUAGGGUACUUUACAGGAGUCAUCAACGCGAAAGGAAUUGCGAGGAAGGGAGCAAUUAUCAUCCUUGCUGAGAUUUGCAUCCAUAGCUUGCAUCGUUUCACAUGAGAUAUUUUGGGAUCCGAGAUUUGGACUGAUAUAGUCGACCGUGCAAAUAUCAUAAGAGAUGUUUUGGACAUAGAAUCUCCCAUACUUCAUGACUAAAUUGGUGUGGUUGUUAUUGUCACACUCCAGUUCGAACCUAUGGUCACCACAGUUGGAAGGUUGGGUUGUUAAUCGAAAAGGGUAGCUGAUGUUAACGUUUCCACACAUUGUAGAGCCGCAAUCCUUGUUUGUGUUUCUACCUAUGCAAGCUUCUGGUAGUAGAAAUAAAGCGAUGACGGCCAUAAGGCCAAACAAUGGCAGUUGGGGUUUUGGUUUUGGCAUGCUGUAAUUUGGGAAGAGACUAAGAAUGAACGAAGGCUAAAACAUUAGCUCUUUUUUUUUGGGAGGGGGGGGGGGGGGGGGAGGAAUAAAUUAAAGCAAGUCCACAUAUUUGAAAACCCAUAUUCAUUUUUUGAUUUUUUUAAAAGACAUUUAUAUUACUUUUAAUUUAAUAUUUAAUAUUUUAAUAUUUUUAUUGAUUAAAAUUAUAAUAUAUAAAAAUAGUUUAUUAUAUUAUAUUAUAAAUACUGAAAAUGGCUUAAUUUUUAUAUUUAUUUGUGAUAUAUUUUUUGAAUUAUGUUAUUUAUUCUUUUAAUAAUAUUAUUUAUAUUUAUAUUGUUUAUUAUUGAUUUAGGGAAUAAUUUGAGAAAAAGACUUUGACUAGUCUUCAGCUUUAUUUGGGAUGAAUAUUUUAUUCUCGAUCAAUUGUUUACACCUAUUUUUUUCUUAUUUUUUUCUGGGAAACACCUCAAUCAAAGCACAUCUGAUUUCAAGAAAGGUAAUGUCACCAAGUUAUUUCUCUAAUGUAUCUGUAUUAUGUUUAAGAGUUUAAUCUUUUCAUUUUAUGGUUGAUUUGAAUAUUUAUUUAAAUUUUACAAUUUAAUACGAUUAAUUUUAUUAUAUUACAAUGAAAAACAAAAGAAAAAGAAGAAUUUAAUAUGGUUCAAAGUUUUUAAAUAAAUCUGGACCAUAUACUUGUAGACAAACCUUUAUCAUUAAUCUAUUCCAACUUCAAUGUGAACGACCAAGACAAUGCAAGUCUCAAGUCCUGUUUGAAACGCAAAAGCAUUCAAGUGGUUGAGAGCAGCGAGCCUGAUCCCUUUUGUCCUUUUGUGUUAUGUAAAUCAAUUGUAGGGCCCUUUUACCCAAAUAACCCAAAAAAAUAUUAUAUUUAUAAAAAUAACCUAGGUUUAAAAACAAUCACUAAAAUAAUCUAAAAUGAACAGUACUCACUCUUUUUUUGCACCAAUGAUUGGCUAAUCAUUGUGUCAGAGUUAAAAAAAUUAUUUUUUUGGGUUCUGGCCUGUCAAUGGCCGGAACCCAUGUAUUUUUUUUAAAAAUUGUGUAAUACUGAAAUACGGAUAUACGAAAAAGAAAAAAACCAAAAAAAAAAUUUUUUUGGGUGCUGGCCUGUCAAUGGCCGGCACCCAGUACACAGUACAAAGGAAAAAAAAAAAUUAUUUUUUCGUAUCAGAAUCAGAUAAAAAAAUACGAAAAAAAUUUAAAAAAAAAUUUUUGGGUGCUGGCCUGUCAAUGGCCGGCACCCAGUACACAGUAGAAAGAAAAAAAAUUAUUUUUUUCGUGUUAGAAUCAGAUAAAAAAAUAUAAAAAAAAUUUUAAAAAAAAAAAUUGGGUGCUGGCCUGUCAAUGGCCGGCACCCAGUACGCAGUACAAAGAAAAAAAAAUUAUUUUUUUUCGUGUCUGAAUCAAAUAAAAAAAUACGAAAAAAAUAAAAAAAAAUUUUUGUACUGUGUACUGGGUGCCGGCCAUUGACAGGCCAGCACCCAAAAAAAAAAAAUUUUUGAUCAUUAUUUUAUGGUUCAAUUUUUUAUAUUUACUCAAAUCUCUGUUUCUAAUAAAUCUCUAAACAUUGAAAGAAUAUAUAGUUUAAUUAAUAACAAAUACGCGUUUUUUAUUUCCAAAAUUAUUGGUUCAAUCGAUUGAUUUAAUUAGAAAUUCAAAUAUUAUUUAUGAUUUUAAUAUAAAAACAAACUUAGUUAGCAGUUUGAUCCAUAAAUAUUGCAAAUUAAAAAUAUAACAUCAUUUUCACUCAAACUUAUUUUUUUUCCAUCAUCACCCAAACUUAAUUGAACACGAAAGAAAUAAUGACAUGUUUGCACAUGAUGUUUAAGGAAGAGUUAGAUACAACAAAAUACAAGAAUGUCAACUUCCCCAACGUGAUCCCCAUGUGAGAACAAAUUCUUCUAAUCCGUCAUGUUAAUUAUUACUUUUAUAUUUUUGUUACACUUUAAAAAACAUUAUUAUAUUCUCUUAUAAUUUUUUUUAAAUUGUAUCCAAAUAGGAAAAACAUUAUUGUUUUAUUAAAUCAAACAUACCAUAAAUGUCUUAAAAGUUAAGAUUUAAGACCAUAAGUACUACUAACAAAUCUAGUAUUAAUUAGAAACGAGUAAAAAUGGUUAACCCUCAUGUCUUUUAUGUACUUAGACAACCCAAAAUCUGAUAAUAUUUUUAUUAAAAAAAUUCAAAAAUAUGCGUUUUAAGGUAUGAGCUCACAUAUUACAUAUACUCUAUUUAAAUUCUGUCUUUAAGCCUAUCAUUAUCCUUUUAUGUGUCUUUAACCUUUUAUCUUGCAAACUUUUAUUCACCUUUAAUAAAAAAAAUCCUUUCAAUCUAUCAUUGUGUUAUAGUGUCUGACAGAAUUACUUAAUUUGGUCAAAUAUAAAUAAAGCAUAUAGCAUGAAAUUACUAAUAUAAAUUUAUGAAGCACGACUAAUGUCACGAAUUAAGUGUGUCGAAACCGUUUUUUGAAAAACAAAAAUUUAGUCGUUGACUUUAAAAAACAAAAUUGGAGUCGCCACCGAUCCUUUAUUAAGGUGUGACCGGCCCACCUUAAAAACUAUUUUGGUCUGCGAAUUUUGAAAACAGGUUCGGGAGUCAGUUACGCACGAGGAAGGGUUAGCACCCUCGUAACGCCCAAAAUCGGUACCAAAUUGAUUAUUUGAUGUCUUUGUGUCGAAAGUUAAAAAGAUUUUAAAAUAAGCUUGAAUGAUGAAAUUUGCAAAAGGAUAACCAAUUGUUUAAGUCAUGUAAAGAAAUCGAGUCCCAAUACGUUAGGGUACAAUUCCUCAAAAUUCCCCAAACUUGAAUAUCACUUUUAUUUUAUACGAAAAUCUUCAUUUCGAGAAAGUAACAUGCCACACCCAAUACGUUAGGGCACAACAAGUUAAGUUCCCAAAAAUGAUUUUUAUGCAUUUUGAAUAAAAAUAUUCUCGGUCAAUUAGGAUUGACAAAGUAAAUCAGAACCCAAUACGUUAGGGCUCAAUUUCCCUCGAAAAUCCCAAACUUCCAAAAAUGCUUUUAUUCAAAAAAAAACCUUUAAAUCAAGAAAAUAACUUUGAUGAAGGGUUAAAACCAAAAUAUAUUUUCAAGAGGGUAUGUUAAAGAGCUAAUAUACAAUAUGAUACAGAUCCUUUAAUUUUCAGCAUACACGAAUAAAUAUUUGCAGAUAUAUAUAUAUACAAAUAUAGUAUACAAGUAAACUAGCAAAUAUGCGUACACAUAUAUUUAAUGCAUACAUAGAAGUGUACAUAUAAAAAGGAAGGUAAAGAAAUAUAUACAACAAGCUCACAAUAGUUUCUAAGAAUAUGCAUGCAAAACACGUGUAUGUAUAUGUGAAAAUUGUGAAGAUCAAAAUAUCAAAAUAUGCAUAUGUAUAUAUUUACAAAGAAAAGUAUAAGUAUAUAGUAAAAAACAAAAUAAAAAUAAAAAACAUAUGUACAUAAAUAAAAAAAUUAAAAUAUAAAAGUUUUAUUUAUAUAUAUGUAAAAGUAAGAAAAUAAAAUAAAAAAUGUAUAAAAUAUAUAGAGGUAUUAUAAAAAAAAGUGCAUAUAUAUAUUAUAUAUAAAAGUCAUGCGUAUGAACAUGUAUUAUAAAAAACAAUGCAUGAAUGUUAUAAAAUAAUAAUAAUUACGUAUAUAACAUAUGCGUAUAAAACAUUUAAAUAUAUAUACAGUAUAUACAUAUUUACAAAAGUAAAAAGGCUUUUGAAAUUAAAAAUAAAAAAAUGUUUGUACGUACAUGAAAAUAAUAAUUACAAUAUUAAUAUUAAUAGUAAUAGUAAAUAAUAAUAAACAAGUAAUAAUACAUUAUAAUAACAACAAAUAAAAAAAUUUAAAUAGUGAAAUAGUUUAAAAAAUGGAUUAAAUUGAAAAAAAGACGAAAAACGGGGAAAUUUUGAAAUAAAUGAAAAAAACCAAUUUGAAUGCGCAGGAAAUAAUGGAGGAUCGAAAGGGAAAUUAUCCCUGCCUUCCCAAAACGCUGCGCAGAUAUGGGCCAGAUUGAAACAAAAAUUAAAUAUGCGGCUCAAUUUAAAAAGAAACAAAGGAGUUCAAUUGAAACACAACGCAAAAAAGGGGGACUAAACACGAAAUUUCCCCAUUCAGGCCAGAACGCGCGGAUCCUCCCCUCCGGUUCGGGUCACUGCACGGGUCUGGCCCCUUCAAAACGGCGUCGUUUGGCUUUUAAUAUAAAAUUAAAAUUUCUUAAAAAAAACCAAUUCUGCUUCAUUUUUUCUUUUCUCAAAACGACAGAGGGAAAAGGGGGAAGGUUGCUCUGCUAGGUUUUCUUAACCUAGCUUCGCGCCGCCGCUUGGCCUGCACCUCCACGCCUCGAUUUCGCUGGAGAAGACACCGGCCUGACAACUCCGGCGACCAGGUAAGUCUCUCCUCCUUUCUUUAUACCUUAAUUGAAAAAAAAAUAAAACAAAAAGGGAAAAAAAAUAGACUCGCCUUCAAAAAUAUCUUUGUCUCAGUAUAUUUUUCUCUCUAUAUUUGUCUCUGUUAAACUGAAAAUUCCCCCCCCAUUACACAAAAUUUGACUCGGUUUUAUAGCCGACCUAGAGAAAUAACAAUAAAAUCAAUAAAAAAUCCCUUGAUUCUCUGUAUUCUGUUGUUAUUUGUUUUUGAGUCUCGUUACAGGUACUGUUGGAGGAGAAUGCGCGCGACGUGCGCGGAGUAAUGUGCGCAACAUGCGGAGGCAACAGACGUGACGUGCGGGGGGCUGUUGCGGCGUGCGUGUAGGAGCUACUGCGGCGCGAGUUUGCUGCAGCGCCUAGGGUUUUUUUGGUUUUAGGCUAAUGGGGCUUGGGUUAAUUUUUAUUGGGCCAUACGGGUUGUAUGUUUAUUUGGGCCCGGGCAUAUUUGGGCUUGUAAAAAAAACUUGGACUGCCUUAUUUUUUGUUUUGUAAGGGCCCGGGCCAAUUGGGCCUGUUACAAAGUGCUAUGUUGAAUUUUGUUGGAAUAUUGUAGGUGUUACACAUUGUUAUAUUGAGUGGUACAAGUAUUUGAGUGCACCACAAGAGUUGUGAUUAUGUUGGUAAUUUUAUCUUAUAAUAAUAAUAAUAAUAAUAAUAAUUUUCUAUUUGAAGAUUUAGUAGUAACAAAUAUAUAGAUUAUAUUUGUAUUAGAAAUUAGAUUAUAUAGAGUGAAUUCUUGAAAUGGAUAAUUUGAAGGACAUUCAACUAAUAAGAAACCUAUGUCGAAUACAUCUCAGUUUGUAGUGGCUCGUGAUGUGAAAAUGUUGAUUCAUAAACAAUGGAAAAUUAAGGUUCAACAAGUUAACAAGGAAGGUAAUAGAGUUGCAGAUGCAUUGACUAAACAAAUUCUUAGUUGGGAGAUAUGUCUUUAUAGUUUUCUACAACCAUUCGUGUCUUGUCUCUUGUUCAUGACAACUUAAUCGAAGAUGACAAAAACAAUAUGACUUUGAUGUAAUGAAUCAAUUUGCUUUAUUUACCAAAAUAAACAUAUCAUUCUUUAUAUGAAGCACAAAAAAAGUUGAUGUAUUUACUGGGUAAAUAAUUUUUAUUGUUUUUAAUGAAUCAAUUUGUUUAUAUAUUUAUUGUUUUAUUUUUUUAUUUAAAAAGUGUAAUAUUUCAACACAUAAAAUUAUGAACAGCCACUCAAAAAGUUAUACUUAUUAAAUAAUUUUAAUUGAUUAAGAAUAUGUACAUUAGAGUCUUAUCCCUUACUAGAUAUAGUUGAAGAGUCAUCUUAUACAUAAAUGAAAGUGGAACUGAAAAUCUAUUUGUAGCUAAAAUGGUCAAUAAUUUCUUACAAUGCUCAAAUUAAAUGUAUUACAACGUAAAUUUAUCUUUUAUUAUAUUUUGAUAUACUAUCAUAAAUGUUUAAAUCUAACCUCACUUAUUUUCUUUUUCAAAUAAUUUUAAAAAAAUUUAAAAUUAUUCAAUUUAUAUAAAAAUUUCAAGUGACAUUAAUUAACACACUAAAACUUAUAUAUUUUGUAUUGACAAUAAUACUAAAAUCAAUCGAGAUGGAUUGUUAAGUUAAAAUAUUGAUUCCAAAAUUUAUAAAUAUUUAAUUAUUCUAAAGUAUAAAAUAAAAUAUUAGCUCCCAAGUCCCAACAUUUUAUCCCACAAAAGUUAAAUAAAAAUAAAAGAGUACGUUUCCCUAAACACUUCUUACAUUUCCCAACCAAAAAUGCAGUUCGUUUAGUUUGCUUCGGUAAUACGGUAGCGUUUUCCUAUGAGGAAAUCAGUCAAACUCCAUCACCAUACUCAAAACGAUUUCUUUAAAUUAAAUAUAAUUACUUAAUAUUUAAUUAAAUUAAAAAGAAAAACAACUCUGAUCAAAUGUAUAUAAGAAGAAAGUUUUGCUUAGUGUAAUCUGACUGUCAUUCAAGAUUUACGCAUUCAUUUCAGACAUAGCAGACCAUUUUGAAAUUCAAGUCUUUGGUUCAGAUUCUUUUUUCUUUCUUUUUUUGAAUAAAAUCUCUAGGAAAGUUCUUUUUUUUUUUUGGUGAAAUAAAAACAUCAGUUACAUACAGCAACCAUUCGUUUUAUCUACUUGUAAUAAAUCUAAAAGAUCCUUAGGAGCCUCAUCAAUAACUUGCAAGCUUGAUUUCCAACUCAAACUGAGUUUAGCAAGACGAUCUGCUACCAAAUUUUGAUUUCUUGGAAUGUGUUUUAUCCUCCACUCCCCUUCUGAAUGCAUAAUACGAAGAGUUCUUCGAAGCAUAGCAAUCCCUGAAUCUUCCAAAUCCAUAUUAGACAAGAUCUGAGCAACUUUAAGAUUAUCUGUCAUAAUAGUGAUUCGUUUAUAGCCCUUAUUAAGUAAAAUGAGGAUCACGUCAAGAAUAGCCCAAAAUUCAGCUUCGAACGAGGAGCACAUGCCAAGGAAUCGGUUAAAACCCACUAUCCAAUUUCCAUCUCGGUCCUGAGCCACUCCUCCUGUUGCAGCAUAGGCAGAAUCUCUUGCUACAGCUCCGUCAAUAAAAACACCCAAUUGUCAGCUGAAUUGAUCAUCAAGGAAGAGCCCUGCUUGCUCUUAAAGUGAUCUCCAAUAUGGUAGGUGUAGUGUCGGCCCCAACAAUAAGAGACUUUCACCACUUCCGUUGCUGUCCAAGAUAUAUGCUGGAAGAUGAAUAGAUUUCUAUUCUUCCAUAUACAAACCAAGCGACUAACCCAAACAGGCAUGACCACAUGAGACCAUAAUCCUGCAAUCUUUCAUGAAAACAAAGGUUAAGAAUAAGCCAAUCCUGAAAAGAAAUGGAAAAAAACCUUUGUUUUAACUGAUCAGGAAUCACAAGCCGCCACACAUCUUGCGCGGAGGGACAAUCUUUGAGAACAUGAACCAAAUCUUCAAUAUCAUGACCACAAAUAGAACAAGAGCUACAAUGAUAGAUUCCCCUUCUAGCUCAUUCUGAAUUUGUAAGAAGUUUUUGAUUGAAAGCAAGCCAAAGGAAGACUCAUACUCUCUGAGGACCUCGAUAUUUCCAAACAAUCUUCCAGUAAUCCUCCUGCGGAUUCCAAGAAUUCUCUUUCAAAUACCAAUAAGCACUACGAACUGAGAAGACACCAGACGCAGACUGAGUCCAAAUAAUCCUAUCCGAACCAGAGUUAGGGUGAGGAGGAGGAAUGCUAACAAUUCUAUUUAUUAUAACUUCAGGCACCCAGACACGAAAUAAAUCCAAAUUCCAGCUACCAUCUGAAUUGACCAUCUCCCUAACACAACAAUCCAAAUCAAGGUUAGCAGAAGGAUGAAUUUUUGAAAUUAAAGGGCCCAUACCUGGAAUCCAAGGAUCUUUCCAACAUCGAGCACUAGCACCGUCUCCAAUAGACCAAGCAAUAUUUUCUCUAAGAAGUGGCCAUAUCUUAGAAAGUGCCCUCCAUAAAAGAGAACAUUGGUUUCUUUUUAUAGAAUCCGGGAAUUGAUCUUUCCAACCAUAUUUGGCACGAAGAACACGGACCCAUAGUGCAUUACUUUUAGAAAUAAGAUUAAAUCCAAUCUUCAUAAGAAAAGAUAAAUUUUGAUCUUCCAAAUGUCUGAAACCAAGGCCUCCUCGAGACCUUGGUUGGAAAAUAGAAUUCCAACCCACCAAAGACAUUUUGGGAUGCCCAUCAGUACUACCCCAAAUAAACUGCCUGACCAAUCUUUCAAUGUCUGCACAAACACCUUUCGGAAUCAUCAAGGACUGCAUGAAAUAAUUAGGAAUAGAAAGAAGAACUGAUUGGGCCAAAGUGAUUCUACCAGCAAUGGAUAAAUUCCUAGCGUCCCAACUCUGUAAUUUCUUCCUCACUUUAUCCACAAUGAAGCUCAAGGUACUUUUUGAAAUCCUUUCGUGUAAAAGAGGAACACCUAAAUAAAUGCCAAGAUUUCGGACUUCCUGAAAUCCAAAAAGUUGGUUAAUUUGAUUACGAACAUUACCUUCUGUGUCUUUGGAAUAGAAAAUGCUACUUUUCCUAACACUUAUUUUGUGACCUGAAAUCACACAAAAUUGAGUUAGAAUAUUAUCCAGGAGACUAGCUUGAUCAAGCUGAGCUUUACAAAAGAUCACUAAAUCAUCCACAAAGAACAAAUGAGAAACUGAAGGACCUGUACAAGAAAGAUGAAUUGGAUCCCAUUUCCUAGAGUCAAUUUCAGUCCAAAUAAAAUGUCCUAACCAUUCCAUGCAAAGCACAAAGAGAUAAGGCGAUAAAGGACAACCUUGACGAAUACCUCUCUUAGGUAUGAACUUUUGAGUAGGUGUCACAUUCCAUAGAAUUUGCAUAGAAGAGGAAGAAAUAGCGGACAUGAUUACAUUCCUUAAGAAGACAGGAAUUCCAGCAUCAACCAAAGAAGCUCUUAUAAAGUCCCAACUAACUCUGUCGUAAGGUUUCUCCAAACCUAACUUAAUAGCCAUCCACUUUCUUACUUUCCUAUUACAACGCAUAAAAUGAAUGAUCUCUUGAGCUAAGAUAAUAUUAUCAAAAAUGUUACACCCAGCUAUGAACCCAGCUUGUUCUUGGGAUAUAAGCUUAGGAAAUAUAACUUUGAACCGAUUCGCAAUUAUUUUCAUUACCAACUUGUAGAGAACAGAACAAAGACUAAUAGGCCUAAAGUGGCUAAAGUCCUCAGGGUUCUCUUUUUUAGGAAUUAACACAAUCAGCGUAUUGUUCAAUUCAGCUUCAAUCGGACGUCCAUCAAAAAUAUCUUUGACCCACUGACAAACAUCAUUCCCAAGAAUAUCCCAUUGGCUUUGGAAAAAGUGAGCAUGGAAGCCAUCACUUCCAAGAGCUUUCAAAGGAGCCAUAUCAAACAAAGCCCUUUUAAUCUCCUCAUUAGAAAUAGGAGUCUCUAGGAAAGUAAUCUUAGAAGAGUUAAAGCGAGGAAAACCAAUAUUUGGAAUAUCCCUCGAUGUAGAAGAAAUCUCUCCAAAAAGUCCUUCAAAGAAUUCCACCGCCUUAGCCUGCAGAAUAUCUUGAUUAGUACACCAAUCCCCAUUAUCAACGCGUAAGGUUAUGAUAUGAUUGAAUUUCCUUCUCCUCAUCGUGCGACUAUGAAAAAACUUUGUAUUUCGGUCCCCCAAUUGAAGCCAAUCACAGUGAGCCUUUUGUCUCCAAAGUAAAUCUUCAUGAUCAAGCACAUUUUCCAGCUCAUCCCGAAUUUCCAAUUCUUUUCCAGCUAAAUACGUAGAGGAAGAAUGGUCCAUGGUUUUUUGGAUAUUAUUAAGAGAUCUCAUAAGAUUUCUCUUACGAGUACCCAUAAAACCAUAAAUAUUCUUGUUCCAAUCUUUAGCAAAAAAAGUGAAGUUAUUCAAAGAUUCAAACAUAUUACCUGCAAAAUUCCACUUUUCUUUAACAAGGUUAGAGAAAUUACGAUGUUUCGUCCAUCCCGCUAAAAACCUGAACGGUCUGCUUUGAGAAAUGUUAAGGUCGGAUGCAGUAGAUAACAAGAGGGGCCUAUGAUCUGACUUGAUACGAGUAAGAUGAUGGACAGAGAAUUGAGGAAAAGCAGACACCCAAGCAUCAUUAGCUAAGGCCCGAUCAAGUCUAACAAAGGUACCACCUCUUUGCCAAGUGAAAGCAGGUCCAUUAAACCCCAAAUCCUGCAACUCACAAGAUUCAACAAAAUUACCAAAUAAAUCACAGUGUUUACCAAUAGAGAUAGGACUCUUUUUAUCAAAAGAAGAUAAGAUAGCAUUGAAAUCUCCCAUAAUUAACCAAGGAGAAGAAAGAUUAGAAUUAGUUGAUUUUAAGUCAUCUCAAAGAAGCUUUCUUUUAGACCUAUCCGGACUGCCAUAAACAAAAGAAAUAAAAAAGAUUUAUUAGGAAUAAUAUUAUUAACACGUAAGAAAAUAAAUUGCAGAUGAUUUCGAACAAUAUGAAUUUGGAUAAAAUCUUUCCAACCAAUCCAUAUGCCACCUGAAAAACCAAUAGCUUCAACCCGAUGUGAAUAGUUAAACCCCAAUUUUUCAAUAAUAAGAUUAGCCUUAAUACCACUCACUCUCGGUUCCACCAAACAAACAAUAUCAGGCCUGUGCUCUGCAUUGUAUUCUUGAAAGGCUCGUAAAAACUUCCUGCUAGCACACCCUUGACAAUUCCAUGUAAAAUUUUUUAAAUUUAAAGGCAUAAUAAAAUAUAAAAAUAAAGAAAAUAAAGUAAAAUGAACCAAAACCCCAAUAUCAAAUUAUCAAAAUAAAACAAAACCUAUAAGGACUAAAAGAACAUCCUUACUGUCCAGGAGCAUUAGCUCCCUCUAUCUGCACAACAGAAUCCCCUCUAUUUACAACCCCAAGGUUAGGAGAUGCAAAGGUCGAGAUGCUCUCGGCUAGAUGUUCCAUCGACUCCUUCAAAGAUGUUCACUGGGAACCUGAAAUUUUGAAGCGAGUAUUGCUGCCAUGAAGGAUCUUAGACUGUUUUUUAGCUUGACCUCUUCCUCUGUUUUUAAGAGCUUUACCCGAACCGGAGGAUAGUACCAGAGAAGAAACAAAAUUUUUAGGUGAAUGGACAUUGUUAUUUUCCUUGCUUUGAAGGCUUUUAUGAAAUACCACCGCCGAGUGUCGACCAGAAUCUAGAUUACCAACAUCUAGAGAAACAGCAAAACUAUCUAAUUUUUAGAACUUUCUCCUUCAGGCCUGAACCCCACUCCGUCGCCCGGGAUUGUUUGUAUUUCAGCUGCAGCAAAAGACCGACUGCCGCUUCCAUCAGUAGUAAAGAGUUGCUGGGCUUCCAGUUCCAGAGUAGGUGAGCCCAAAGCUCCUCGGGCCUGACCCGCAGAUAAGUCCCCAUUGCCCAAACUGCUAACAGACUUAUCUAUAUUGCGAGAAUUUUCCUUCAGAACAGAAUUGGAUUUGUUGGGCUCCGAAAUUGGCCUGCCAUUAACUUUAGAGUUGGGUCCACCAAUCUCCUUCAAACCCACCUCCUUUGAAUUAUUUUUACUGUUUUUUCUCCACUCUAUUCGGCCAUUAAAGAAGGCAGUAGAAUCUUUACCCAUAGAAAUAUCUUGUGAAAUCUCUUUACGUUUGUCACGCUUGGAAUCCAGCAAAAAACCUUCAUCAUCCUUUUUGUACGAAUCUUUAUCAUUAAGGACUCUAAAACGAGAUCCUUCUUUUCCACUCUGUAGGCUAUUGAAGGAAUUAUUCACGUUUUCUCUAAUUUUCCUCCUUGAUUUCUUUUCAACGAUCAUCCAAGGACCGAAAUUCCCGUUUUCCUUCUCCACGCCAACCUUGUUCGUGUUCUGAAACUCCGAUGACAAUUCCGAUGGAGCAUUCUCCUUUUCACUAAGGCUUUUAGAGAUUUUAAAAGGGCAAGAAUUCUCCACAUGCCCAAAUCUCCCACAGUGAAAACAAAUUGUAGAUAAAGAUUCAUAUUCAACAUUCUGCUUUCGGCCGUUGAUCAAAAUAUAGGAUACCAACGGCUUUUCCAGGUCAACAUAAACAGCCAAUCUAGCAAAACGUCCCCUAGUCCUAUUAUCCGUGUUCAUAUCCAAUAUAACCACUUUUCCAGCCGUUUCCCCUAUCUCAGUGAUGAUCUUAUGAUUGUAUAAAUACCCAGGUAACCAGGGAAUCUAAUCCAUGCCAUCACAACAUUAGGGUAAGCUUGUGUGGGAUCAAAGGUUGGACUGUCAAGUAUUGACCAAAGAUGAUCCAAGGACCUUCAGAAAGCGCCUUUUCACAGUCCAACUUAUUCUGAAAUUUAACCAAGAAAUAUCCAUUUUCUAUGUCCAUCAUAUGUAACGCCGCUGAAGGUUUCCACAGAUUAUACAGUUUAUUCUGUAAAACCGAAAAACCAAUAUUACGACCAAGAAGCUUUAAAAUCACUGUGUUAUCCAUACCUUGAAUAAAGAUUUUGUGAAUCCUAUCCGAGAAGGAAAUAGAGGGUACGCCAUUCACAAAAGAUUUUUGAAUAUCCCCUUCCAAAAUAUCUAGAUCAUCUUUUCCUUCCAAAUCAUUGAAAGUCUCCUUUGACGAUUGGCCAACAAGCAUGUCCUUCCACGAGAUAGGUUUUUCCGGGGACGAGUCGAUCAUCAUAAUAUUAUUUGUAUCAACAUCUUCGCCUCUGAAACGAACUUUCUUAGGAAUCAACUCCUCAGAAAUAGAUUUUUCAAAGUCAAAAUUUUCACAGAGAGAACUCGUUCUUUUUUUUGUCCCCUCUUUUUUUUUUUUAAUUCCUUAACGAUAGUGAUUUCGGUUAUGGAGAAAAGGAGUGAAAAGUUGUGAUUUAUGUUGAAGUGGGCUUUUUUUUUCCUCUUUUACUAGUUUUAGAAAUGGGUUUGAUGGAGAUUUCAAUAAUGCUCCAUGUUGGAUUAGUUUUGUUCCUGCUUUGGACGCUUUCUCAAUUCAAACUUUGCCAUCCGGUUGCUUAUUUCGUGUCUCUCAUCUACCUCUAUUUGGUAAUUCAUUCAUCUUCUUCUAAGAAUAAAAAUGAAUCUUUUUUUCUUUAUUUUUGAACUUGGAUUGAACUUUUUUUUUAUUGCUUUGUUACAAAAAUUCCUUUUAUUUCUUUGUUCAUCAAAGGUUCAUGAAAUGUAUGUGACGAGAUUGAGGAAGAAAUUGGAGUUCGAGGAAAAGCGGCAACAAUUUAGGAGAAGGGUGAUUCUCCAAAUUUUAUUUUUUUCUUCUUUUUUUGCUUUACUUUUUAAGUUCUUAAAAAAUAUUGAUUUAUGCUGAUUGUUAUUGUAUUAUUUAUCAAUCAUUUUGGAUGUAUUUUUCCUUCUGGGUAAUUCUAAUUCUGAUACUUAGGGCACGUUUGGUUCGCUCUAAUAGAAUAGAGUUGUAAUUGAAUAGAGUUAUAAUGGAAUAGAAGCGUAAUAGUAAUUUAAUUGUUUGGUUGAAUGGAAUGGAAUAGAACUGUAAUAGCAUUCUUGUCUCUGGUUGAAUAGAAUAAUGUUGUAAUAGCAUAAGAAAAAAACUAAAAUGAGUAGAAUACCCUUAGCAGAAUUGUUUUAGUAAGAUGAUUAUUGUUAUUGUUAUUAAACUUUAAUAUAAAUAAUAAAUAAUAAAUAAUUUAAUCAUAUUUUAACAAAACUAUUAGUAAAUAUAAUUUAAUAAAAAUCUAUAAUUUAAUAAAAUUCUUAAUAAAAUUAUUCUUAUAUGAAUUUACUAAAAUCAUAAUAUAUAAUAAUAUAAAAUAUAAUUUAAAAUAAUUAUUAUUAAAUAUAAUUUAAUAAAAAUAUAUAAUUUAAUAAAAUUCUUAAUAUAAUUAUCCUUAUAUGAAUUUACUAAAAUCAUAAUAUAUAAUACUAUAAAAAUAAUAUAUAAUCUACUUUAUUAUUUUUAAACUAUAAUACAUAUUUAAUGUGCUAAAACAUCAUUAGUGAAAUAAAUAAUUUAAUUAUUUUACAAUAAAAAAUAUGAACAGUAAUAAAUAACUUAAGAAUUAUAUGCAAGGAGGAUGAUACAUGAAAAAAUUAAAGUACAAUUCAUCCGUAAUGAGUGUUUUAUUUUACAAAAGAUAAUGAUUAAAGAAAAUUCGUAAUUCAUUUUAUAACCAUUAAUGGCUUUUCUGUGUUUAAUAAAUUGAAAUUGACGAGAAAAAAAUGGAUCGGAGAGGGAAAAUAUCCUACAAUUGUCAAGGUGAUAAGGUAUUUUAAGAUUAUAAAAUACCUUAAGUUGGAUAAUAGCUCAAGGUUUCUUCUUCGGUACAAGUUAAACAACCAAUAGACGGAUCAAAUUGAAUGACUUAAUACAAACCUGAGCUAAAUUAUUUAAUUCAAACCAUAAUUUUAGUUGACUAGAAUGCAAUAAUUAAAUAACUUGAAUUAUUUAAUUUCACGAAAACAUAAAAAAUAAAAUUUAAGACAAUUUUCCCGUACAACAAAUCAUGUAAAAGGAGAUGAUCGACUCAUAAGCUCUAAAUAUUAUUCCCUAUAAAAUUUAGGACUCACAACCAACAGGUGUCUGUACCAUUUAAGAGGCAGUAAUUAUAUUUCAUUUAAGCUCUCUCCAAUCAGCACAUAAAAUAGGCUAGAAUACAUGCAAAUAAAAGUUUGAACAAGUCAUUUUUCAUCUAUUUUGAUUCGGGUACAAUCUUUUUAAAAUAAUUGAAAUAGUCAUAUUUUCAAAUUAUACUGGGAUAAAUAAGAACUUAAAAUAAUCCAAUCCACUAAUUUUAAACGCGGAACGAUAUUCAUUGACUGGAGUUCCUGAAAAAAUGACAUGAAAGGGGAAAGAUGUUGGGUAACAGGGGAAAAAAAAGCAAUGAAUGCAUAAGAAAAGAAAAAUAGUACAGACGUCAAAAAAAGACAAUGGAAUUGAAAAGUAUUCUUAUUAAAUGUGACAUGACUUUAGAAACAAUAUUAACCUCCUCUAUCUCCUUUAACAUGUUUUUAUUCAGAAACCAAAUUGAAUGACAACCAAUAUCUGUAUUUGUAUCACUGUUGGACAUAACUAACACAACCCUUCAACAAGCAAACAAAAGUACAUAGCUUCAUCUCAUAUGAAAUUCUUCACUUUUCUUUAAAUACCACAAAAGAUCAUGAAAAAAACAUUCAAAGAGUUGAACGUACCCGUAUCUGACUUAAUCAAACUCCAAGUAACAUAGAUGAAAUGCAUGCCUUUCGACUACAUGUGUUCAGGAGUGGUACUAACAAGUGCCAUAUGCAUCGACAAGCAUUAUAGAACAAAUGCCCUUUAAUUUCAGUAAGCAUUCUACUUUUUUUUUUUUCAAGAAAAAAAACCCCAUAUUUUAUUUGAGUAGGUCAGAGUGCGGCGUGAUACUUUCAAACAUGUCAUUUGUAUAACAAAAAUGUUUGCCAAAGUCUACCUGGAUUAAAAGCUUGCAUGCGUAUGGUAGUUUCAUGCUAGAAACAUUUUCUCCAAUUUUACAUGAAAAACAAAACCCAAUUUUCAGCUUAUGGCUGUAGUAUCCUAUCAAACCACAUUUUCGGCAAACCUGUGUCAAAAGAUGGUUAUUAUGAGAUUGAAGCUGAUUCCAAUCAAGCAGUAAAAGUGUAAAAAGAAAGCACCAUAACAAAGAUAUUACAUCCGAGCCAUUGCAAAGUACAAAUUGAACAUAUAACCGUAAACCAAAUUAACUCUGGACAGGCCAAAAUAAAUCUGACAGAGACCACACAUGAUUUACAUAAGGUGAAACUCAACCCGGACCCUCACCCUUUCGCAGCUGUGCCAACGCCUCAUUGGCCCCAUCACCGGAAAAUUAUAAAUAAAAAAUAUUCAAGCUUAAUAAUUAAACCAAUGUCAAGAAAUAUGAAAAUAACAGCUAUUUGUGAACUACAACGAUUAAUAUGAGCAACAUCAACGAGAAUUUUACUCUGGGUUUUCCAGACUAGAAAAAGCAAGAGACUUUUGCAACCUCUGGUCUUUAAGAGACUAGAUAGAAUUCAAGUACGCACAAAGGCAAACUUUUGAGUAGUUAUAUCCGGAAGUGGUUUGAUGCUGGAUUUAACUUCUUAAGUGAAUUACGUGUGGAAAAUAUUACAAUAUAUGCUAAGUACCUUAAGCAUUAUUUUUGCUGCUAUUUCUCAAUCAGUAAAACAUAACAUUCCAAUCCAAUGCUCCAUAAUUCAAAACAAAUCAUGAACAGCACAUGCACGUAGAAUCCAAUAACAUAAUUCACAUCCACCAAAACCAUAAUCAAAUACCUGGACAUCAUAUGGAUCGCUGGAUAGCAUCAUUACAGCUUUUCUGUAAUGUUAUUACAGCCAACCAAACGCCCGUUUGGUUCACAAAAUCUAAACAGAGAAAUGUUAUUCCGAAAUCUUACAUUACACUUGAGAAUGUGAAAUUACUUGAACCAAAAGCACUUAAUAUUUAGAGGCUACCUGUUAACCAUUUGAUUGCUAAUCUUUAAAAGCUAUUUGAACAAGAAGGAAAUAUUAAAAGUGCCACAAAAUUGCUGCCACUCUUGCUACACAUUUGACUUCUUCACCAUUAACAAUCGACGUUUUCAAUAGUAAACGAACAAGACAGUAGCGAAUACAAAGGUCCUAUUACUUAAAUUCUGGCUAUAAAUAUUGCCGAAAAGGAAAAAAACCUUGGAGUGUUGCUGGAAGAGUUGCCUCCUGUACCAAGGUGAUCUUCUCGUAUCCAAGAUCCUUUACUCCAUUCAGUAAUAUAGAUGAAAGUGAAAGUCGAUCAAAUCUGCAAGCGUAGCAAGGAAAAGAAACCAGACACUUAUAAAAAUCCUAGAUAAUAAGAAUCAUGUCUCAGAAAACUGAUAAUUAAAAAAAAAAGGCCUUGUUUCACUCAAAAAAGACUCGAAUUUCUCUGGUGAACCUCUUGGAUUCUCUGUCUCCGGUCCCGGUGUGGAACUAGCAUUCGUAUUUCCAGAAUCGAAACCAGUCUUAAUUCUUUUUCCGUCCAACGAAUACAAAUUAGCAGAGGGGUCCCCAGUUCCAUCAUGUUCGACUCAAGACUCACUCUUUCUUUUCCUCUUCGAUGAACCCAUAUCUCCCUCUCUACCUCUACUCCUAUUUCUAUUUCGUGCUCUAUCCGCAGCUAAUCCUCGUCUUCGCUAGUAAGUCAGUCAAGGAACAAGCGGUUCCCAACUCGCGAACCCAGUCACUGAAUUGGACUAGUCCUCGACAACGACCUUCGAGGCUCGGAUAUCUUCUCUAUUUUCAGUGGCCUACGGGCAGUCAGAGGCUCCGAUUACUGAUGUCCCGCAAUAAAGGCUGUAAGCCGAAAACUUGAGUGCGAGCAUUUUUCGUUGUUGAUAAAAUGGAGAAAAGAAAAGAAAUGUGAGAAGAAAAGAAACGUACGAGAAGAAGAAGCAGAAACGAUGGAAGGGAAAAAAAUUACCUUGCAAUUCUUCUAGAAACGUCGGAGAGGAUGAGGGCAGAAAACAGAAGAGAAAAUUCGGAAUUGGGGGGAAUCCCUAAUCGGCGCUUAAACAUCAGAAUGGCUAUUACAGCCAAUUUGGAUAAUAGGGGCGGAAACAAAAAAAGAAACUUCAUAGAAGUCGAAAUAUGAAGAAAUAUAUAUGCCUAGAUACUUUAUUCUAUGGAUAAAGAUCUAAUUGAUAGAGGAAGUGCCGUAAAGAUCAAUUAGCGAAGUUUUGAGCAGAUACAAUAAAUAAGAACUGCUUAUUUAUGUCAUGAUAAGAGAUAAAAAUUAGAAAUCGACUUAUGUAAUAGAGCCGAUCCCCUAAGUUAUUAAAUAGCGGUGUAACAUCAGAUCCCAAAUACAGUAAGUCUUUUUUAUGAGGAAGAAGUUUUUUUCAAGGAUUCUAUAUAAAUUUCUAUAUGAAACCGAGAUAGUUACCUUUCAGGUAAUAACAUUACACCCAACUAAACACCCGUUUGAUGGUGGGUCCGGGGAAUUGGGUGGAAUGCAUACCGAUUCCCCCAACCAAACAUGCCGACUGUACCAGAUCAUUUUUCUUCUUUAAUGGAUGUUUUAGCUUUCUUUAUUUGGUUCAAAUGGUUACUUUUUUUGCGGUCAAUUUUAGUCUUGGAUGUUGAGAAAAAAUGUUUAGAAUUAACCUUUUUAUGAAAACAAGAAAAAGCAUAUGAUUUGCAGCUUUUUAUGUUGUUUUAUUUUCUUUGUGUAGUAUACAUAGGCAGAUUGAAGUUUUAGAAUCUUAAUUUUAAAUUCUGAUCUUGUAAAGUCUGUCCCUUUAAUGCUUUGUUGGCCUUUUUCAUUAGGUACUUUCGGAUUCCAAAUCUGUUCGGUGGCUAAGGCUUAGUUUGAAUGGGCGGUGUGUUUAGCUCUGGUGAGGUUAAAAACAGCGGUGGCGGUGAAAUUGGGUACUGUAGCGGUGAGAUUGGGUACUGUAGCAGUGAGAUUAGAAACAGCGGUGGAGUGUGUGUUUGGAUUCAAACGCAGCUAUAACAGUGAGGUGAAAAUAGAAAAUGACUUUUAAAGAUAUUUGAUUAAAAAUGAUAUAUAAUAGAAGUUUUUAAAAUUAUUUAACAAUUACAAAAUUAAUAAAUGAUUAAAAAUUAUUACAAUUAUAUUUAUUUUUAAUAAUAAAUAAUUAAAAAUGAAUUAAAACUAGAGAAAAAUUCAAAAAUUUAUUUUAUUUAAUAUUUCAAAAUUAAUCAUAUAUUUAAUUAUAGGGGCUCAAUUCAUUAUUGAAAGAUUAUUGAAAUUAUUGAGCCUUUAGAAAAAUAAAACAUUAUUGAAAGAUAAAAUAAUAAAACAACACUAAAAUAAGGGUCUUAAUGCAUGUUAUUUCAAAUGUUUGUCAUUAGUAACUCAAUGCAAGACAUUGCUAGCACCAAAUAACUUUAAAACUAAAAUCAACCGUUGGCUAGUAACUGAAAUAGCCUAUGGCCACCAUGUAGAAUGUGCAAUGUCGAGCAUUGAGCUGGUCAUCAAUGCUAAAGGGAAGAGUUAAAAAUCACAUCUGAUGGGGUUUUGACAACAGAGGAAGAAAACAGAAGCAAGUAACUCGGAUGAUGUAAAGAUUAACUUCAUUACUUGAAUAAGCAAUAUGCCAUAUACAUAAGUAGUCCGGAUUACAUGUGUUGGUUUUUUUAGCAGAAAACUAAGGAGAAAAAAAAAACGAAUGCAAAGAAGUUUGAACAAUAAGAAAACUGAAUUUGAUUUCCAAAAAUCAGAUCUUUUUCAUUGACUUGAGAAGCAUUUAUGUUACAAUGAAACAUGGCAGUUAACUAAUGUAUAACUGCUCCCACUAAUACAUGACUAAAGCCUAGAUAGAAUUACAAACAAAAUGUAGCUGACAUACCAGCUAUAACAUCAAACAUAAAUCCAACCCUAUCAAAAUGUAUUAUAACAAGAGAUAGAUGUCUAAGGUGUCAUGCUACUAAAGACAUCUAAAAUUGAACGUCCAAGUAAAGAAGCACAAAUCUAUGAAUGUUUAUUUAGGUACAAAAAAAUUCCUGAAAAAUGCAGGCACAAAAGAUGAAAAGAUAUUAUCUUUGCAUACUGCAUGCCAAACUAGUUUAAAACCUUCUGUCCAAAAAUACUAAACCUUUUAAGGAAGCAGUUUUCAACUGAUCUUAACAAUGGAAAUUGAGUUGUAGCAAAGUAAGGUCAUAAUAAAUGGUUGCUAACAUGAAAGCAAAAAUAACCAUGAAGAAAUAAAUCUAUCAAGUGAACCUCCUCAAUUGCCGAGGUAUGUUCCUCUAGGCGCAAAUCAUGUACUUUUGGAAGAGCACUAGCUGCACAUUUUCUAACAUAGACAGAUGGAUCUCUAGCACACUUGCCCACAGCCACCAGAACAAGAGGCGCAAUAACAUGAAGACGAAUUCCAGCCAUGGUGCGAAGUGCCCAUGCUCUCACCAAGGGAUUAGGGUCCACCAAAUCCUCCUGGAAACAAUUAAUUGACAAUAAUGCUUCGUUGGGACGCCUACAAAAUUAAACACAGAAACAUUAACAAUAAGUUCAAUCUACCUGCUUAAAUACAAGAAAUACAAUCCAGGUCACUCGUCACCUCUCCUUUGAGCCACUAUUAUUUUAAACUAAUGAGUUUCCACCAUCUCAAGCACUGCUUUUAUUAAGAAAAAGAACAAUUCUUCAAAAUGAAUUGUAAUUAAUUAAACUUGAAAAGUGCUUAAAAACAAUGAUCUAAUAACUACUCUUAUCUAAUAACUAGUUAAACUUGAUACCGUUUCUAUCCGGUGCAAUUAGAGAUAGAUUUCAAGCAAACAUGUUCUUUGUUCAUACUAAUAAUUCCCUCAUUUACUAAUAUUGCUUCUUAACAUAUGGAAGCAACCAUUGGAAAAUAAAAAGAAUAUUGUAAGAGAAGUUUGCGAAACAUACUUUUCAGCAUAAUGCAGUAGAUACAAAUAAACAAGUUUCUUUACUUCCAAAGAUUGAGAUGCCACGUUUUUAACAACCUGUAAUUCAAGCAACCAGAGAGAUGAAAAACAUAUAUACACCUCAAUUAACAAACAAAUAUAAUAUUUAAAAGUAUCCAUUACCAAACCCUGAUUUCAUAUCAUGAAUGUAAUUAUGAACAGCUAUCUGUAUUUUAUCCACAGUCCUAGACCCGAUUCAACCAUUUCUUCACUAAACAGAGUACAUCUAUCAAUAAAGAUCCAAUGAAUUAUAACUACAACACUCGAUAGCUUAAUUUUCUUUCUCAAUUAUCCUGUGAUAAGUUCACUACACCUAUUAAACAAUGAUAUUUAAACUUUUAGACACUUAAAUUUAUUUACACUUUCCAGAAACCUUAUCAGCUGUCAAAACGGUGCUCUGAAUGAAAUUACAAAAUCCAGAUCACUUCAAUAUUAAAUUUUAAGUAAUUUUUUCAGAGUUCAUUCAAUAAAAAGAAACCAAAAAUGAAAAACAAAUUACCUGAGGGAAGUAAUUGGAGACGUCGAAGCCUUGAGCGAUGAGAGCGAGGAGUCACUUGAGAGCCUCACACUUCUCCGAAUCGAAUUUACUAUCUAAAAGCGGAGCUAUGCUGACAUCAUCCGGAUCGUCGUAGAGGUGAGCAUCGGUUCCGAUCCGGAACACCAUCGUCGACGCCUUGCUCAACGUCUCCGCCGUCGCUCCGAACUGUGGAAACAUUUCCGAUUAGUUUUUCCUUUUUCUUCUUUACACAAAUUAAGAAUUCAUCAAAAUUGAAUUUGAAAAAUUAAUUUCAAGGGGGAAAUUGAGAAGACUUUGUGAUCUCUUGAUGUACUAAUGGAAGCAUUCAUGGUAGAUUUGCCUGAGAAAGAGAGAAAGAGAGGAAACAAAACAGAAUAUGCUGAGAAGAGAAGAUGAAGAACGGAAGAAGAAAAAGGAAUAAAGAACGGAAGAAGGAGAAGGAGCCUUACCUGGAUGAAGGAGGAACCGGAAGAAGUCCUUGACCAAACUGAUUUGCAACCCAAGGGGAAGGGGAAAGGGAAGGGGAAGGGGAAAGGGGAGAAGCAGGUAACUAAACAUCAGAAAAGCCUGAAGAAUGCAACUGAAGAAUAUAUGGGUAAAAGAGGAAAACAAAAAGUAAUUGAAGUUGCUUAAUUUUUACUGGAACAAAAGGCUCCAGUCUGGAUUUGAGACUCCGGCAAGGUGAAAUGCAUUUUCAACGCACUAAACAAAGCUUUCCAAACAGCCUUGCGUUUACUAAUAUUUCAGUUGUAAUUUUUUUUAGCGUUAAAAAACUAACGUACUGAGAUGCAGUUGCAUCCAAAGGGAGCCUAAACCAUGCUGUUGAAAAAAUAUGGCCUAUUUGUAUGAAACAGAUUGCAUCACAGAAGAUUCUGCUUCCCAUCAUACCUUGGUUCUUGGCUAAGUACAAACCUUGGACUGCUGUAUGAAUUUUGCUUCUCUUGGCUAUCUCUGGAAAAUUAGUACAUAAAGAUUCUGAUUUAGUUAAAUGUUCAAUUUAGUGCAAGAAUUAUGAGCAAUUUGUACUUUUUCAAGACUUGCAUUAGCUCCUAUGAAGUUACUUUCAAUGACCAUCAGAUGAUUAUUUUUUGAUCCAUUUUGGGUGUGCUUAAAAACUUAAUAUUUUAAUUUUUCCUUAAUUUUGUCUGUUGACACCAUUUUUUGGAUGAAAACGGGGUCGACUUGGGUUUUGACGAAAACGAAAAAAACGGGAGUCGCCACCGAUCUUUUUGAUGAGGCGUGAUCGGGUCACCUUGAAAAAUGGUUGUUUUUAAUAAACAAUUUAAUUUUAUUAAAAACAACGAGUUUGGUCCACGAAAUUCAGAAAAUGGGUCCGGGAGUCAGUUACGUACGAGGAAGGAUUAGCACCCUCGUAGCACCCAAAAAUUGGUACCUAGUUGAUUAGUUAAUGUCUUAAUGUCGAAAAACUGAGAACUUUAAAGAAAUUUAAAAAUACAAUCCUUAUUUUGAAAUAAAAUUUAUAAAAAUCGAGCUGCUUAUUAAGACUUUUUCGUUUCAGAAAGAGAAAAUGUCAUACCCAAUACGUUAGGGUACGAUAUCUUACCUUUUCAGAAAUGAGCAAGUCUAAACUCGCAUAGAAAAGUUUAAAAGAGUGUUUAAUUGUUUAAGUCAUAUGAAAAAAUUGCAACCCAAUACGUUAGGGUACAAUUUCUUCAACUAUUAAACAUUGAAUAUUGCAUUUAUUUUGAAAAAUCCUCGUCUCGAGAAAUCGAUGUAUCAUGUCCAAUACAUUAGGACACGACGUAUUGAAUUCUCGUUAAAGAGUUUUCGUUUAUGUCUUUUUUAUAAAAAAAGGUAAUCUCGAUUAUUUAGAUUCAAUAAAGAAAAUCGAAACCCAAUACGUUAGGGCUCGAUUCUCUCGAAGAUCCCAAAUACCGAGUGUUGUUUUUAUUUUUGAAUUUUCCGUUUUUUUUUAUAAAUAAAUAAGAUGGCAAACAUAUAAUAAAAAGAAAUCAAUAAAUAAAAGUAAAUGAACAAAUAAAAAUUAAAGCACCUAAGCAAAUAAUAAUAAGCAUGUAGAUAAAUAAAUUAAUUAACACCAAAUGAAACAAUAGUAAUGGAUAACAUUAUAGUAUAUAUAUAUAUAUGUAUGUGUAUGUGUGUGUAUUAGAAUUAUAAAGCAUAAAAAUAUACGUAUGUGCAUAUAAGAAUAUGUAAGCAUGUAUUUGUGAAAAUUAAAAAUAUGCAUAUAUAAGAUUAUUAAACAUAUAUAUAUGAAAAUUAGAACGUAUAUAGGACAUACAUAAUAUAUUAUAUAAAAUAUAGUAUAUAUUAGGGAAAUAUAUAAAUACAUAAAUAUGUACAUGAAUAAUAACAAAGGGAUAAAUGUACACUUGUAUAUAUAUAUAUAUCCUAAAACAUGUACGUAUAUAUUAAGAUAAUAAAAAUACAUGCAUAUAUAUAGAUUGUAAGAUAGAUAUGUAUAUAAAAAUGAGUAUUUGUAUUAAAUAAGUUAAAAAAAGAAGAUAUAUAUAUACGCAUAUAUAUAAACAAUUAUAUAAUAAAAAUAAUAUAAUAAAACAUAUAUAUCUAAGACUUUCAUAAGAAAAUAGAAAUAAAAAAAACAUAACAAUAAUAUCAAUAAUAUUAAUAAAUAUACUAAUAACAAUAAUAAUAAUAAUAAUAAAAUUGCUAAAUAUGGACUUAAUCGAAAUAAAAACGAAAGUACUGGGCGAAAUCGAAAUAAAAAAACAAAUAAGGAUUAAAUUGUAACUCGCGCCAAACAGAGAGGGACCAAAACAGUAAAUAGACGGAGUUCUAAAAACGCGGCGUUGCAUUGGACUAAAUUGAAACAAAAAUAAAAUUGUAGGGCUAGAUUGAAAAUAAAAGAAAAUAGCAAAAGGGGGCUUGAUUGAAACGCGCUGCAGAGUCGAAGGUCUGCGCGCGCAAUUAUACCCUUUAAAGAAAACACGCGAAUCCUCCCCCUGGGUCGGGUCACCGCGCGGGUCAAGGCCAAAACGGCGUCGUUUUGGCACCUGACCCCUAAGGGCAAAACGGCGUCGUUUUAAAAGGGCUAUUUAAGCCCAAAAAUUUUCUAAAAACUCAUUUCAACCCCCCCAUCUUUAAAAAAAAACAACAGAGCUCCCCUCCUCCUCUCAAGGCUCCGGCUUGGAUCCGAUCAAACGCUCCGGCGUUCCUCCGUCGUAUCCUCGCCGCAGGCGGUGGCCGGAGGUACAAAAUGGAACCUUUUCGGUUCCUUUUUGAUGCCGAAGGCCUCCUAAACACGGAUCCAACGCCGAAUCUUGUAAAAGGCGAGCCUAACCCCACAAAACGAGGAGUAACCGUCCGUCUCCUCUUCCUCCGGCGCGGCGCUAAAAGGUAUUUUUUACUCCUUUUUUGUUUUUUAAAGAAAUAAAUCGAAAAAUAAUGAUAUUUUUAUGAAAAGUGUAAGAAAAACAGAGAAGUGAAAGGCGAAAAUCACCUUCAAUCGCUUUGUUUGCUUUUGAUUUCUGAGAAUAUUUGUAAAAGAGGGGAAUCCGACCCCUUACAAUGAUAAUCACUAGCUUUUUAUAGCCCAAAAAUUACAUGUUUUUUAUAUUCUAUUAUUUCUCUCUCUUUGGUUGCUGUGGCUUUCUUUGUUUUCUUCCUUGCAGGUGACGGCGCAAGUGGGACGAUGGGACAGUGGCGGUGCAAGGCGAUGGCGGUGGCGGCUGAAAUCUAGGGGUCAAAGACCCUAGAUGCGGCGUUAGGGUUUCAGACUUUCUGAAACCCUAAGUAACUUUUUUAGGAUGUUGGGCCUGAGCUAUUGGGCUCCGAGUUUGCUGGGUUAGGGCCACUUGAGUUUGAUGGGCUGUUCGGGUUUGGGCUGGUCUGUUUGAGUUUUGUAAUGGGCCCGGUUUUGGGCAAAAUUGGGUUGUACAUUGUCCAUUCAAACAUAUUAAGACUAUUUGGUUUGGUUUGCCUGUCGGUACGUAAGCGCUUAUUCAUGCAAAAGUAUCCUUUUAUCAAUUAAAAAGAACAGCAAUAAGGUAAAACGUCAAUCUCUAAUAGGGUUUGCGGCGUCGGCAAACGAGUGUAGAAUCUUCUACGGUAAGCAAUAGCAUGCUAUCCUAUUUUCCUCCAAUAGCAUAUUUAUUUAUCAUUAAUAAUUAAUUUUAUUUUAAUUGUAAUAAAAAAAUUAUGACAUAAUUCAUCGUUUACAAACACCAUCUUCAUAUAAUAUUUAAAUUUUAUUUUAGAUAAUUUAUGAUUGUAAUUCUUGAACACAUAUGACAUAAUGGAUGAUUAUUUGAUAAAGCUGAUAGUAAAUUUUUUAAUUUCAUAAAUAGAUUUGAAAGUUCGAUAUAUAUUUUAAGUUGUAUUUAAAAAAAAUAGGAUAUAUGAAAAUUUUUCAAUCUCGCUUAUUGAGUUAAUUAAUAAUCCAUAAAAAAUAUUACUUUGUAUGUUUUAAUUCUUAAUUAAUUUUAGAUAUUUGACUUCUAUUAAUUUAAAUGUUUUAAUGUUUUUUUUGAAUUAAAAAAAGUGUGUAUUUAAUUCUUCAUAAAACAAAUUAUUUGUACAUAAUCAUAAAUCGGUAUAAGAAGAUCAAACCUAAUAUAUCAAAGCAACUAAUUAAGCGGAUUGAUUGUUUGAUUCCAAAUGUUUAAAUUUGAUAAUCAAUGAAUUUAAAGAUAUAAUGAGAUGUAAUUUUGUAAAUUAGAUAUCUCAAUCUUAAUAUUAAGUGAAUGGUGACUCUAACCUACUUAAAAACAAGAAAACAAUCAAUCUUCACUUUAAUUUGUAUGACGCAAAGUUCUUAAAACCAUUUCAAAGAACCGUUAAAAAAUAAUAGAUACAAGAUUUAAUCAAAACAUCAAGUAACGACUCAACCAAAACCCACCAAAGAGAUAUCUAAAGUCUCAAAUCUGGAAUUAAAGGUCAACGUAAACACAAAAUUCUCCAAAAGUAUUAUGAGUUCUAACCUUUUAAUGGGUAUAAUUUCUAAGGUUUUACAAUAGUCUAUUUACAUGCAAAAUUUGUAGCCCAAAUAAAAAUAAAAUAAUAUAGACUAAUCAAAGUUUAACUAAAAUAAAUAAACAGAGUUUAACUGAAAGAUUACCUCUCAAAUUUAAUCGAAAUAUGAGGCAUGCUCAAUAAUAAAGGUAUCACUUCAUGAUAUAAAGGUAUCACUCCUUCAAUGGUAUAAAGCUACAUAAAAUCUUAGUUAUGUCUUUGAAAUAUUUUCAUAAAGGCAUGUGCAAAAACUUUUUCAUUCUAAACAAAUUCAUUCCCUCAAUAUUUUUUAUUUAAAAUCAAAACCACAUUUAUUUUUAAACAACAUCUAACAAUAUAUUUGGCUCAUCCAACAAUUUAUUUUUAAAUGAAAUUUAUUUUAAAAAACCAAAUGAGAAUCAUUAUACAACUUCAUAAAGUCGAUGACACAUCCAACAUUUAAAGCACAAAAAAACUAGAUAGGCCAACAACAAAACAAUAAUGCCAACAUUCUCAAAUACCGCAACAAAUUUGUUCUAAAAACAAAAGAUAGCGCAUCGAACCUAGAGCGUAGAAAUACUUGAAUUCAAUCAUUGUAACAACGAAAAAGGAAAUAAGACAUCCAACAUCCUCAUCACAAUAGAUUCUCCUCUGACCCGCCAACAGCGUUUGCAAUGCAAUAAAACAAAAAAAAGAGGUUAUUGUGAUAGCAACUCUUAUAAAUAUUCCAAAAUUAACUUUUAGAUGCAUCAAGUCUUAAUCUAAGGGAAAGGGUUUAUCCAAACAUGAAAAAUCUAACCAACUCAAUUCAAUUCAACCCAACCUCAACCUAUCUAUAUAGUUUACUUUUAAUUUAUAUCUAAUUUCAAUUAUGGUUUAAAUUUAAAUAUUUUUUAACAAAAAUUUUAAAUACUUAAUAUUGAACAAAUAGUCAUAUUAAUGAAAAUAUGUAAUUAUGAACAAUAACUUAACACAUAGGUAAAAGUAUUUUUUUUUACUUAAUAAUAUUAUUAGCAAUAGUACGUUAUUAAUUGUAUAUAUGAAAAUAAUGAAGCUUAAAAAUUAAAAUUUAAAGACAAUGUCAUUGUCAAAUUUACUCAAAAUUUAUUUUUAACUAUAGUUAUCUAUGUACAUAUGUGACACACAUAAUAAGAUGCUAAUAUAUUUAAGGCAAAAUAUUAUAAAGUUAAACGGUUAGAUAAUGAAGUGAAAUGUUUCUAACCUUAUGCAAUAUUUGAACUUGUUAUAGUAACAGUAUCCAAUGAUGUACUUGGCUCAUCAUUAGAGUUCUCACACCUAUGAACCUCCAUUGAUGUUUCAAGCGGCAGUUGAUGGAAUGGCUUAGGAGCCAUUUCAAGGAGUUCAACAUCAGAUUCAAGCAUCUUCAAAACUUUACUCAUUGAAGGACGAUCAGAAGGCAGUAAUUGUAUACACCAAAAGGCUGUUAUUACCAUUUUCUUUACCAUUGCUUUUUCAUCGUCAGAAACAUCUCCCAACUCCAAGUCCUCUCCUUGAUCUAAUCGGUCAUAAAUCCAAGAUGGAAAAUAUAUUUGACUAGUGUGGUCAGCAAAUGCAUUCACAUUCUUUCUCCUUCCAACUAUUUCCAUCAGUAACAUUCCAAAACUAUAAACAUCGGCUUUGUAUGAGAUGCCUCCAAGAUUUUUGUAAACCAAUUCAGGAGCAAUAUAUCCUAUCGUUCCUCGUGCCGCAGUGAGAGAGACAAUGCUAUUAUCUACUGAAUACAAUUUAGCAAGACCAAAAUCCGAAACUUUUGGAUUAAAAUUCUCAUCAAGAAGAAUAUUGUGUGGCUUGAUAUCAAAAUGUAGAAUUUGCAUGUCACAUCCUUGAUGUAAGUAGUGAAUUCCUUGAGCCACCCCAAGUACAAUAUCAAACAUUUUUUUCCAGCCCAAAGUGUUCUUAUUUUCUUCUGUAAAUAUGAUUUUAUCUAAAGAUCCAUUAGACAUGAAGUCAUAUACCAGAGCUUGCUUUGAUCCCUCCACACAAAAUCCGAUAAGUUUUGCCACAUUAGCAUGAUGAAUUGUCCCAAUGGAAGCAACUUCGUUUAUGAAAUCUUGGCCAUUACCCUUUGACUUGCCCAACAAUUUUAUUGCCACAUGAUGGCCGCUACGAAGCUUUCCUUUAAACACUGAGCCAUAACCCCCUUCACCUAAUUUAUCUUUAAAAUUUUUAGUCAUUUUUUUAAUUUCUUUAAAAGAAUACCUUAUUGGCACCAAAUUAUUUAGGCUUUGAAGGAACUCUUCGAUCCUAUCAUCCAUGGAUAAAUGUCUUCUUCUCCAUUUGUAUGUGACAAGAGCAAGCAAACAAAUGAUCCCAGAAAACAACCUCAAAAAGAUAACUCCACCUUUAAAGAAAUACAAUGUAACAGUUAAAAUUAAUCAAAUAAUAUAUAACUUACAUUCUCAGAAAAAAGUAUAUAGUGUGAUAGUUUUAUGUUAACUAGUAUUUGAGAGAGUGGCAUAUUUCACUAGUCUAUGGACUUAACCGAGAGUAGUCCAAAUUAUAUGUUAUGUUUUUGUCAUUAGCAGGUAUAUCUCAACAGUUUAAAAUUCAGUAUUUCAAACAAAAAAAGAGUAAAUCAUGCAAAGUGGAUACCAAUUCUAACCUCACACAUUCCAACAGAUUGACAGGAUCAUGACAUUCACCCAAAUUCUAAAGAAAGAACAUGAUUCUUAACCAUGAAGGAUACUCAACUGUUGUCUCUAUUCAUGCCAAAUAAACUUGAGGAAGGACAAAUUAAAAAUAUAAUAACCUUCAAAUUUCAUAAAUGAAACAAAAUCUAGAACCACCAAAAGAUGCAAGAGAACUCCCCCAAAAAAAAAAGAUUUGAUAAAUUCAAGAGCUAACUUUCUUUACUUGACAAAAAAAAUAUUCUUUCGUAUAAUAGAAGAAGAUUGUUUUCGGCAUUCAAACUCCUUAAAGAAUGCUAUAGAUUUCUUAGUUUUGCAGUGAAAUUAAAUAUAAACUUGUAUACUAUGAUAGGCUCCUUAUUCUUUUUUUCCCCCCAAGAAAAUUGCUAAUAUCUUUUCUUAACUAGUGCUAGAAUUUGUAUCUGAAAAAAUGCAAAUCUGCAAAUCCAAAAUUAACAAUACCUGUUAUUGCCAAACAAAGACUAUAAGUUCCUGUAAAAAAAACCACGAAUAAAAACGAAAUAUCAUUAUUUCAAGAGAACAGCGAAAUACUAAAAUCAAAGCACUUCUAUUGAAUUUUGGGAAGCCAUAUUUGUUCUCAACUAGUGAAAAUGCAAAUCUGCAAAUCUAAAAUUAAAUAUACCUGUUAUUAGCAAACAGAGACGAUAAGCUCCGAAGAAUCUGGAUUAUAUAUUCAACAAAUCAAAGUAAAAUUAAUAAAGGGGUGUAAAGAAAAAUUCCAAAUUUGUAUAAAAAAAUCAAUGGAAGGUAAUUUAAAAAAUUAUAUUAUGUUUUGUGGUAUAUACUCAAAAAAGAAAUACAACAAUUCUUUACAUAUGUUUGCUUGUAAAAAGUAUGCAACAUGUGUUACAGUAUAAGAGUUUUUAGGUAACUAAUAUGAUUUAAUAUAAUGAAAGGUGAGACAAAAUUUAUUCAAAUUAAUUAAUCCAAAAAGUAUAUAUUAUAGCAUUAAAAGAGUUUUUGCCAAAAAAAAUAAACUCAUCCACAAUGGUGGAAUAUUUACGUACUACCAACUAAAUUGAAAAUUCAUCAAAAAUAAAGACAAAAUAAAAAGAUAGACAUAAUCAAAUAUAAUUGUCCAAAAAGAAGACAAAACAGCAGAGAAAGCAGAGGCAGAUACUAAAUUAGAAAUGCUUUUAGUUCAUUUGAUUGUUAGAUGUUGAUCAAUUUUAGAUGCAAAAUCAUCAUACUUAAUUACCAUCAUAAUAUUUAAUUGUGAUAAAUGUAACAUAAAAUAAAACAAAACAAAAAGUAGAUGUUGUAACUAAAAAUUCCAGUAUGAUUCACACUCAAAAUGCAAACUUAAAUUAUUAAAGAAACUUACAUAUCUUUAAACCAAACUUUGUUUUUAUUGUAGUAGCUACUCUCGCUAUCCCAUCAACUCCAUUGGACCCAAAAACCCUCCAAUAAUUUUUUGUAUAUAUCCAGCGUAGACAUGCCUAUUAUAUUAUCAAUCAUAAUUGGAACCUCCGCUUCGAUAGUGCAAGCUUGAUUGAAAUCAGAUGGGUCGGUGUUUCCAUUUAAAAAAUAGAAAUGGGAAGUUGGAAGGG